GCUGAGAUUUCAGCACUUUACUCUCUCUCUUUAGGUGAUAAAUAUUAACUCUGAUACUUGAUAUCUCCUUCUAACUUUAGCUCAUGUACAUACAUAUCACUUUAUACAUACUAUAUACACAUAUAGUGAAAGCUAGUUCCAUAGAAUUCCAAUUAGGAGUUCCAUCAAUGCAGUUUUGCAUUUCCAUUGGCUCAAACAACCAUAGAGCUCCUGAUCAUGAUUUGUCUAUAACAAUUAAUCGAACUUCAGUCAAGAUUCAAUCAGAAUUACCUCAAUUUAUUUCUCAGUUAGCCUGGUUUCAGCUUCAAUAGCAGGAAAUUCCUGCUUGUCUUCAAUUCGGCCAAGCAUCCAGCAGCCACCAAUUCUCCAAGGUUCAGUCCUGGCAGCCAAGGGUCAUCAUCAUCUCUUCUUUAAGAUAAGUACUUAAUUUACAAUCAACUACUAAUCCAUCUUACCCAAUUUCAAAGCUCUAUCAGGCCCCUCUUCAAUUCGAAACACUUAGGAAAGUCCAUCUGGUUUUCUUCAAGCUGAAGUUCCAGAACCACCAAGCAGCAGCCACUCUUUGGCUUUCUCCUUUAAACCCUCUACAAUUCCAGCAUAGAAGCAAUUCUCAACUUCUUUAUACCACAAUUAGACUCACUCUUGUUCAGGAAUUAGACUUCAUCUCUACCUAAAUUCGAAGAUCCCCUUAAGUGUGCUCAACUCAAUUCUCUUUCAGCUCUAAAUCUGAAAUUUCAGCAACAUAACUCUUAACUUGAUCCAUUUUAAAGCAAUUGAUUGGACUAUAAUCCAAUAUAGAAUGAACUUACUCUCACUUGAUGCUAAAUUAACUUGUUCACUGCAUCAACUGGUCCUCUCCUUCCUUUCGGCAGCAACAACAACAAGACUUCAGCUCCAAUAGCUCACAACUUUAAGUCUGCUACUACUAGUAGCACAAAAAAAAUCCAUGUAAGUAUUAUUUCUAAGGCUAUUAGCCUGAUUCUAAUCAAUUACUGGAACAAAUUACCUUAAGUAGAUGUUGUUCCAGGUUGCUCAACAACUCCAACAUCAGAAAUUUCUGCUUGUAUCAGGUUUCUUCUCAGCUUACAACCCUCCAAGCUGUCAGCUCAAUUCCCCUCAACCCUUCUUUAGUCUAAAGGGAGAAAGAGAAGAAAAUAGAUGAUAAGGAGAGAAGAGAAAUGGAAUCUCUGUCUUUGGGCAGGUGUAUUCCACUAAGGGUGAAGGGAUAAGUCCAGAAAAUGCAGCUUAGCCCCUGAAAAUUGCAAAAGUGCAUUGCAACCUGCAGAUUUACAUUUCAGUCCCUGCAGUUUCGCAAUUCAGUCCCUGCUGGCAGCAGCAGCAGCAGAUGAUCUAAUCCCUUGUUUCUCAUAUUUAAUUCACUUCGAUUUCAUUCGAACACGUCCAAACUCAUCCAAAGAAGCUUUCCAAGCUAUCAAAUUAAUUUGAGAGCAAUUAAUUUCCAAUUUGGCAUCAAUUUGAUCAUUUUUGACCACAUUGACUAAAAUUUCAGCAAUCAAGUAAUCAUGGCAAUUGAAGGUCUUUUGCUACUUCGAAUCCAUUCUUAUCCAUUCUCACAUUUCCAAAAUGUGCCAAGGACUAAUCUAAAGCUUCUAAUUAAGCUUAAGAUUGCUUAAUUUCCAUUUUUGCAUUAUUGUGAUCACUUUAGUCACAAUUAGCUCGAGAGAGAUUUUCAAUACAUUACAAUCUCCCCUCCUUAAAUAGUUUCGUCCUCGAAACUUAAAUUCAUACCUCAAGUUUCCUGGAUGAAUAGAUGGGGAUAGGCUUCACGCAUGGCAUCUUCCAAUUCCCAAGUGGCCUCUCGUCCCGAGUGAUUACUCUAUUGCACUUUCACAUAGGGAAUAGUGCGAUUUCGCAAUUCUCGCACAUCACGAUCAAGAAUACUUACUGGAUAUUCUUCAUAAGUCAUAUCCUCCUGUAGAUCCACAGGCUCGUAUUCCAUAACAUGCCCCGAAUGAUGCAUAUAUUUUCGGAGAUUCGAAACAUGAAANCACUCGAAUUCACAACAUACUCUUGUAUCCAAUUGUUAUCUGUAGGAAAUUGCUCCGGAUGGUCAAUGAAAUCAAGCUCUUCGUCAGGAUUGUCUACAUAUUCGUUGUUUACAUGCGGGUCAUCAUUCAAACUGUAAAUGGCAUUCGCGAGGCAAUUUAAUCCACCAUCGUGAUCAUCUUCAAUGUCGGCAGCUAGAUCAUUCCAAUCGUCGUCCUCAUGAAUGGGUUCAUCAUCCUGAUUAUCGUCAUUGCGAAUGGGUGAAUCAUCCUGAUUACCAUCAUUAUGAAUGGGGGCAUCGUCCUGAUUACCGUCGUUAUCAUCUCCUUUCUCGACUAAAUUAUCAAGAACUUCAUUCCAAUUUGCAUAGGAUGUAGAUAGCCUGCAAUAGAUCCCGAAUGUUUACUAGAAGACGUUCAAAUUUCACUUACUAUUAAUUAAAAAAUAAUCAACAUUUUCUUUACCCCUAAUCUUAAUUUUUAUUAGGUGUAUGAAAUAUCGUGGGUUCGUCACGUGAAGUCUCGGGCUGCGCACGUGACGUCGAGUGUUGCGCACGUGACGUCGAGGGUUGGAGAUAGCGCACGUGAACUCACGUGUUUUCUGGUCAUUUGCUCCUUCUAUUUAGAGAUUUACACAUUGUCGGCCUGUGGUGAGCAUUGAUGCCACUCACUUGUAUAGCAAAUACGAAGGCCAUGCAUUAAUAGCGACGGUUGUGGAUGCGAAUGAUAGCAUUUUUUCCUUGGCUUUUGCAAUUUGCGAAGGCGAAAAUGGUAGAAGUUGGCGUUGGUUUUUACAUAACUUGGGGCAUUAUGUUAUACGCAAUCGACCGGUUUGUUUUAUAUCCGAUAAAUUUAGUGGCUUAAAGGAAAUAGUGGCUGAGUUAUAUCCCACUCGACAAGGGCAUGUACACCGGUGGUGUCUUCGACACAUGAAAGCAAAUAUGGCUAAGCGGUUUAAAAAUGAUUCAUUAUUAGACAAAUUCUAUUGUAUCGGCAGUGCUCUAACAUCGGUACAAUAUUAUAAACUGAAAGAUGAGUUACUCGCGCUAGAUCAAGAUGCUUGGAAGUGGGUCGAUGAGCUCGAAGUAUACAAAGAGUAUUGGGCGUGGGCAUUUGAUGGAGGCCGACGCUUCGGGUUGAUGACCACAAAUAUGUCCAAGAGUUUAAAUAGGGUAUUUAAGGGAAUUCGUGCUAUCCCAGUAACGGUAUUUGUCGCGGAAACUUUUUAUAAACUUAAUAGUUGUUUUAUAAAGCGUCGUGAAAAUGGUAAAAGUAUGACGGCCACGUUAGCACCUAAAAUACAAAGUCGGAUUACGAUGAAUAUGGUGACGGCGCGGGGACACCUUGUAUAUCGAUUUGGCCCUAAUGAGUUUGAAGUCCAAACAGGACACUCUGAUUACAAUGUUACCCUUAAUGGAACACAAGCGGAUUGUGAUUGCGGCGAAUUCAAGCUAACGGGCAUACCUUGCUCGCAUAUUUUAACAGUUUGCAGUAAUUCACAACUAAGAAUAGAUUAUCAUAGCCUUUGUUUCCAUUGGUAUACUGUAGAGUGUUAUUGUCAGACAUACGCACCGCUUUUCCAUCCAGUUUCAGACAGACGCUACUGGCCACGACCCCAGGGCCCACCAAUUGUACCGCCUCCCGUGAGAAGGAAGAAAGGUCGACCACGAUCAACACGUAUUCGUAAUAUAAUGGACGAAACAAGUGGGCGACGAACAAAAUAUAGCAUUUGUAAGCAGGGAGGUCAUUAUAGAAACACCUGUCCACAGAAUACAGAGAUAGCACAACAAGGACGUCGACGUAGGACUUGAUACCUAACUUAAUAGUAUUUAUGAAACUUUCAAUCUUUCAAUAUUCAAUGCGCUUUUUGAUAAUAUGUUAUUAAUUACAAAUUAUUUAAAAUUGCAUAUGGCAGAUCUAGAGGAGACGGGACCAGUUGAUAAGUCCGUCCUGACAGAGCAGCAUCUCCAUAGGUCUUCAUUUAUCAAGACUGAGGUGAGAGCCAAAAUUAUUAUUUUAAAUGUUUUCUUUAGUAUUUGUUUGAAUAUAAAUGUUGUUCUAACUAAUUUUUUAUCACUGUAGGAAUAUCGCGGGGUACAGUUCAUAGAGCAUGGCCGCAAAUUAAACCAGUGGGUGCUUGAUCAUCCAGCAGUGCUAGAUUUGCUACGACAGUCUGAAUUUUAUUAUAUUUCUCGACUUAGACGUCUACAGCUGGAUCAAGCAUUAUUAGGAGCUUUGAUCGAGCGAUGGAGACGGGAGACCCAGACAUUUCACUUCCGCCACGGUGAGAUGACGAUUACACUUCAGGAUGUGGCGGUUAUUUCUGGCCUUCGUGUCGAUGGAGCGCCGGUCACUGGGACUACAGUGUAUCCGUGGUCAGAUAUUUGUCAGGCGCUUUUAGGGGUUGUGCCGGAUGACAUCCGAGCUGGGCAGAUUAGAUUUGAUUUGAUAUACCAGCAGUUUCAUCAUCUACAUUUGGAUGCUCCGGCUGGAUUAGUUGCAGCCACUGCACGUGCAUAUAUAUUAUAUCAGAUUGGCUGUAGUCUAUUUCCAGACCCCACCGGAUAUAGGGUUCAUCUUAAGUGACUGCCACUUAUAGCGAAUUUUGAUGCAUGCGGCGCUUUAGCCUGGGGUGCAGCAGCACUGGCCUAUCUAUAUCAAGCUUUGGGAUCGGCUGCAUUAAAAGGAAAGGUCGAAUGCUGUUGCUUCGCGACAUUAGUACAGAUAUUAUGAGUAAUAUAUAAUAAUUGUUAUAUAAAGCUUCUCCUAUUUAAGUUCAACAGUUUAAUUUAUUGUCAUUUAUUUAUAGAUUUGAGCGUGGGACCAUUUUCAUGUCGGCCGACCUACUAGCGUUGGAGCUGUUGCCGACAUGGCUGAUUGCCCUAUGGGUUGCCGGUAUGACAUAUAAAUUUGAUACCGAAUAUAUUUCUAUACAUAUAUAUACAUUUGCAACUAACAAAUAUACUUUUCAAAUAUAAGGUCGACGAACGCCGGUGGGUUACGUUUUGCAGCAAACGUUAGAACAACAGAUAUUGAGUGCUACAGAGAUGAGUUAGACCAACAGAGAAAGACUCAGGUACAUAUUAAUGCAACCAUUUUUUGACUAUUUCAACUGAUAUUUCAGCUGACUAUUAUUGGCUUUUUCACAGAUUGACAUGGCGGCCGUACACAGAUGCUAUUAUAGAUGCGCUAUCGACAUUCUGUGUACAGGGCAGUGAGGUAUGGCGAUCUCGGACGACACUGAUUUGUUUUCAUAUCGUUGAGCUUCACGUGCCGGAUCGAGUCCUACGGCAGUUUGGUCUCCUCCAGCAUAUACCCAUUCCGGUGGAGACCAUCCGGCGCUACACUUCUCAGGGGCGGCCAGAUGAGGAUUAGGCCCACUUUCAUGCUGCACAUAUCGAGAGAUGGGGAGAUAGAUUAUAGACCAUUAUUGACCAGCAUCCGAUUGUCGGUGAUGACCCGAUACAGGCGACCUUGAUUUAUAUGGAGUGGUACUGGCAGAUCACGAGAAGAUGGAUUUUUCGUCCAGUACAGCGUCCAUCAUUGACUUACCAGCCUCGUGGCCAGACCGAGAGAGCUUUGGUACGAUCACUCAGCCCAUUUAUUAUUUUUUUAAUCUUUUGUAUAAUAUAGAUUGCCAAAGGUGAAUUAUUAUCUAUAAUGCAGGUGGAUGCUAUUCGACAAACACAGUAUAACAUCAGAAGUCUAGUUCAUGAUCGACCUUCUUACAAUGCAGUGAUGGAGGCAUUGACAGACAUGGAUAUCGAUCUUGAUAGUGUACUGGAGUACAUUCCUACUAUACCUGUCGCCACUGAUAUCAAAGGUCGAGAUUUUGGACAUGCAUCGACAUCGGGUCAUCACCACCGUCAGACACCGACAUCUGCUGGAUCUCCAUCUCCUAGUGAUGUUGCUGAUAUGCCCGCCGCCCCUGAGAGAUUUCCUUUAAGGCCAUUGGACUUGUACUUGCUUUUGCCGCCGCCAGUCUCUAGAGAGCACUUUACAUUCGUCUAUUCUCGAUGUCAUGCCGCGUCUUCAUCACAGGCCCGCUCAACAUCUAGACCAGCCACUAUCGAGGAGACUCAGGCGAUACCGGAGCAUCGCGAGGGCAUUAUGAUUGUGGAUCUCGAUGAGAUGGCCGAUAUCGAGGCAAUUGAUGACGUACCUAUUGCUGAUUUCGUUGUAGAGGGUGGCCGUAGACGUGAACGUGGCCGUGCACGAGGACGUGGCCAAGGACGUCGAGGGAGAGGAAGAUUGAGAGACCGAUUGUAUAUCUUUGAUUUAGAUAACUUAGACUUUGUAUAAUAUUAUAUAAUACUUAAUUUAGUGCAUAUUUGUAUAUUCUCGAAAUUUUUUUUGAUAUUUUUAUUCUGUUGAUUGUAUCUUAUUAUUCCACUCGAUCUGUUGUGUUUCUUGUUGGAAUAUUUGUUAUCGUGAAAAAACUUGUGUUAAACUUGUUGAAAUUUUUUUAAAAAUCAAGCUUAAAUCAGCAUCUGGUGCUGUUUGCACUAAUGGCGGUGAAUUGUUCACCGCCUUUAGUGCAAAUCCACGAACCCGGAGAAAAAAAUGACUAAGUCCUGGACUGGGUGGUGUUUGCACUAAAGACGGUGAACCACUGAACCACUCACCGUUUUUAGAUAAGACGGUGAACGAUUCACCGUCUUAUCUAUGCCACAAACCCGGGCUGUUGGGCGGGGGAUUUGCUGAGAAGGCGGUGAAUGUUUUACGCCUAGAUAAGGCGAUAAACGAUUAACCGCCUUUGUUAAGGCGGUAAACGAGUCACCGUCUUCUCGAGGCACCUUAAGCUACACGGGGAAUUGCUGAGAAGACGGUGAUACGCGGGGAAUUGCUGAGAAGGCAAUGAAUGGUCCCCGCCUAGAGAAGACGGUGAACCAUUCACCGCAUUCAAGAUGCGUCCCCAAAGAUAGUGAACGAAUCACCAUCUUUGUGAGAAACGCUGGCCUGGCGGCUGAGGUGGCAAGAGGAGGGUUAGUUUUACAAAUAAAAGUUUCACAGGAUUAUUUUGGCAAUUACGAAAUUUCACAGGAUUAUUUUCGAAAAAAGUCCGAUGAUGGGUAAUUUAUGUUGCAGGAAGAGAGAUCAUAAAUACAUAAGAUGAAGGUUAGCUACUGUUACCAAUUGCUCGUUUUACUAUUUUGUCGAGUAUACAUAGAUGUAUAAGUUGCUAAUUUACAAAGCAGACAAGUAUAACUAAUGGAUAUGUACUGUACUGUAACUGCUUUCUCUUUUGACGAUACCUCUUUGGGUAAAUUGCACUAUUACCCCCUGAACUUUUGGCGAAGUUUCACUUUACCCCUCGAACUCCUAAAGUGGACAUCUAACCCCCUAAACUCUAAUAUUUCGUUCAUAUUAUCCAUUCCGUCAAUUUUCCAUCAAACUUCGUUAACCGGAAACUGACGGAAGGGAUAAAACGAAUGAAAUAUUAGAGUGUAGGAUGUUAUAUGUCUAUUUUAAGAGUUUGGGGGGUUAAGUGAAAUUCGUCAAAAGUUCAGGAGGUAGUAGUGCAAUUUACUCCGUAGGGGACUCUUGACUAUAAAUUAUUUUAUUAUAAUAUGUUACUUAUGGAUUGACUAUUAAUCCUCACGUUAGUGAUCAUGCUUGAUUUUGAAUUUAUAUAUAUUUUUUCUCCUAAAAUAAAUCAUAUCAUAAUUUAUCCUAUAUUUUAUUGUAAUAAAAUAAAAGUGAAAGAAAUGAAUUAGAGUGGCUUAAAGAUAAAAAAAGAACGAUAUUAACUACCUACGAUACUCGAGCACUCUACUAUCCUGAUGUACUCGCUAAUAUGGUUGAUUUAUAAUAGGUGUCCUCACUCGGAUAUAGAGAUUUUAAUUCUCAGUUAAUUUUCUGUAGUACUCGUUUGUCCUUUUUAUCUUUAGAAGCAUUAUUCUAUAAAAUACACUUAAAUAAAAUCUUUGUACUUCAUUUCAGCAAAUUAGAAAUAUUUAAUAUAAAAAUAUAAAAAUAAUUUAUAGUAAAAAUUUGGGUAAAUUGUAUUGUUACCCCCUGAACUUAUGGCGAGUUUCACUUAAUCCCCCAUACUCCUAAAAUAGACAUGUAACACUCUAAACUCUAAUAUUUCAUUCGUUUUACCCCUUCCGUCAGUUUCCGGUUAACGGAGCUUGACGGAAAACUGACGGAAGGGGUAACAUGAACGAAAUAUUAGAGUUUAGAGGGUUAGAUGUCCAUUUUAGAAGUUCGAGAGGUAAAGUGAAACUUCGCCAAAAGUUCAUAGGGAAACAAUGCAAUUUACCCAUACAUCUUUUGUAAAAUAUGAAAUGUUACAUACAUAGGUAGGACUACUAAAUAAUAAAGCACUGCACAAUCUCUCCUUCCAACUCUCUUGUUGUUAUAUACCUGUUCCCUAUUUAAAUUGUCUUAAUGAACUCAUUCCAUAGUCGACAAAUUAUCAGUGAGCCAGCAUUUUUUUCAGCAUGACAUUGCACCGGUUAAUAAUAAUAUAAACAGAACCAUUAUAUUAUAUGAAGUCAAAAUUUUGAGCUGCAUUCAUAUCCAUCUAAUGUGACUUUGCCCGAAAAGUACUAUAUGACGAAAAAAUUUGACGGUACCUUCAUCCGUAAGAUUCAGUUUUUAGCCCUCUUCGAUGGUCUCUGAAAUCGACUGACGUCGUCUGUGAAUUGUGCAGCAGUUCGUGCUCUUAAUUCUUCCAAGCUCUGUCCUUCUUUUGCUCUCUCUAUCACCUAAAAGGAAGGAUGCAAGGUGCGCGCAUUACAAAUUUUGGAUGGAGAAAAUACAUUAUAUAUUUUCCAAAAAGAGGGAAUUUUUACCAAAUGGCGGCCAUAUAAAUGCGUGUUUGCGAGUGCUUGUAGAGCAUUUUGCGCCUCGUGCUUCGUGACAUACUCCACAAAUGCAAAACCCCUGUGACUCCGAAACUUCAUGGGCAAUCUUAAGCUCUUGAUCUGAAGAAUUCAGCAACAAAACUUUAGGAAAUGCUCAAAGAGAUGCCAAACACUUCCAAAAGGAACGUGGCAAAUAUUAACUACAUAAUCUUAUAAUCCAAUUUUCCGGUUUUCUUCACUAUAAUCCUGAUUAUCAUUUUUUAUUAUCAGAUUGAGAUCAGAUUUGGGGAAGAAACACAGGUAGCCUUAAACUAGCAGUCAAUUAAACCAUCUGAAAUUCCUCCAUACAUUGACGACAAAACUCAAAAUGCAAAAUUCUUAAAAUUUAACCAGGGUAUUAUCAUAAACCCACAAAUUUUACCUGACCAAAUGGACCAAAUAACUGCCUUAAAUCUUUUUCUGUUGCCUCAAAUGCCACAUUUCUCACGAUCAGCUUAGUUGAACUCCUAUCAUUUUCACCCUUCUUUGAAACCUGACCAUCUCUUUUUCCAUGACAAAGUUGCAAGGAAAGAGCAUGACCAUCCAGAACAGUCCCCUGAAAAUUAUAUAACAAGUUACAGACUAGUACAGUUACCUAAUUCCUCAAAUGACAGUAAGUGAAAAAAAAAUUAUUUGUUUGUACUUUAUGUUGCAAAAUCUUCCAGUUUACCUGCAAAUCUUUGCAGACGCUGGUUGCUGUUUCCACAGAAUCAAAUUCAAUAAAGCCAAAGCCCAUGGAUACAAACUUGCCAUUCUUGAGGUGCUUUUUCACCUUGAAAGUAUAAAAAUAUAUGAUUAUUAAGACAAAGGAAGAACGGAAAAAAUGUUGUUUAAAUAAGCUUUUCUUCAAUGUACCUUUACACUUUUUAUCGUUCCAUUCUUCAUAUUAUUAGUAAAGUGCAGCUUCAGAGAUUCGUCCAAGGUCUUAAAAUUUAAGUUCUUCACAUAAAUCGACCGUGACUGCAAACAAUAAAAGACAAACAAUAAAAAAAUGGGGAUCUAUUAUGAAAAAUGGAUUAGAAGUCUGAUAUCAAAACACAGAGGUGAUAGAAUCAAAUAUCACUGCGUAUUUGAAGCAACAACAUAGGGGGAAAUGAGAUGCAAUCAUCUAUAGCUCUGAAAGCUAGAACUCUAGUUCUAAAAAAGGAGACUAGCAAAAGAAAUUUUGAUAUUAGGGGGACAAUAGAGAAAUCAGUUUACACUAUAUAAUCUGGGAGCAACAUUUUCUCAUAAUGGUACUUGAAUUUCUUCCUCUUUUUUUCUUUUUGUAGGGGGAAGAGGGGACGGAUGUUAGCUUUUUCCUGACACUCUUUAUUAUUUGUUUAAUGGAUGAGCAGUAAGAAUAUGUAUGGUGACAAGAGAAGGGAAUGAAGAAGUCAGCAGCUAAGACACUUAAACUUGCAUUGAUUACCAAAAAUAAAAAAAAAAUAGCGACCGAAUACUAACAUGCUUGAUAACUAUCUCCGUUCAAAAAGGCACAGAAGCUUACAGUGAGAAGGAAAUCAAAUAGCCUACAUUAAAAUAACAAAAUAUAAAGAAUGAUAUUGCCACAGAAGUUAAUGAAAAUUGAAGCUUCGCAGUCUAAAAGUGCAUAAAAAUGCUCACAACAAAGAGGCGAGUAAAGAAAAUGUCAAACCUCCACCCUAUCGGGAUCAAUAUCCUCUUCCGGUAUUCCCUCCAAGCUUUCCUCCACUAAAACUUUUUUAACAUUCUUCUCACCAACUACAUUCUUUUGUUCCUCACAUGCUGAUGGUUCGGUAGGACAAAAAAUAUUUUCAGGAGCCCAUUCCAGAUAUAAUGGAGCAUCUCUACAAGUUGUAAAAAUUUCCAGAACAAACAGGGGGAAAAAAGAUUAAUCAUUUUCAAAAUUUAGUCAACCAUAUUGGAUUUGCACUCUUCAUGAGAGACAAUGUAACCUGAUUUCUCUAUCUAUAAAAAGACAUUGAGGAUUCCAUACUCAGAGGAGUUGACUGAACAACCGCAUUCAUAUUCCCUAAAAAACGUAUGAAGAGUGCAAGUUUCUAAUUACUUUAGAAUUUAGAUGUAAAAAGAGAAAAACUAAAGAACCUUGCUUGUAUCUUUUGUAUGCUAAACACUUGAAAGCCGAACGAGCUUCUGCUGCUUCAAGAAAGAUAACCUGAAGAAUAAUGCAAUAGGAGAUACCGAUUUAUAAAUUUCUGCAGCCAAAAACAGUAACGCAAAAAGGCCAAAUUUGGACGAAUGAAAGGACAUAUUUAGAUGUAUACCCCUGCAAAAUUAUCUAUUUGCAUUUAGACCCCUCCAAAUUCUAAACUAUGCCUUUCAACAACUUAAUUUCUUCCACAUAAAUCAUUGUACUUACGAAAAUAUAACACUUUCAACCCAAGAAUUGAAUCAUUUUUCAACUUAUGAUAAGGGUACACUCAUACGAGGGUUUACUUUCAAGGAAUAUUUACAUAUCUUCUGGAUUCUGUUGUGCCUUGUAUGUAAUGGAUAAUUUUGCAAAACACGGAUGCAAAAGCAUCUAAUUAAAAUGUAAAUAUGAAGAUUUUCUUUUGAUGAUUUGAUCAAGCCAGUAGGAACCAACAUGUGUACCCUUUUCUCACUUAAAAGUUGAAUUUAAAGCAGGUAUACCCAUUGCCCCAUGAUAAAGGUACCCACCAAACGACCAAGUGGUUGGUUAUGUAAAUUUUAUGAGUUUAUCAAGCAAAUUUCAUACCAAAGCCAAUGUUCUGGUUGGUGGGAGAACAACUUUGUCUAAGCUCCCAAAUUUCCCAAACAUGCUAGCAAGAUCUCCUUCAGAAGAGCUGUAAGGCAAGUUCUUAACCAAUAUCACAUGGUUGCUUCUUUUCAUUUUUUCAUUUUUUUUCACAGCGUAUUCCUCUAAAGCAGCAAUGUUGAUUCCAGCAUUAGAUAGAGCUUUCUUAGUCUCUGCUACCACAUGUGUUUCUCCCAGUGCUAUACGCACAGCAAGAUCAUCCGCAUCACGAUCAAGUAAUUCGCUUUUGCUGACACCAGUUUUCCUGGCUAUGUUUUCAACAACCUGAUUGGAAAUUGGAUAAUGAUGAAUCAAAUAUCACAAAAUCCAUUUUAUAUUAAUUUGCAGUUAAAUCGAGUUCCAAUCAAGUAAAAAAAAUUCCAGUCAAGAAUCAUAUAUUACAAAAAAAAUUAUAUAUAGAAGUAUAACAUAAAAAGUAAUAUAUCUAGUGGAAUACGAAGGACAUCAUCCUAUUAACAAUAUAAAAUAGUGCAUGGAAGAAAAUAAGCUUAUGCAUUUAUUCAUUAAAGUUUGCUGGAAUAUAAACAUACAGUAUCAGGACGCAUGAAUAAGCUAUUCCACGCCUGUGUAUCACCACUAGCUUCAGAUGCCUUCCUCUGAUCUGCUCUUAACUGCUUGAAGGUCUUAUUCUCCACCACAUGAUUAGACCUUAAUGAAUUCAAAACAAACAGUUUAAAUCAAACAAGCUUGUGAGGAAUGGAAGUACCAAAAGGAUAAUACAAAGGUUCUUACUCAAGUUUCUCAUCAUUUUGUGGCUUGGCAGGCAUGACAUGUAACAACCUGCCUUGGAAACUUGAAUUGUCUAAAUCUUCAAGUGCCCUACAACAUUAAUAAGGUGUCAAUGCAACAUAAUGGAAUCCAAACAUAAUAGUGACCCAAAAAAAAAAAAAAGACGAAGAAUGUCAUAUAAAUAUUAUCAUAUCUCCACCAAAUUGAAUAUAACCAAUUCUUUUAGUACUAAGUAAGAAUGAGAUAAAGGGCAUAAUUAUGCGACAAAAAUUAUUACCUUAUAGCAGAUUCUGGAAGUGAAAAAAGCACAUAACCUAUGCCUUUGGACCGUUUAGUAUCUUUAUCAACAACAAGAUGCAUGUGUGAGACAUCACCAAACUGGCUAAAAAGCUCCAUCAAAUCCUCUUCACUGGACACCACCAAUAAUAAUUUACUCAUUAAGAAGACAAGUCAGGAUAGAUAUAAAGGACUAACAUCUGCAUUCAGCUAAAGUAUUAUAGAGUCAGUAUAACACCAUACGUAGUUGCGUAAGGAAGAUUGCGGAUAAAUAGCCGGCCAGUUUCCAAUGCCUGUUUCUUCUCAUCACUUACUGACAAUGUUGGAUUCUCAUUAUUAACAUCUUCACCAUCGGAAUCUACUAGAGGAGACUCCUUUUCCUCUCCAUUGAUAUCAUCUUCUCCAACUGAGAGCCCAUUUGCAUCAUUUGUAUCCAUAUCUGUUUGACUUUUGGAAUCUUCGUCAUCAGAGUCUGAAGAUUCUGGACCAAUUUUUCUUAAUUCUACUCUUAAAAUACUCCAUGUCGGUCAUAUGAUCAUGCUCCCUUGUUUCCAGUGAUUCCUCCAUCUCAUUUUCUUCAGAAGUACUUUUAGUAGCCUCAGGUUCGCCGCUGCUACCAUCAGUUGUUCUAGCCUUUGGUCGAGCUGCUUGCUUUUGCCCCAUCUGUGACUGCUGACAAUCUUUCUCACCGAUUUUGCUAUCUUUGUCAACAAAGUCACCAGCACCAAUUGCAUCAUUGGCCCACAAUUUCGACUUAGUCCGUGGCUGCAUGACUUGGAGAAAUUCUUGGAGUUUUGGAUCAUUAACUUCAGUGCUUUUACAUAGAUUAGCAUUCAAUUUUUGGCCUUCAGAAAUUUUUAUCGAUGAAACUUGGUCGCUGACACCAGCAUUGUCUUUGCUUUGACUCAACGGAGUGCUUUUCUCUAGAGAAUAACGGCUCCAAGGACGAGGCAAAUUCAGAUCACCAACUUUACGAGCAACCUACAAUUGGCAGAUAAGCUUAUAAGGUGCUUAUUAUACUUCAUAACUCCCCCCAUCUUUCAAGAGCUAUCUAUGUAAGAACAUGGGGUACCAUCUCACCUCACAUAUGAGCUUCCGAGUAUCCAUGAAAGUGUUGUUGAAAUAUUCGAGGGCCGCCUCAGCUUCCUUCUCAGAACGAAACCCAAUGAACGCAAAUUGCCUACUCUUCCCAUCUCUAUUCAAAACCAAAAAAAUUUAUUUUAACAACUAUGCUACACAAAUAAGAACAAAUCCGCAGACUUGAGAAAAAAAAAAUCCAAAUGUUACAUACUUCAUAUUCAGAAAAAGAGGCGAAAAAUACAAAAGGAAGCAUGAAUUAAUGAUGUAUUACUACAUAUACUGAACAAAAAGGUUCUUUGGUCACAGAAACUGUUUCAAGUUGAGAAAUUUAAUCAGCUUCAAAAUAAAUAGGCUAAACUAGAGAAGCAACUUAGGAGCUUCAUAAUUUUAGACAGGUAACUAGAAUCACACGAGACAUUUCAAACUCAGCAAACAAACAUAAGAGAACAAUUAAAAAGGCGAAUCAAACACAUGAAUCAAUGGUGAUAAAAGAUUUGAAGGUGGGAUUUUUCGAUUUUUCUCACUUAGUGCGCAUGAUCUUAGCGUCGGUGACCUCGCCCUUCUGGGAGAAGAACUCUCUGAGGCGAUCCUCAUUGACGUACUUGGGCAANACUCAGCAAACAAACAUAAGAGAACAAUUAAAAAGGCGAAUCAAACACAUGAAUCAAUGGUGAUAAAAGAUUUGAAGGUGGGAUUUUUCGAUUUUUCUCACUUAGUGCGCAUGAUCUUAGCGUCGGUGACCUCGCCCUUCUGGGAGAAGAACUCUCUGAGGCGAUCCUCAUUGACGUACUUGGGCAAAUUCUUUACGCAGAGACGAGACCUGUGAACCAAAGAGAGCACAAAACCCAAUUAGCCUUAGAGGAAAAGGGAAGAGGCGAUUCCUCAAACACGAAUUGAGAAGGAAUAGUAGGAGCUCUCACAUCUCUAGGGCUCAGUAAGAGGGAUUCUAGGGUUUCGGAACUGUGGAACCCUAGAUCGCGAUAUACCCAAAUCUCUGUAAAAACAAAAAAAAAUCACAUCAAACUCUAAUUAGAAGCUCAAGAAAGAAAACCCCUCACAUUCUUUCUGCCCAAAAAACCAUAAGAAAAAGAAAAAGAAAAAAAAAGAUGAAGAAGAUCAAUGGAAGACGAAGAACGAAAACGAACCUGUUGAAAGCGCCGCUGCCGGAGUUCCAUCGGGAUAUGCGAACGGCGAAGAUUGCGCUGCCGGCGGCGAAGAGUGCGCUGCCGGCGGCGAACGGUGGAAGACUGAAGGGCGCUGCCGGCGGCGAAGAGUGCGAACGGUGGAAGAUUGAAGGGCGCUGCCGGCGGCGAAGAGUGCGAACGGUGGAAGACUGAAGGGCGCUGCCGGCGGCGAAGAGUGCGAACGGUGGAAGACUGAAGAGCGCUGCUGCCGGGGGGUCUUCGAUCGGGCGUAGAAUAAUAAUGGCCAAUUUGCAUAAAAAAUCUACUUAUUUCAGGCUUUUGCAAAACCGGGCCACAUUUUUCGUUUUUGCAGGUUCGGUCCGCUUUUUCGUCCGCCUGACCAAAAUACCUUUAUUACUUUUUCUCUUUCCUCUUUCUCUCUCCUCUCUGUUUCUAUCGUUCUGUUUUUUUUUCUCGCCGCGCCCGCCGUUCUCCCUCGAAUCCUCCUGCGCCGUCCCCAUCACCGUCGCGUUCCCGAACCGCACCCUCCUCGCUCCCCCCGGCGACCCGCACCCCUCGACGGCCCCCACGGCCGUAUCCUCCACCGCCGGCCAGCGCGAUUCUGUUUUUUUUUCUCGCGCGCCGCCGUUCUCCCCUCGAAUCCUCCUACGCCGUCCCCAUCACCGGUCGCGUUCCCGAACCAGCACCCUCCUCGCUGCCCGCCGGCGACCCGUACCCCUCGACGGCCCCCACGGCGCUCCUUCGCCGCCGGCCCGAGCGACCCCCGCCGAACCGGCGGCGGAGGAGCGGCCGUGGGGGCCGUCGAGGGUCGGGUCGCCGGGGGAGCGAGGAGUGGCGGUCGGGAACGCGACGGUGGAUGGGGACGGCGCCAGGAGGAUUCGAGGGAGAACGGCGGGCGCGGGCGAAGAAAAAAAAAAGAGCGAUAGAAUUACACCAUUACACCAUUACCAUUACACAUUACCCAUUACCAUUACACUAUCACAACCAUUACUAUUACAUCACAUUACACCAUUACCAUUACACCAUUACACCAUUUACGCAUUACACCAUUACACCAUUACACCAUUUGCCAAUGGAGAAGAACACGCGCGGGUCUUUUUCAUUUUCUUCUUCUUUUUCCAUUUUCUUUCUUCUUCUCGCUCGGAGGACCCUCGACUCCCUCGAUCUCCGCUGACAGGGGCGCGCCUUCCGCCGCCGCCUCGGCGGCGCCGAUGGCGUCGUCAGAUGAGGAGACGUUUUCACACCCAGCGGCGCAUCGCCGGAGUCGGCGUACAGCGACAGCCCCAGCAGCCCCAUCUCGCGGCGGUGGUGUCGAAAGCUCGUCGGCGAUGGUGAGGGAGCUGCUCGAGGUGGUGCUCGCGCUGUUGAGCUCGGGCUUGGCGGCCGCCGACCUGCGCUGGUCGACGAGGCCGCGCAGGCCGCGGGCUGCGACGAGCGGAGAAGCCGCGAAGCUCGGGGCCAGCUCUGCCACCACCGCCGCGUUGCUCCGCCGCAGCGGCUCAUUCUCCUCCACCAACGCCGUCGCUCCUCCUACGUUGGCGGCGGCGGCGACGGAGGCGGUAGGGGUGGGGCCGAGGACGAGGAGGCGAGGAGGAGAGCGGGAGUCGGUCUAGGGCUAGGGUCCGCGGCGACGGGAUCGAAGAAAGGAGAGAGAAAAAAAAGAGGAGAGAGAAAAAUAUAAAAGGGUAUUUUGGUCAGUUUGCUGAAAAAGUGGACCGAAUCUCCAAAAACGAAAAAGGUGGCGCGGUUUUGCAAAAACCCAAAAUAAGUGGAUUUUUUAUGCAAAAAGGCCAAUAAUAAUAUGUAUUAUUAUAUCUAACUAUAUCUAUCUAUAUCUAUAUUUAUACUACUUAUUUAUACUACUUACAAAAAUUAUGAGUUUUGAACUUUUUCGCUUUCCAAAAAUAUCUCUAUUUUUUUUACUAAUAUUUUCAUAUUCAAUAAUUUUGAACUAUUCAUUUCAAAUAAAUCUUCAAAUAAUAAUUUAUUCUCAAAUAUAAAUAUUAAGUUUUCGCCGUUGGAUUUCAUCCAACAAAUAAAAAUACAUUGGAAUAAAAAUAAAAGUAUCUGUCAUACAUUUUCGCUGUUGGAUUUCAUCCAACGAAUAAAAAUAAAAAUAAAAAUAUUUGUCACUUUUAUUGAGAAAAAUACCCUCCAUAUCUAUGCGUUUCUCAAAUAUUUUCUUUCUACCCACCAAUUAUGUAAUACGUAAAACUAAAUUUAUCUCCUAUCUAACGUAAUACCCGCCAAUUACGUAAUAUCUCCGCUAAUCACAACGUAAUACCCGCCAAUCACGUAAUAUCUCCGCUAAUCACGUAAUACCUAAAAUUAAAUUUAUUUUUUAUUCACGCUUUUUCUCAAAUAUUUUUUUUCUCAAACAUAAUACAUGUCAAUCACGUAGUAUUCAAAAUUAAAUUUUUAAAUUUGUAAUGCCUGCCAAAAUUUAAUACCCGCCAAUUUGAUAAUUUGAAUUUUAAUUCAUGAUAGUUGAUUUUUUCUUACAAAAGAUAGUAGAUUUAAUUUUGACGAGUAUUAAAAUUUAACCCCGAAAUCAAAACUAAAUCGUUAAUUAAAUAUAAUUUUAAAUAUUUUUAGUAUUAUUCUUCUUACUUUUAGUGUAAUUUGCAUGGAAAGAAGACUGGUCAUGACAUUUUCAGUUAGUUUAGUGACGGAUUUUGUAUUUUUUGUUCAAUGAUACUAUGAUAGAUUUUGUGUUCUUUCUUUGAUGAUAUUGUGAUUCUACUUUUUAUUUAUGUCAUUUUAUUUUGUAAUGAUUAAAUACUAUAUAUUGAAUCCAUAAUAUUUAUUUAUAAAAAUUUUAUUUUUUUGGUAUUUGUGCGACGUGCAUUGCACGUGCACUUAACUAGAUUUAGUUCGCAAAUUUUCGGGAGCACCAAUCAAAGUUAUAGAAGAAGUUAUAGAAGAAUAAUACCGCAACGAAGUAUAUCGGAUGCAUGUAAGGUGACAAAGAAGAUUGAGCGACAAAUGUCACUGGGGUUUUGACGGGAGAGACCUAACAAAUAGCAAGGCAUAUAUUCUUUUAUUUGUCAUUCUUUUGUAUGUUGAAAAGAAACUUAGUAAAUAGAAAAAUAUAAAACUACAAUAUGGUAGAGGUAAAAACUUCAUUAAAUUGCAGGAUUCUGAAACAACAAUUGCUGAUUUUGUUCAUGGAAGUGUACUGGCAUGUAUGAAAAUUUUCUUGUAGUCACUUGCAGUGUACUUUUUUUUCUUUUUUUUUUUGAGAGAUAGUUAGCACGCUACUUGCUUUGUUUAUUUCAUUUAGAAAUAAACUUAGCUAUAAAUGUGAAUCAACUAGGAUUUGAAUUUGGGUCUCGAAUACCAAUCAUCAAGCUCUUUGCCCCUUGCUCUAGAGAUGGUCGGUCACUUGCAGUAUACUGCACAAACAUUUUGAGGUGAAGUUACAUCUUAUAUCAACAUAACUCUCGAUAGAAGAUUGAUAAGUGACCUUACUACCCCAUGCCGCAAUAUGUGUGUUCAGAUAUCUUUAAAGGUUUCAAGCUCAAACUUCAUAAUAUCACCACAUUUGUCAAAUACGUCGUCUAGUGUUCUUUAGUUUGUGAUGCAAGAAAGAUGGGCACCCUUUUGAUACGUGUAAAUUGUAUUUAAAAUUCACUGCAGAAGAAAUCAGCCUUUUUUGUUGUCUACAAUAUGCAUGCAUGACGUUUUUUUGGCAACAAAAAUAAAAGUUAGUUUGUCAAUAAACUUUUCUUCACUUGUUUUUCUGAAGAAAUCAAUCCUCUAGUUCACUCCACUACUUAAAUUUGAGCUAUGAAAAUAAAUAUAUUAAAAACAAAAGUAUUAACCAAAUAAGGCUUAAAUGUGAGGCCUAAAUAUAAUUUGAUCGGGUAAUCUACAAAAGACACUGCUUGUCAGUGUACAUCUCGCAACUUUUUUCAGAAUUUUUCAAGAUACAACAGCAAGGAAAAACUAGAAAUCUUGUUUUCAGCAUGAAUAUAACUAUCUAAAAUUUAAAAUAAUUGAAAGAUCACACAAUUCUAAAGUUAAAUACGUAAGGCUCUUUACGUAGGUAAAUAUCUUUAUAAGCAAUGUGCUAUCAUAAGGGUGCAAUUAUAAUAACAAAGAAAAACUUUAUUCGUCAGUGAAAGCGGACGACAAUGCAGGAGAUGCUAGCUUUACUCAUUCUAGUGAGAGCCUCCGCUGCCAAGCACUCCGCCGCCUUUUGAGCAUCCUCAAUAUGGCCUAUCAAGUCUACAGCUUCCUGGUACCUCAUAACCUAUAACAAAUAUGAGUAAUUUUCUCAAAUCCUUUUUUUAUGUCAAGGCUUAAAAGAUUAAAAUUUUACCUCCCAUACACCAUCACUAGCUAGUAUAAUGAAGUUGGUAUCGGAUUCUACAUUCUGUGCAGUGAUAGCAAGCCUCGACUUCUUUCGGGGCUUGUGUUCUUCACUAUUUGUCACGCACUUCAAUUGCAGCAAACCUGUUCGACAUAACACAUCAAAUUAUUAUUUGAACAAAUGAAAGAUUCAACUGUUGCUUUAAUGUACCAAUUAAUGAAUUGAUAAAAAGUAGCAAAAAGAACAUGACCGCAUGAUUUUCCUUCUUGAGCAAAAACUAUGGCAUAAAUAAUUUCACAAGACAAUUAAAUAAAUAAUGGUUCCAAGAUGAUAGUUCCAUAAAAUAGUCAGAGAUAAUAUGUUGCUUUCGAAUAGUUGAGUAAGCACCUGACAUAAAAGACCUUCCUUUCUUCGUUUUAUUUUUUUCGACCAAUCUACGUCGCCGCACCGUCCUUACAGACCACAACUUUGUAUCCGCCACCAAAAUCUGCUGCUAUAAAUUUCUUACCAUUCAUAACAAGCAAAGUUGUGGACCCUGCAACUUCAUUUGCACCAUCUCCUUUGUGCACAUUUGCCCUGGAAUUGAUAUAGGCCUUUAUCAUGAUUUCUUUGGCUUUUUUCCUUAUUUGGAUCUACAUUCGAAAAAUCGCAAAUCAUAGCGAGCAAUAAUUUUUUUCGCUUCUAAGAGAAAACAUAUUACAAUAUGGUACAGUAAAAUAUCACCAAGCAUGAUCAAGCAACCACUUAUAUGGUUGUAACAAAAUUUGUAACUAGCGAAUAUUUUGAAUAAGUCAAAUUGUAUACCUCAUUAAGAUUCUUUUGAAAGAGAUGAGAUUGCAGAUACUUUGUGAUGCCACCACCUGGUCCACCUAUUUGCUGAUCAAAGGCUCCAAACAACUAUAACUCUAAGCCUUCUAUUUAUUUCCUUUGCGCGAGCAUGGAGCCUUCAGAGUUACCAUCCCUCUCGACUGAAUAAAACCCAUGAGAGAUUCCUAUCCAUUUAUUGUUCUUCAAUAGUUCCUUGUCCUUUAUACCCCUUGUAGCAAACCUUCUGUAAGGAAGUGAAUUCUCGAAACUCGAGGAUUAGACUUCGAUUAGAAUCGACUAGUGGUUGAGUGUGCAAUCUUCGGAAAGUCCGAAGGUGAUCUUAAUGCGCAAAGUGCAUUAAGGAGAGGUCCGCGAGAGCACCAGUGCAAAACUUGCACUGGAGCAGAAAUGCUCUCGGGGACCGGUCCCUGGCAAGGAGGGACCGGUCCCAUCAGGCUGGGUUGUGGAGGUCUCUGAUGAGACCGGUCCCUGGUGGGCAGGGACCGGUUCCCGAACGUUGGCCCAGCGAAAAUAGCCGAAAUUUGCCUAAGUCCCGAAAAUUCAGCUUUUGGGAACCGGUCUCUCGGACAAGGACCGGUCUCCCGGGGACCGGUCUCUCAGGCAAGGACCGGUUCCCGAACGCGAAAUCCCCUCUGCUCGAAAUGGCAGCCUUCGGGGACCGGUCUCCCCGAGCUGGGACCGGUCCCUCGCUGCGAAAAUGCCCAGAGAGGGCUGAUUCAAAGGAUGAAAAGUUGAGGGGGCUAUUUGCAAAAUGUCCUAUAUGAGGGCUUGGGGACCCCUCUCUCUCCCUCAGUUGCUCUCUAACUCUCUCUCACUCUUUCCCUCUCUCUCUCUAGAAGGAGAAGAAGAAGAAGAAGGAGAAGAAGAGAAGAAAGAAGAAGAAAGAGAAGAAGAAGGCUAAGAAGAAGAGGAGAGUCAUCUUUUCUCCCUCUCCCUCAAGCUUGGAGCUUAGGUUAGAGGUAAGCUUCUAACCCUCUAAUGGUAAUUCUAGGAUUUUGGGUUUUUAUGGGUAAGAAUUGGUUCAAAUGGAACCUAGAAAAGAUAAGUAGAUGGUUCGGGCUCGCAAUUGAAGCUCGCACCAUGGAUUUCCCUCUCGUCGCCAUUCUAGGGCACGGAUUUGGGAUUUUAGCAAAUCUAGGGUUUUGAUCUAUUUUAAUGGGUCAUAAACCUAAUUGCUAGGUCUUGGAACGCGUCGGCGAAGACGGUUUGCCGAUCCGACGAGCGAGUGCGGAGUUAUUGCCGAAUUGGGUACUCGAGGGCUCGCUUCGCCCGAGGAGUUGAAGCGACGUGCAAAGAUCGCAACGUCGAGUUUUCUAUUGUCGCGACAUCGCCAAGAGGUGGGUGGUGUCCAUCCCGAAGCAAUCGGGCUCCCUUCUUUGUCUUAGUACAUGUCGAUUCUUGCAUCUUGCAUUAUUGCAUUAUAGGAUGAUUAUGCAUUGCCUUUCCUUAUGCCUUCUUUGAUGAUAUCGUAGCAUGUAUUGGAUAUUUGACAUAGUGGAUUGAUAAGGAUUGGGUCGAGACUUGUGAAUCCUAUAGUGCAGAGAAAGUGAUGGGCUCAAUGGUUGGUCUAAUGUUAAACAAAGAACGAGUGGCACCUAGUCGAUAGUAAACAAUGGACGAGUGGCAUUUAGUUGAUAGUAAGCAAAGAACAAAUGACACAUAUGAGUCGUAGCGUAUGUGAAGCCUAUGGACUAUAUGAUGAUUGUAACCCUAGAGGAUAGGGUAUUCUUGAGACGAGGAUUGGAUCAUGCUCACGGUCUGUUUCUAAAUCUUGUGAUGGAAGCCCCACACAAGUAGUGCUCUCCGGAUGUUGGUCACGUGGGAUCGCUUAUUUUGGGUCCCAAGGGUUUGCCUAUUUAGGCCCCGGCAGACGGUCUCGGUUCGUAGUGCGAGUUGACCCUCCCUACCUUCGAGAUGGCUAGUGAGCAGUAGGCUCCUUCAGGGAAGCCAUGAGAUUAAGAAACAAGUGAAUAAGAUCGAUGAACAGGUACAUAGCUUUACCUUUGACAUGACGACAGGUUAGUUGCUUACCAAUUCAUUAGACAUGCAUUCAUAUAUCUAUGAUUGGGCAUAGUAGUGUAGCUUUACUUUCCUGUCCUUACAGUUUUUCCUAAUAUAAAUGUAUCUACUUGUGCCCGCUUGGACCUAGUGGGGAGAUCGGCGGAGUCGGCGGCCGAACCCACUGGGAACUAAGGAAGUUAGUUCUCACCCCAUUUUUUACAGGUUCCAGUUCGGGUGUCCCCGGUGAGCGUGAGGAUCGCGGUAAGGGCCCGGCGUUUUAGUCGCAUUAGCUACCUCCCUUUUUGCAUUAGCCGUCACCCUUUUGUACUUGAGAGUAGAUGAUGUAUAGGGUGAGGUUGAGUGCUUGUACUUAUGUUUUUGGAUGAAUGUAAAAGAUGUACUUAAAUGUAUUGAGCCAAUGAGUGUAAUAGAUUACAUCUUCUCUCUUAUGUACUUGUAUAUUUUCUAUACUCGUAUCUUGCUCUUGGUUGUUGCACUAGUGGUGCUUCUUGAUCGUGUAUUUAUGAAUUGAUUCCUGGGUAAAUUCUUAUACAUGAUCCGUUGGUUAGCCUUGGACGGACAGGGAAGGUCCUGUCCGUUCGGCGUCUGUUCGACGCGUCCGGGGCCGAACCAAAUUGGUAGCGGUCACGGGGCAUGACACCUUCUCACCUUAAAAAUUUCCAACCCAAAAAAAAGGGAACAAAUUCAGUUAGUAUAUCUAUAUACUUUUUUGAACAAUACUAUGCAUGGUUGAUUUCCUCAUAAGUGAUGGUUUCCUCCAAAUAAUUGACAACAACAUUAAAAUAUCGAUUAGUCUAGUGAUUUCAAAAAGCAUACAUAUAGAUCUCUAAUUUUUUUUAAAAAAAAGAGAAGUAGAUUUGCGUCUAUUUAUAUUCAUAUUUUGAUUGUUCUACCCUCAACUCACAUUAGAGUAAAAAUAAAACAAGUUAUUUGAUAAAUAAAUAAUAAAUCACAGAAGAGAAAAGAGAUAAAAGAAGUAACUCAAAUUACCUUAAUUCUUUUUAGAAGAACACCUAAAGCCAUUUUUGUGAUCCUCGAUUAAUCCAGAAUUUUAUUAUUAUACAUAAUAGCAGAGAGUGAAUGUGAGAUCCCUGGUGUUCAGCAGUGAAGGCUUGUCGACAGCUCUGGAGAGUGUCGGAACAAGUCUGAGUCGCGUUGGCGCGAAAUAGACGCAAAACAGACUCUGUACGACGCGAGAGCAGCAUUUAGCAAGAAAAUCUGCAAAUAAUUAUUUUUCUGCUUGCUGUACCGGUACAGAUGCGGCUGCGUAUCGGUAUACUUUGCCUGGAUACGCGCAGCUGCUCUCGGGUUGGCAUCUGUAUCGGUACACUUGCACGUGUACCGGUACAUUUGAGUUGGUGGUGGGCUUUUUGGUAAAUUUGCUUGCCUCGUUGUAUCAACUCUUCAUCCCCUUGCUAUAUACGUGUAGGAGCAGAGAGAGAGAGAGCUAUUUACUACUCUUCUCCUCCUCUCUCUCUCUCUCUCUCUCUAGCAUUGAUCGAAUAGGAGGAGCUUGGGUGGAGUAGAUUCGCCGUCGACGUCGCGCCGCAGAACCGUUCGAGCCUACAUUUGUCGCCGUAGCAUAGCGAGGAGGCCGGGCGAGAGUGUGUUACUGCCGUCAUCGACAUCGCACAGAUACUAGGGUCGCUGUCGAGGUAGGUGUGCCGUCAAAUUGCUUCUUUAUUUCCAAGCUUCUUCAAAUUCGGGCUAGGUGCUGUCCCUGCAGAUUUCCAGCAUCGAUCGUUGGCGUUUCGGCUCGUACUCAACGUAGGAGCGUCGGAUUUUGACGAGAUUUGGUUCGUUGGAUUCAGGACUUCGAGAGGAAUCCACGAAGCCCUUAUUUGCUGGAUUUGGUGAAGGUUUGCUGGGGCGGAAUUAUAAUCUUCUCUGCUGCUGUUUUUGAGGCAGAAUUGAUGCUUAUUGUCGGAUUCUACGUGUAAAGUUUGGCGGGAGCUUGACUUCUGGCCUUUGGAGGUUUUCGGUUGAUCCAGCAGGGUAUUCCCUUGUGUCGGGACUUCCUCGCUGCCAGGGAUUAGCGACUAAGGUGGGUUAAUCAUCGGCUUAUACUCCUAAGUGCCUAGUAGUCAACAUGUGUAAAUUUCAGAUUUUGUGUAGUUUACUUUAGCUCGAAUUCAUGGAUUAUUAUGUGAAUUGCAAAUUUGAAUUUGGAGCAUGUGAUAAUAAAUUAAGUAAUUUAUACAUGUUGGACCUGGAAAUUAAAUUAGGAGAAAACCGGCGAGUUGGACCUGUCAUCAGUUACACUACCUAAUUUAGCCCUAGGGGCCGUUGUAUUAUUUUAUAUUGUAGCAGUAUCCUCAUAAUAAGUAUUCCAGGUAGUUUAACUUUUAGUUACGCUCGUGCUGGGAUGCCGAGUACAUUUUUAUAGUAGCGUUCAGGCUGUUCUGGACUGUUGGGUGCCGUCGAGGUUGACGGUGGACCCGUAUCGCCUUUUUGGCGACGGAUUGUGCCGAGGGCACGUAACCUGUUGGUGGUUAGACCAGUUAGAGUCGGUCACUUAGAUUUUGGCUUCAGGUAGAGCCUGAUUGAGCUCGACAGAGAUACGCUGUAUACUCGGUUGGGUAGCUCCCAUGAGUGCCACUCCGGAGACGGGCGUUGUGCUUUCGCGUUGGUGUCGUUCAUGCCGGUUGGACUUGCUCUCCACGGACUAGAUAGUGUGGAGGUAGCUGGAUAGUCGCAACUGGGCAGGGACGGGUGUGUUCACAGUCCCAGGGACGGCUAUGCUUACAGUCCCGCUUAGAUUGGGUCAGAUUUGACAUUUCCUACAGUUGGUUAGUGUAGAGCAUGAUAGUGUAGUGAUUCAUAGUGGUAGAUUUUAUUCCUGCAUUUACUACUAUCCCUACUCCCUUCUGUAGACUUAGUGGGUGGACCGAUGUUGUUGAGGGCGGCACCCACUGAGGACUACUUGUUUUACAGUAGUUCUCACGCCCUGUUGUUACCCUAUUUUUGCAGAGCCAUUGUCUUCGGCUGCUGCUGUUGCUGACCAGGAUCGAGGCAAGGGCGUCGCGAGUUAGAGCCCUACCCGACGAGCCGAGCUAGAGGUGCCCCUGCAGCAGGUAGUGNNNNNNNNNNNNNNNNNNNNNNNNNNNNNNNNNNNNNNNNNNNNNNNNNNNNNNNNNNNNNNNNNNNNNNNNNNNNNNNNNNNNNNNNNNNNNNNNNNNNNNNNNNNNNNNNNNNNNNNNNNNNNNNNNNNNNNNNNNNNNNNNNNNNNNNNNNNNNNNNNNNNNNNNNNNNNNNNNNNNNNNNNNNNNNNNNNNNNNNNNNNNNNNNNNNNNNNNNNNNNNNNNNNNNNNNNNNNNNNNNNNNNNNNNNNNNNNNNNNNNNNNNNNNNNNNNNNNNNNNNNNNNNNNNNNNNNNNNNNNNNNNNNNNNNNNNNNNNNNNNNNNNNNNNNNNNNNNNNNNNNNNNNNNNNNNNNNNNNNNNNNNNNNNNNNNNNNNNNNNNNNNNNNNNNNNNNNNNNNNNNNNNNNNNNNNNNNNNNNNNNNNNNNNNNNNNNNNNNNNNNNNNNNNNNNNNNNNNNNNNNNNNNNNNNNNNNNNNNNNNNNNNNNNNNNNNNNNNNNNNNNNNNNNNNNNNNNNNNNNNNNNNNNNNNNNNNNNNNNNNNNNNNNNNNNNNNNNNNNNNNNNNNNNNNNNNNNNNNNNNNNNNNNNNNNNNNNNNNNNNNNNNNNNNNNNNNNNNNNNNNNNNNNNNNNNNNNNNNNNNNNNNNNNNNNNNNNNNNNNNNNNNNNNNNNNNNNNNNNNNNNNNNNNNNNNNNNNNNNNNNNNNNNNNNNNNNNNNNNNNNNNNNNNNNNNNNNNNNNNNNNNNNNNNNNNNNNNNNNNNNNNNNNNNNNNNNNNNNNNNNNNNNNNNNNNNNNNNNNNNNNNNNNNNNNNNNNNNNNNNNNNNNNNNNNNNNNNNNNNNNNNNNNNNNNNNNNNNNNNNNNNNNNNNNNNNNNNNNNNNNNNNNNNNNNNNNNNNNNNNNNNNNNNNNNNNNNNNNNNNNNNNNNNNNNNNNNNNNNNNNNNNNNNNNNNNNNNNNNNNNNNNNNNNNNNNNNNNNNNNNNNNNNNNNNNNNNNNNNNNNNNNNNNNNNNNNNNNNNNNNNNNNNNNNNNNNNNNNNNNNNNNNNNNNNNNNNNNNNNNNNNNNNNNNNNNNNNNNNNNNNNNNNNNNNNNNNNNNNNNNNNNNNNNNNNNNNNNNNNNNNNNNNNNNNNNNNNNNNNNNNNNNNNNNNNNNNNNNNNNNNNNNNNNNNNNNNNNNNNNNNNNNNNNNNNNNNNNNNNNNNNNNNNNNNNNNNNNNNNNNNNNNNNNNNNNNNNNNNNNNNNNNNNNNNNNNNNNNNNNNNNNNNNNNNNNNNNNNNNNNNNNNNNNNNNNNNNNNNNNNNNNNNNNNNNNNNNNNNNNNNNNNNNNNNNNNNNNNNNNNNNNNNNNNNNNNNNNNNNNNNNNNNNNNNNNNNNNNNNNNNNNNNNNNNNNNNNNNNNNNNNNNNNNNNNNNNNNNNNNNNNNNNNNNNNNNNNNNNNNNNNNNNNNNNNNNNNNNNNNNNNNNNNNNNNNNNNNNNNNNNNNNNNNNNNNNNNNNNNNNNNNNNNNNNNNNNNNNNNNNNNNNNNNNNNNNNNNNNNNNNNNNNNNNNNNNNNNNNNNNNNNNNNNNNNNNNNNNNNNNNNNNNNNNNNNNNNNNNNNNNNNNNNNNNNNNNNNNNNNNNNNNNNNNNNNNNNNNNNNNNNNNNNNNNNNNNNNNNNNNNNNNNNNNNNNNNNNNNNNNNNNNNNNNNNNNNNNNNNNNNNNNNNNNNNNNNNNNNNNNNNNNNNNNNNNNNNNNNNNNNNNNNNNNNNNNNNNNNNNNNNNNNNNNNNNNNNNNNNNNNNNNNNNNNNNNNNNNNNNNNNNNNNNNNNNNNNNNNNNNNNNNNNNNNNNNNNNNNNNNNNNNNNNNNNNNNNNNNNNNNNNNNNNNNNNNNNNNNNNNNNNNNNNNNNNNNNNNNNNNNNNNNNNNNNNNNNNNNNNNNNNNNNNNNNNNNNNNNNNNNNNNNNNNNNNNNNNNNNNNNNNNNNNNNNNNNNNNNNNNNNNNNNNNNNNNNNNNNNNNNNNNNNNNNNNNNNNNNNNNNNNNNNNNNNNNNNNNNNNNNNNNNNNNNNNNNNNNNNNNNNNNNNNNNNNNNNNNNNNNNNNNNNNNNNNNNNNNNNNNNNNNNNNNNNNNNNNNNNNNNNNNNNNNNNNNNNNNNNNNNNNNNNNNNNNNNNNNNNNNNNNNNNNNNNNNNNNNNNNNNNNNNNNNNNNNNNNNNNNNNNNNNNNNNNNNNNNNNNNNNNNNNNNNNNNNNNNNNNNNNNNNNNNNNNNNNNNNNNNNNNNNNNNNNNNNNNNNNNNNNNNNNNNNNNNNNNNNNNNNNNNNNNNNNNNNNNNNNNNNNNNNNNNNNNNNNNNNNNNNNNNNNNNNNNNNNNNNNNNNNNNNNNNNNNNNNNNNNNNNNNNNNNNNNNNNNNNNNNNNNNNNNNNNNNNNNNNNNNNNNNNNNNNNNNNNNNNNNNNNNNNNNNNNNNNNNNNNNNNNNNNNNNNNNNNNNNNNNNNNNNNNNNNNNNNNNNNNNNNNNNNNNNNNNNNNNNNNNNNNNNNNNNNNNNNNNNNNNNNNNNNNNNNNNNNNNNNNNNNNNNNNNNNNNNNNNNNNNNNNNNNNNNNNNNNNNNNNNNNNNNNNNNNNNNNNNNNNNNNNNNNNNNNNNNNNNNNNNNNNNNNNNNNNNNNNNNNNNNNNNNNNNNNNNNNNNNNNNNNNNNNNNNNNNNNNNNNNNNNNNNNNNNNNNNNNNNNNNNNNNNNNNNNNNNNNNNNNNNNNNNNNNNNNNNNNNNNNNNNNNNNNNNNNNNNNNNNNNNNNNNNNNNNNNNNNNNNNNNNNNNNNNNNNNNNNNNNNNNNNNNNNNNNNNNNNNNNNNNNNNNNNNNNNNNNNNNNNNNNNNNNNNNNNNNNNNNNNNNNNNNNNNNNNNNNNNNNNNNNNNNNNNNNNNNNNNNNNNNNNNNNNNNNNNNNNNNNNNNNNNNNNNNNNNNNNNNNNNNNNNNNNNNNNNNNNNNNNNNNNNNNNNNNNNNNNNNNNNNNNNNNNNNNNNNNNNNNNNNNNNNNNNNNNNNNNNNNNNNNNNNNNNNNNNNNNNNNNNNNNNNNNNNNNNNNNNNNNNNNNNNNNNNNNNNNNNNNNNNNNNNNNNNNNNNNNNNNNNNNNNNNNNNNNNNNNNNNNNNNNNNNNNNNNNNNNNNNNNNNNNNNNNNNNNNNNNNNNNNNNNNNNNNNNNNNNNNNNNNNNNNNNNNNNNNNNNNNNNNNNNNNNNNNNNNNNNNNNNNNNNNNNNNNNNNNNNNNNNNNNNNNNNNNNNNNNNNNNNNNNNNNNNNNNNNNNNNNNNNNNNNNNNNNNNNNNNNNNNNNNNNNNNNNNNNNNNNNNNNNNNNNNNNNNNNNNNNNNNNNNNNNNNNNNNNNNNNNNNNNNNNUGAGGAUCGCGGUAAGGGCCCGGCGUUUUAGUCGCAUUAGCUACCUCCCUUUUUGCAUUAGCCGUCACCCUUUUGUACUUGAGAGUAGAUGAUGUAUAGGGUGAGGUUGAGUGCUUGUACUUAUGUUUUUGGAUGAAUGUAAAAGAUGUACUUAAAUGUAUUGAGCCAAUGAGUGUAAUAGAUUACAUCUUCUCUCUUAUGUACUUGUAUAUUUUCUAUACUCGUAUCUUGCUCUUGGUUGUUGCACUAGUGGUGCUUCUUGAUCGUGUAUUUAUGAAUUGAUUCCUGGGUAAAUUCUUAUACAUGAUCCGUUGGUUAGCCUUGGACGGACAGGGAAGGUCCUGUCCGUUCGGCGUCUGUUCGACGCGUCCGGGGCCGAACCAAAUUGGUAGCGGUCACGGGGCAUGACACCUUCUCACCUUAAAAAUUUCCAACCCAAAAAAAAGGGAACAAAUUCAGUUAGUAUAUCUAUAUACUUUUUUGAACAAUACUAUGCAUGGUUGAUUUCCUCAUAAGUGAUGGUUUCCUCCAAAUAAUUGACAACAACAUUAAAAUAUCGAUUAGUCUAGUGAUUUCAAAAAGCAUACAUAUAGAUCUCUAAUUUUUUUUAAAAAAAAGAGAAGUAGAUUUGCGUCUAUUUAUAUUCAUAUUUUGAUUGUUCUACCCUCAACUCACAUUAGAGUAAAAAUAAAACAAGUUAUUUGAUAAAUAAAUAAUAAAUCACAGAAGAGAAAAGAGAUAAAAGAAGUAACUCAAAUUACCUUAAUUCUUUUUAGAAGAACACCUAAAGCCAUUUUUGUGAUCCUCGAUUAAUCCAGAAUUUUAUUAUUAUACAUAAUAGCAGAGAGUGAAUGUGAGAUCCCUGGUGUUCAGCAGUGAAGGCUUGUCGACAGCUCUGGAGAGUGUCGGAACAAGUCUGAGUCGCGUUGGCGCGAAAUAGACGCAAAACAGACUCUGUACGACGCGAGAGCAGCAUUUAGCAAGAAAAUCUGCAAAUAAUUAUUUUUCUGCUUGCUGUACCGGUACAGAUGCGGCUGCGUAUCGGUAUACUUUGCCUGGAUACGCGCAGCUGCUCUCGGGUUGGCAUCUGUAUCGGUACACUUGCACGUGUACCGGUACAUUUGAGUUGGUGGUGGGCUUUUUGGUAAAUUUGCUUGCCUCGUUGUAUCAACUCUUCAUCCCCUUGCUAUAUACGUGUAGGAGCAGAGAGAGAGAGAGCUAUUUACUACUCUUCUCCUCCUCUCUCUCUCUCUCUCUCUCUAGCAUUGAUCGAAUAGGAGGAGCUUGGGUGGAGUAGAUUCGCCGUCGACGUCGCGCCGCAGAACCGUUCGAGCCUACAUUUGUCGCCGUAGCAUAGCGAGGAGGCCGGGCGAGAGUGUGUUACUGCCGUCAUCGACAUCGCACAGAUACUAGGGUCGCUGUCGAGGUAGGUGUGCCGUCAAAUUGCUUCUUUAUUUCCAAGCUUCUUCAAAUUCGGGCUAGGUGCUGUCCCUGCAGAUUUCCAGCAUCGAUCGUUGGCGUUUCGGCUCGUACUCAACGUAGGAGCGUCGGAUUUCAGCAAGACUUGGUUCGUUGGAUUCANCAGAUACUAGGGUCGCUGUCGAGGUAGGUGUGCCGUCAAAUUGCUUCUUUAUUUCCAAGCUUCUUCAAAUUCGGGCUAGGUGCUGUCCCUGCAGAUUUCCAGCAUCGAUCGUUGGCGUUUCGGCUCGUACUCAACGUAGGAGCGUCGGAUUUUGACGAGAUUUGGUUCGUUGGAUUCAGGACUUCGAGAGGAAUCCACGAAGCCCUUAUUUGCUGGAUUUGGUGAAGGUUUGCUGGGGCGGAAUUAUAAUCUUCUCUGCUGCUGUUUUUGAGGCAGAAUUGAUGCUUAUUGUCGGAUUCUACGUGUAAAGUUUGGCGGGAGCUUGACUUCUGGCCUUUGGAGGUUUUCGGUUGAUCCAGCAGGGUAUUCCCUUGUGUCGGGACUUCCUCGCUGCCAGGGAUUAGCGACUAAGGUGGGUUAAUCAUCGGCUUAUACUCCUAAGUGCCUAGUAGUCAACAUGUGUAAAUUUCAGAUUUUGUGUAGUUUACUUUAGCUCGAAUUCAUGGAUUAUUAUGUGAAUUGCAAAUUUGAAUUUGGAGCAUGUGAUAAUAAAUUAAGUAAUUUAUACAUGUUGGACCUGGAAAUUAAAUUAGGAGAAAACCGGCGAGUUGGACCUGUCAUCAGUUACACUACCUAAUUUAGCCCUAGGGGCCGUUGUAUUAUUUUAUAUUGUAGCAGUAUCCUCAUAAUAAGUAUUCCAGGUAGUUUAACUUUUAGUUACGCUCGUGCUGGGAUGCCGAGUACAUUUUUAUAGUAGCGUUCAGGCUGUUCUGGACUGUUGGGUGCCGUCGAGGUUGACGGUGGACCCGUAUCGCCUUUUUGGCGACGGAUUGUGCCGAGGGCACGUAACCUGUUGGUGGUUAGACCAGUUAGAGUCGGUCACUUAGAUUUUGGCUUCAGGUAGAGCCUGAUUGAGCUCGACAGAGAUACGCUGUAUACUCGGUUGGGUAGCUCCCAUGAGUGCCACUCCGGAGACGGGCGUUGUGCUUUCGCGUUGGUGUCGUUCAUGCCGGUUGGACUUGCUCUCCACGGACUAGAUAGUGUGGAGGUAGCUGGAUAGUCGCAACUGGGCAGGGACGGGUGUGUUCACAGUCCCAGGGACGGCUAUGCUUACAGUCCCGCUUAGAUUGGGUCAGAUUUGACAUUUCCUACAGUUGGUUAGUGUAGAGCAUGAUAGUGUAGUGAUUCAUAGUGGUAGAUUUUAUUCCUGCAUUUACUACUAUCCCUACUCCCUUCUGUAGACUUAGUGGGUGGACCGAUGUUGUUGAGGGCGGCACCCACUGAGGACUACUUGUUUUACAGUAGUUCUCACGCCCUGUUGUUACCCUAUUUUUGCAGAGCCAUUGUCUUCGGCUGCUGCUGUUGCUGACCAGGAUCGAGGCAAGGGCGUCGCGAGUUAGAGCCCUACCCGACGAGCCGAGCUAGAGGUGCCCCUGCAGCAGGUAGUGAUUUUUGUGGGAGUUUAUGUACAUAUUGCUGUUUAAAUCGCCAAUGCGAGUAAUUUUUGUAUCUUGGAUUUUGAUGUAUGUAUAUGGAACUCGAUUUGUUUUAUUUCUGAUUUUUCCAGCAGCUCUAUACUACUGUUUGUAGUAUUGUAUGAUUUACAAGUGCAGCUAUCGCUUCGUAUACAGGAAAAAUUUCUUUGUAUACGACGGAUUUAUCGGCGUGCCCGGGGAACGUGUAAUCCGGGGCGUGACAGUGGAGAGGAAGAAUGGGGAAAAAAAUGAUAAAACUACUGUAACAAAGGCGAUGUGAGGUGUGGAAAAAAAAAGAAAAAGUUAAAAGUUUAUGCGAUAUUAUCCGGUAGAUUUUGAUCCAACGGUUGAAAUUCUAAAUGUAAAUAUAUAGACCUCUUUAUCUAUACUACUUAUCUAUAUUAUUAUCUAUAUCUAUACUACUUAUAAAAGCGUGAGUUUUAAAUUUUUUUUCUCUUUCCAAAAAUACCUCUAUCUUUUCUACUAAUAUUUUAUGUUCAAUAAUUUGCAACCAUUCGUUUCAAAUAAUUUUCCAAAUAAUAAUUUAUUCUCAAAUAUAGAUCUUAAAUUUUUACCAUUGGAUCUCAUCCAACGAUUAAAAAUAAAAGUAUCUGUAACUUUUCUUGACAAAAAUACCAUCAAUAUCCGUUAUCUUCUAUCUACGCGUUUUACAAAUAUCUACGUAUUUUCUCAAACGUAAUUCCCGUCAUAACUUAAAAUAUCCGUUAUAUCAUAUCUACGGGGUUCCUUAAAUAUUUUGUUUCUCACACACGCUCAAACGCGUCAUAAAUUAAAAUAUCCGUUAUCUCCUAUUUGCGUGUUUAUCAAAUAUUUUAUUUUUCACACGUAAUACUUGCCCCAAUUACGUAAAAUAUUACUAAAAAGAUUUAAUACCCACCUAAGCAAAACUAAAUUGUUAAUUAAAUAUAAUUUUAUAUUUUUAAAUUUUUUUAGUAAAAUAUUCAAAAGUAAUACCCGUCAAAAUAUUUUAUCGUUUCUCAAAUAUAGAGCAUUAUCUUAAUGCACUCGCAAAUAAUAUCUACAUAUCUUUGCAUAUAAUAUCUACACUAUCUAAUCUUUAUCUCAUCAUAAUAUUUAUUCACACACAGAAUAUAUAUUUUUGGAGACAUAUUUUUUUAGUAAUAUCUUUUUUAUUUUCACCUAUAUUUUUCUCAAAUAUUUUUUUAAGUAAUAUCCUUUCUCAUAUGUCCCCAUCGCUAGCACCAGUAUAUCGUCGCAUAUUGUUAUCGUCAACACCAGCACAUGUCACUUUCACCACCUUCGUUAUAGUUAGAGAGAUAUUUUGAUCUCACCUGAAAAUUUUUUAUUUUUUUAAUGUGUAUUUAUACUAUUUUAGCAUUUAUUUUGAUAUUUUUUUUAUUUUUACGUAUACGUUUAUCAAAUAUAAAGUAUAUAUAGUGUAUAAAACAUGCAAAAACUUUUCAAAAUAUGAGCAAUAGGAUUCAAAAUUCUUCUAAAAUUGUAUUAAUAUUUUUACGAUCUUUUUCAAAUCAAUUUGUAUAUAUAUAUAUAUAUAUUUUUGAGAGUGUAAAAAAUAUUAAAUCAUUGUCCAAAUUAAGUCCAAUUAAUUUGAACAAUAAUAAUUGGGGAAUAGUAGUAUAGUUAGUCUAUAUUUCAAUUUCAUUAAUAACUUUAAAUGAAUAUAUAUUUUAGAAAAAAAUUAUUUGAUAUUUUCAAAUAAGUCUCACGUGUAUUGCACGUGCAUAUGACUAGUUACUUAUAAAAGAUGGAGUUUUAAAAUUUUCACAUAUUAGCAAUAUCAUUAAUUCAACUUCAAUGGAAUAAAUCACUCUCGUAUAAUUUUUAUUUUAUUUUUGAAUUAUCAUAAAAUAUAUUAAUUUUUAGUCAUUGAAUCUAAUCCAAUGACUGACAAAUUAAGUAUUUGUCACUUUUUUUACCUAAAUUGCCCUCAGUUAGUAUGUAUCAAAUCCAAUAUUUUAUACGUGUACCUUAUCUCCUAAUAACCGUCACCGACAUAAUAUUCAUAUUUCAUCUUAUCAGAAUUUAUAUCUAUAUCUAUCUAUAUCUAUACUAAUAAAAGCGUGAGUUUUGAAUUUUUUUUCUUUCCAAAAAUAUCUUUAUUUUCUUUACUAAUAUUAAAUGUCCAGUAAUUUUCAACCAAUCAUUUCAAAUAAUUCACUAAGUAAUAAUUUAUUCUCAAAUUCUCAAAUAAAGAUAUUAAUUUUUUGCCAUUAAAUCUCAUCUACCAAUUGAAAAUAAAAAUAUUUAUCACUUUUUGUGACAAUAAUACCCUCACAUUUAUAUCAUAUUUUCUAUCUAUGUAUUUCUUAAAUAUUUUUCUUCUCACGCGUAAUAUGCGUACCUGUCAAUUUUUUCUCAACAUAAUAUCUGUGAAUUCUUACCAAUCCUUUUUUAACGUAAUAUUCGUUAAUUUCUUAAAUAUCUCAUUAAUUCAUCUAUCAUACACGUCUACCGCCUACACAAUAUCCAGUUAAUUUUUCAAAUAUCUCAUCACCUAUCAUACACACCUAUCACCUACAAAAUAUCCGGUUAAUGUUUCUCACACGUAAUAUUCACGUGUUUCUCAACUAUCUCAUUAAAAUUUUAAUUUUUUCUCAUCAUUUCUAAAAUAUUCUCUCAACCUAUCAUAAUUUUGAAUUAAAUAUAUAUCUCCAUUACCCUCGCAUUUGAAUUUAAAUCUUAAAGUAUAUUAAAAUUAAAUUUUGAAUUUUGAAUUAAGCAUGAAUUUCUUUCCGAAAAUAUCUCUAUUUUUUUUAACUAAAGUUUCAUGGUCAGAAAUUUUGAACCAUUCAUUUUAAAUAAUUUAUUAAAUUUUGGAUUUCUAAAAAAUAUAUAAUAUCUUCACUACCCACGCAUUUGAAUUUAAAUCUUAGGACUUGUUUAGUUCAAUGGUGGAAUUGGAAUGGAUAAUGGAAUGGAAAUGAAUUGGAAUGGUAAUUGGAAUGGCCCACUUCUCCAAGACAUUUGGUUUAUUUGUAGAUUAAGAAUUGGAAUGAGUUAUUCACAUUUCAUUGUUUGGUUCGUAUAAACUAAAAAAAUUAUAGGAUACUAUAAUACUAAUUUUACUCUCAAAUAUAAAUUUAUAUUAUUUAAAAUUUAUGAAAAAUAUAAUAUUAUUCUCUAAUAAGUUUUUCAAAAAAAAUAUCAAAUUUAUUUUUAAAAACUUUUAUUGAUGUGGGUUAGGAAUAGAAUUUUUUUUUUUGUAUGAGAAAGGGGUGAAGAGAAGGAGGGUGAGAUAGUCACAUGGGCUUCGAGAACUUAGUGGGCUUCCGGAAUGAAAUCUCAAUCUGGGCUAGAAGAUCGAAAUCAAGUUGAAGGCUAAUGGGCCAUUCCCAUUUUAGUCCGGAAUAGAAAUCCCAAACCGAUUCAUACAAACCAAACAAAAUUAACCGAAUUUGAUCAAACCGAUUCUCAUCCAUACCCAAAAUGGAUGAACCAAACAAGCCCUUAAAGUGAAUCAAAAUUAAAUUUUAAAAAUUUUAAAUUUUUUGAAUUUAAAUCUUAAAGUGGAUCGAAAUUAAACUUUAACUUUUAAAUUAAACAUAAUUAAAAUUUUAAUAUUUUUACUUUAAAAUAUUGAUAUUUAAUAUUGAAUUUGUCAGAAACCGAAAAAUAAAGUGAAAUAUUCAAUAUUUCUCCCAUGUAAUACCCGCCAGCUAUCUACGCAUAAUAUAAAAUUUUCAUCAUAAUAUAAAAUUUCCUCCACUACCUAAUUUUAUUUCAUCAUAAUAUUUAUUGAUACAUAAAGUAUAUCUUUUUUUUAAUACUUUCCCAUCUCCAUCUAUAUGUUUGUUAAAUAUAAAGCAUAUCCUUUUUUAUUUUCACUAUACGUUUUCUCAAAUAUAUUAUUUUUAUUUUCCCAAAUAUAUUAUUUUAGUAAUAUUUUAUUCGUUCCUCAUUGUCAUCUCCGGUCGCCUUUGCCAUAGUUGGAAAAAUAUUUUGGCUCUAUCUAAUUCAUUUUAACGUGUCAUAAUAUAAUUUUCUACCUCAUUUGUUAUUCGCAUACUUUGUUUUACUUUUGGCUAAAUUAUAGAAAAUUCCCUGUCAAAACCCGAUUUUUUUACUUUUCCCCCUGUCAUUUAAAAACCUACACUUUGCUCCUUUGUAAAAUAAAAAAUGUGCACUUCACCCCCUACCAUUAGGGUUCCGUUAUAAAAUAUUAUUUCAUGCCAAAAAUACUCCUCCGCCAUCUUCCCUAUUGCUUCGCCUCCCGCCGCCUCGCCACCUCGCCCUCCUCCACUGCCUCGCCCUCGCCCACAUCCCCUUCGCCGUCCUCCGCCACCUCGCCUUCGCCGUCGUUGUCCUUGCCUACCUCUCCAUCAACGCCUACCUCUAUUUCCUCCCUACUGUCGCCGAAAUCAAGGGGCGGCGAGGGUGCAGGAGGAGAAGGGGAGCAGGUGGAGAAGAAAAUGGAGAGAAAUCGUGGCCGAUCGAGGAAUGAAUCACGGCCAAUCGAGGCAGCGGUCGAAGAAGAUGAUGGAGGAGACGAAAAUGGUGAGGGGCAAAAUGGUCAUUUUACACACCGUACCCCUGUGAACAUUUUUUAUUUUUAAGGAGGCAAAGUGUAGGCUUUUCAAUGACAUGGGGAAAGUGAAAAAUCGGAUUUUGACAGGGAAGUUUUAUAUAAUUUAGCCUUUACUUUUUAAGAUUUUUAAAUGCUAAUAAGUUGCAUCUUCAUAACCUCUCAUAUUAAUUGCGCAAGUCAUCGUACUUUCGACACAUUGUUGUCGUCCUCACCGGCGACGACACAUUAUCGUCCUCAACUUCGUCGAUCAUCGUUGCUUGUGCUAGCACAUCAUCAUCGUCACCUUUGUCCGCACUUCAUCGUUAUCCUACUCACUGGAACAAUUAUUUUUCUGACAAUUGGAAAGGUAUUUUUACACGUUGCAUAAAAUAUUAAAAAUAUAAUAUAUACUGUUUAAAUUUUUUGAAAAACUAAACGCAUAACUUUUAAUUUUUUUAAAAAAUUUAAUUUUUUCAAACUUCUAAUAGACGUAGAUUAAGUACCACGAAAACUUAAAAACCAAAUAAUAUUAAAAAUUCUUUUACAAAUAAAAAAAAUCUUUAAAAUGAUAUUAGGGAAAAUUCAAAAUAAUAUAAUAAUUCAAAAUCAUAAUAAAUGGAAUAGCUCAAUGUGCAAUACAUCACGUAUGAUUAAACAUAUAUAGGCAUUACACAAUUUAUUUAUUCAAAAAAAAAAAUAUUUUCUAAAAUUUAAAAAGAUAAAAUAUUAACAACCUUUAAAUUUUAAAUAGGUCAUAAAGAAUUAAUAUGAUUAAAAUAUAGGGAAAACUUCAAAACCCCCAUGUGGUUUCGUACUUUUACAUUUUAGUACCCUGUGGUUUAAAGUAUAUCAAGUUAGUACCCUAUGGUUUCGUACUUUCUCACUUUAGUACCCUGUGGUUUAAAGUGUAUCAAGUUAGUACUCUGUGAUUUUAUUUUUGUAUCAAGUUAGUACCCUGUGGUUUUUAAACCACAUGGUACUAAAGUGAGAAAGUGCAAAACCACAGGGUACUAAAGUGAGAAAGUGCGAAACCAUCGGGUACUAACUUGAUACACUUUAAACCAUAUGGUACUAAAGUGAAAAAAUGCAAAACCACUGGGUACUAAUUUGAUACACUUUAAACCACAGGGUACUAAAGUGAGAAAGAGUAAAACCACAAGGGGGUAUUUGAAGUUUUUCCUAAAAUAUAUUAAGAAGAAGAUUUAAAAAAAAUGCAUAGAUUCAGAAAAAAAUUAUCUAUGAUUUAAAGUGCACAUAUUGGGAAAAUGCUGUAUACUCGGUUUGUAAAAUAAAAUUAAAAAUCGAAACAACAAAAGAAUUUUGUAGAUUUAAAACUAUUUGCAUUUUAAAAUUCGAACAAUACAAUAAUCAUACGAAUUCAAAAAAAAUUACACUCUAUUAUCUAUACUAUUUACAAAAGAGUGAGUUUUUACAUUUUUUUUUGCCAAAAAUGUCAUUCAUUCCACUCCAUUUCAAUUAAUCUAAUCCAUCUUUUUUGAAAUAAGUUACUUCCAGCAGUAGAAUUUAAUUUUUUUCUAUAAAUUAUAAAAUUAUAGUUAAUCAACACUAUUAAAUCUAAUCCGACGGUUAAAAUAUAAAAUAUUUGUCAUUAUUUUUACCAAAAAAAUUUCUCUAUUUUUUAAUUAUUUUAAUUUUUUUGAAAAUUCAUUCGUCUCGCUCGCUAUGCCAUAUCGUACAUGUUUUCAAAAAUAAAUAACCCUCUUGACGUUUUCUCUCUCACGCACGGGCGGCCAGUCGAGAUGGCCUGCCGCCGACGCCACUAGCGGCAGGUCCUUUGUGCUUGCCCUAAGGGGUCCUCGCUGUCUCCCACUCAGUCCCACCCCAACUCUAUCUAUUCCUUUCAGACUCUCGGCCCAUCAGAAAGAGAUGGAGAGACCCCCUCAAGUGUAGGCAAUUUUGAAAUACACCUUUUUUUAAAUCGAUAUCUUAUCUACUUCUAUUAUUUUACAGAUUAAUUAAUUUAGUAUUCUUCGUCUAAAUGAAAAAAAAAGUUUAGGAGAUUAAUUCGUAAAUGAUCUAAAAAUAAGUAGCCGUCAUACAUUUUUAUCUUAAAAAAUGUAUAACAACACAUCUUUCAUAAAAAAUUCCAUCAUAUAAUUUAAGAUAGAAAAACUCUCUUCCACUAUAAAUGAUUUUCAAACAGAUACUUAACUAUUACAUAUCACAUCUUUCAUAAAAAAUUAAACUAUAUGAUUUAAGAUCGAGAAUCCUCUAUAAUUAUAGGAGACUUUGAAAUAAAAUUUUCUUCACUGUACGUGACUUUAAAAUAGAGCUAUGAAUAAUUAUGUAUUUAUUUUUAAUUGAUAUUUUUUCGAUUUUUAUUUUUUAUUAAUUAAUUGAUUCAAUUUUAUUUGAUAUUGAGCAGUUAAUUAAUCUAUUUUAUAAAAUUUAAUUGAUAUUUAAUUGAUAUAGAGCAGUUACUUGAUAUAGAGGAGGACCACGAAGUAGAAGAGUGUGUGGCGAGCGAAGCCAUGGAGGGCUCCGCCGCCGCCGCCGACCACUCCGCUCCCUCCCCGACCACCCCCUCCGCCUCCGCCUCCUCAUCCGGAUCCAAGCGCCCCCACCCCUCCUCCACGGCCGCCGCCGGCGGCGGCGGCGGCGGCGGCUUCCGCGUCCCCGCGCCGCAGCUCCCAACCGCCUCUGCCUCCGAAACCCUUUUCCGAAUCAUCUGCCCCGCCGAUCGCCUCGGCGGCGUCGUCGCCAAGGACGGCUCCGUCCUCGCCGAGCUCGGCGCCGGCGCCGCCGCGAUCAGCGUCGACAACCCCGUCCCGCGCUGCGACGACCGCGUCGUCGUCAUCGUCGGCGAGUCCCACCCGAGGAAGGAUCCCGCAGCGACCGCGGAUCACGAGGCGUCCCCGGCGCAGCGGGCGCUGGUUAGGGUUUACGAGAGGAUCGCGCGGGGCGAGGAGGAAAGGAUGGGCGGUGGCGACGGGGGAGGAGGGGAGGGGAAGGAGAUGAUGAUGCAGCGGCUGGUGGUCUGCCGGCUCCUGGCGCCGGGCGGACAGGUAGGAUGCGUGCUCGGGAAAGGCGGGAAGAUCGUAGAGAAGAUCAGGCUGGAGAGCGGGGCGCAGAUUAGGGUUUUCGGGAAGGAGCACCUGCCUCUGUGCGCUGCUCCCAGUGAUGAACUUAUCCAGGUCAGUUUCUCAAUCUACUCAUUGUCGUCUUCCAUGCUAAUUCAUGCCACUAAUUUGAGGAUGCUAUUAUUUGGAAGAUACUAGGUAUGGUAAAUUUGUAUAUGGGAUUAGUUUUUGUAAUGAACAAACAGGUGAUUGAUUGGUUGCUAGCCUUUGCUGUCAUUAUCUAGCAAUGGUGGAUGCCUUAUUGUAGAGUUUUAGUUGUUAUCGAGAGAAUGUAUCGAAUGUAUCGAAUGCGUAGUUGCCAUGGUUUUGUAGUUUUACAUUGUACCAAACCUCAUGCUAAGGAGGAGAGAGAAAAAAAGUGACAGAGGAUUUUGAGAUUGUGCUACUAGACUUCUUAUUCUGUUCAUUGUUGUCGAACUUCUUAGGUAAUGCAAUGGAACUAUUGUUAUUUUCAUCCAAGCUGUUUAUGAGAUAAGUCAAAUAAUUAAAUCUAUCAGAUGUGCUCUAGGUUAGCCAAAAGAGGCAAAAGAAAUCCAUUUAUCGAAGGAAUAUUAACUUGUAGAAAUGAAAGUUUAGGUUCUUUUAAGCGAAAAGCAUCCAAAUAUUCAGGUAAGGGAAGGAAAGGGAAAACAUGGGUGAAGAAUAACGAAGGAAUGUUUCAGGUCCAGGUUUAGAGAAAUAAUGGAAGUUUUGGCUCUUUUGGUUUGCAAUAGUUUUCAUUUUUCCGGUAUUUAAGUAACUACCUUCUAUUUUUGGCUCUUUUGGUUGCAAAGUUGAUAAACCAUUAGGAAUUAUGAAUAGCUAGAGAGAGGGUUCAAGUUUAGAGAUAAAAGAUAAUUAGAAAGUGGCAGAGGACACUGGUCUUUUUCUGAGAAUGAGCAAGAGCUAGUUUAGGAGGAAAAGGAAUCAGCAGAGGUUGAAGACGGGGCAUAAACCCAUUUGAGUGAAAAAUUAACUUCCAUCUGGAACCCCUCAUAUGUGGCCACCGUAAGGAACAUGCACAGAGGACUUAUGAGUGCUAAUCUUGUUUCGGAAAGUGUAAAACAUAAUAUUUUUCAGCCUUAAUUUUCUCUUGCCACUUCAUGCAUGCCUUUUAACACGUUGCUAUUCCAUCUUGAACUUAGAUGCGGCAUACUACAAAAUUAUUUGAAUAUCUCCUAGGAUUGAAAAUGCUAGUUCAUGCUUAUGAUAUAGAAUAUUUGGAUUACUACAAGAUGGUUAUGUGUCAUGUCUUAAUUCAUGAUUGUAAUUCACUAAAUGGUCCUCGGCAACUGCUUAAGCUCACUAAUUUUAAUUAGAUGAUUCACUUUGAAGUCGGUAUUUAUAUACCAAGGAACUCUAAGAAUCCUCUGAAUUGCAUCAUACUAGUAUUCAUUAAAGUGUUCAUAAUUAAAUAGGCUUAAUUACACACUAUUACACUGUACUUUAGUGUUAUUUUCAUUCGCUACAUUAUACUUUUUUUUUCAAAGCCACCAUUGUAUUAUUGUAUUUUAUCAAUCUUUACGCUAUAUUUAGAUUUUUUUUACUUUUCUACCUUGAACUGUUUUCUUUUCUCAUAGAUAUCACUAAAUUACUUUUUUCUCGCCAAUCUUUACAUUACUGUUAACAAAUCUAUUGUUUUAGACAAAAUUUAACAACUUCAUUGUGAGACACUGGUUAAAUAGUAGAAAAAGAUAUAAAAUAAAUCUCCAUGAUAGACUUAUUAAAAGUUUCUAUCAAGUUAUUUUUGAUUAUUCUUAUAUUUUUUAUAUGCAUUUUGCUAUUUGUCAUGUCAAAAUGAGUUGAAUAUAUGCUCUGCCACUUUUAACUAGUAUUUAUGAACAGCUUCUAUAUAAAAGUAUAGGUUUGUUGAUUAUAGUGUAGGGGGUUGAAAAAGAGGAAUAGGAAUAGUUGAGUGGUGCCUUUGGGGGCGGAAAAAAUAGUAUAGUGUAGGAAGUGAAAAACCUGUAAAGGACAGUGUAAUAUAGUGUAAUUAAGCCAUACCUUAAUAUAUACACUUUAAGAACCUUUGAAAAGUGGUUGUAUUUAAACACAUCAGUAUAUAGUCUUUGAAGUCCAUUUUUGCCAAUAUACCCAUGGGUCUUUCAGGUCCAUUUGCCAAUGAAUAAAAAGUGUGUAUAAUUUGUUGUUUAAUCAAAAGUUAUGCUGUUUAAACUUUUAAACUUUUAGUGAUUAAAGUUAUCAUCUUAUAGGACCUCUGUUGGCAAAAUAGAACUAAUGAAAUUUGAUUGCUAGCUAUGAUUUUCUGAAAGAUUGGUUUUCUUUUUUUAAUUACUGAAAUUGCUCUGUCAUUGGAAUAAUUAAAGCUGCAAUUUUUUUUAAUAACAUCUUUGUUCUGUGGAGAUGGUCGGCCAUACAAUUUUCUAGAAUAAUAAUCGUGAACAGCAUGUCUGUUGGUGAAUGUAUUAUUUAUCAGUCCAUUAAUGUUCUCAUGGAUAAUUUUAUCGUACUACUAGCUAUCCUUUUCUGAGUAUAUUACAUAAUAUAGAUGGCGCUGUUUGUACAGUUGGUCCAUUCCAUUUGCUGUAUUCGAAGUUUUACUAAUUAAAAGCAUGUUUCGUAGAUUUCUGGGAGUUUCUCUUCUGUAAAGAAAGCACUGCUAUCGGUUUCAAGUUGCCUUCAGGAAAACCCUAGAUCAAGCAUAACUAACUUUGCCUUUACAAAAUCUGCGCCAAUGAACCCUUAUGGUCAAAGAAGCUUUCCACCUAGCUCAAAUGUUUCGCAUAGAAAGGUAAUUGAAGAGGAUGUUAUCUUCAGAAUGUUGUGCUCCAGUGAUAAAGUUGGUUGCAUCAUUGGGAAAGCAGGUGCUGUUGUUCGUGCUUUACAAAAUGAAACUGGUGCUCUUAUCAAGGUUCUUGAUUCUGUUCUGGAUUCAGAUGAGAAAAUCAUUACUAUAUCUGCACGUGAGGUGUGUGCUGGAGUGAAAAUUUUUCAAAUUUAAGAGAUAUGGUACAUCUUAUUGUAGCCAUUGAUUUUUUUGGUUAGUUUUAUACAACAUCACCACUUAAUAGUAUGAUGUUCUUGAUUUGUGUAGAACUCUGAAAUGAGACAUUCUCCAGCUCAAGAUGCUGUGAUGCGUGUACAUACUAGACUUGCAGAUGCAGGCAUUGACAAAGGUCCGACUGUUUCUGCAAGGCUUCUUGUUCCUGCACAGCAGAUUGGUUGUCUUAUGGGUAAAGGUGGUACAAUUAUUGCAGAAAUGAGAAAAGAGACUGGUGCUAGUAUUCGAAUAUUUUUUAAAGAACAAAUACCAAAAUGUGCUCAACCAAAUGAUGAAGUUGUCCAGGUACAGAAAUCUUUUGAACUAUCAAUACUUUUCGUUUCUUUUGUCCUCAGAAGCUUGUAUACGGGUGGCAAAGUGUCAUUUGUCUGCGCCUUAUAAUUCUACUUGUACUGUUCUCACAUGUUAUAAUGAAAUAGGGCAUAAACCUACUGAAAAAACUACUAGUACUUUUCCAUCUGUUCUUUACGAAUUAUUUAUGUGAUGUUUUUACUUUAAGUGACUAAGCAUUUUCUCUUUCCUUUUCUGUUUGAAAUUUUUGUGAGGUGAUGUUGCUCAAUUUCUACGGAUCACCAUGCUGUCUAAGCAGUAAGAUUUCAUUAAUAUAUUACAAUAUGUUGCUGAAACUCCUAUAGUGGCAACUUACUAUUUGGGGAUGUGAUUCAUUUUCUCUAUAUUCAACUCUGAGAACCAUACAAUAUAUGACCAAGUAAGGAGAAGCCAGUGUGAUCUGCCUCUCUCAUCCUGAAUAGUCCUGCUUCAGUGUUUUAUUUUCUGUUAGUGGAAACACGAAAAUGAAUACUUGUCAAGGAUGCUUUUCGUCUUUGUUAGCACUUACCAAACUUGAUGUCCAUUAAUUAUGUGGUUUUCUUUUUAAGCUCACUAAUUUUUGUGGUUUUCUUUUUUAAGUGAUCAUCUUAAUUUCCUCCCUGUUAUUUUCACUUUGGUAUACUUUUUUUUUGGGGGGGCAAUUUCCGCUGUUGUCUGCUUCCAUAUAAUUGAAACUUUAGCCUUCUGAAUAUGGUGUAACACACAAAUUGCAAGACCUAAGCUUCAUUAUCAAAAUCAGAACAGUGAAUUCAACAAGAAGUAAACAUUGAAAAGAACCUUGUUAAGACUUAAGAGCAGUAACGUUUUGUACCUUGUUGGUAGGUAACUGGUAAUUUCCAAUCUGUGCACGAUGCAUUGCUUCGCAUCACUGGCAGGAUUCGGGAGAACAUAAUUCCCGUAAGGAUGGAUUCAAUGACAGGCAUUAACCAGUAUUCACCUAGAUCAAGACAAGAGCCAACACCUUCUGGGCGUUAUUCUACACCUGGUCUCUCUCUUGGUUCUGAUCCUUCAAUCGGUAUCUCUAAUUCAGCAGAUCAAAUCCCCUUUUACUAUGGGAGCCAAACUGCAGGAUCUCGUCCUUUUGUCGAUCGUCCUUCACCAAGAUCAUGGGCUCCUGAGGUAAAGACUUGUUUUAUUAGUUUAUCUGUGAUGUAAUCUUCCAAUGCAUCCUAAAACAGCUAAAUGGAAUUUAAAUUGUCAAUGUUGUUCUGGUAUUGAAGCAUGGACCAGCCAUCAGAUUUUACACAACCAUGCAUAAUCUGAUUUAUGCUGUGAUAGAAGAACACCUGCUCCCUAAUUUAUCUCCACUUCUGGAUUGUGAUUUCCAGUAUGGCCAGAUUGGACAAGUGAAAGUUUCCAUACUAAGUAAAGUCUUAGGGCUGAAAUAUUUUCGGCAAUACUCUAUGGAGACCCACUCAACCAUAGCCCAUAGGCCAUUUUGAAAUAGGCCCUUAAGGCUUCACUUAUUUUUAAUUGAUACCUCAACUUUUGUUUGUUUUGAUUUUAAGUUUAUUUCAUCUGAUAAAUGGACGUUGUUACUUUUGAUGGUUAUUUCGUCAAAUUUUACAGCUCUAUUCACUUUUAGCUGUCAAACCCUAGUGCAAGUGGCAAAGAGCUUGGUAGUCGAUACCUGAGGUCCCAAGUUCGAACCCUAUCGCUUCACAUUCCAGCUGAAUUUAUUUCUAAAAAAUGAACGAAGUGGGUAGCAUGCUACCUUUAUCUCAAUAAAAAAAAAUGCGGGUUUUGUUAGUAAGUAUUGAAAUGAAGCUAAUGGAACCAUUAGUUUCUAUGGAAUCCCCAAUAGAUGUUGUGAAAAUGAUUCAAAUCAAAUCAAACAAAAAUUAAUGGGAUGUCAUCAAAAUGCUUGAGUGUUUGCAGCACAUUUGUCCUGACUUUUAGUAAUAAUAAGAUGGGUGUUUGGCAAACAAUUAGUUCCCGAUUAUGGCUGGAACAGGAAACUGAAAAAGUUGUUGGGCCCCGGAAGCAAAAGGUCCAAUUUUAAGCUUCUGCUUCAAGGUACAACAUUAAGCUGUUGCGAAACUUUAAGAAGAAACUGUUAGAGCUGCUUCUAACAGCUCUAAUUGAACAGCACAUUUGUGGAAUCUCUAGUUUGGCAAUGCAUGCCCUAGGAUUUUCAACAAGUUUGGCUUUCAAUUUUUGAGCUCUAACAAUGACCUCUUAAGCUAUUAUAGUGCUGGCUGUUCUGGGACACAGCAAAACUAGAUUUAAUUAGAUAUUAAAUAUAUAGUGUAUUUUCUUUCCUAAGUCAUAUUAUGAAACAGCUCAUGACAUAAUAUUUAGUGUGGCCUUGGUGUUGAAAUCCUAGAAUAUCAUCAGGCAAUUAUCUAGCGAGGAUGAUUAGGGUGUAGAGUUAUUUUGGAAUUGCUAAGUCUGCCAUAAUAAUGUGUUCUGUGGUAUUACAUACAUCAAUUGCCAGCUCUUUUAAUGUAUUUGGGAUUUCUUAUUUAAUAUUUUAGACUAGAAUUUCUUCAUACUUAGGUCCUGUUGUAAUCUAUGCAGUUGUCGUUUCGCCUUGUAUUUCUCAGCCACUCAAUUUGGUCUCUCUUUAUGUUACUAGCACCAUUUUUUAUCAAUUAGCUUAGAUACUUUUAACUCAAGAAGAGUACUCUUGGUACUCUAUUGUAUAAUUUUUUUUUUUCAUGUGAUAUGACCGUGAAAAUCGAUAAAAGUAUGUGGGGACAUGUCUGAAAAUGUCAGAAGGUUGAUAAACAACAUACUCUUUUAUUGACAGAUACCUUGUCCUUAUAUCGAUAUUGUUUGGAAGUCCUUUAACUUAACAUCUGGAGUAAAUGCUUAAGUUUCAUAUGGAUAAUAAAGUGCCUUAUUUUUGAUAGGUUCCUAGCGGCGGAAGCUUGAAAGGCACUCCAGAUAUGGGAGAAGGUUUCAGAGGUGGAACAUUUGGAAGGUAUUGCUUCUAAUUACCUGAAAAUAUUGUUGUGCAUGUUCCUUCCCCUAAUAUGUUAGCAUUUUUCAGUGGAGGAAGCCAGAUAAAUGUGCAAACAAGCACAAAAACGGAAGUUAUUGUUCCUUGCCAGUAUCUGGGAUUCGUCUGUGGGGAGAAUGGUAAUGACCUUGCUGAGAUAAAGAAGGUAAUCUCUCUUUUCUAUCUAAUCUACAAGAAUUCCCAGCAACCAUUUAUUAUAUGUUUCAGACGCAACUAGAUAUAAAAUCUGUAUGCAUAUAGAUAUGUUUGUGUGGGGGGGUAUCUGUAUGUGUGCGUUGAUGUUUUUGUGUAAAUCUGUGUCUCUUUGUACGUGUGAGCUGUAUGCUGUGUGCUUUAUCUGUGCACAAGCAUCUAUGUAUUUGAUUGCACAUUAGACUUGAUAGACACAGGAGACAAGCGGUUGGAAUUGGGACAGCAGGAGGAAGAUACUUGAAAGAAAAAAGUGGGUUUAAGGGAUAAACAUACCAUAUGUAACUCACUAGUUAACCUGGUUUAUACAAAUUUAAUAGAAAAACCAUUCUGCACAACUGAGGAUGAUUGGCACUGCUUCCAUGUAAAUGACAAGAAUAUGUAAAUUACAAGAGCUCAGAGCAUAAACAUAUUCAAGGAACUAAUAUGCAGAAAAUCCUUAUUCCAACUUUGAAAUAAUCUGUUAAAGCUUCAAUGCAGAAAGCAUGGUUUCUCUGACUCGCUUAUUGUUUUUUUAGAUGUCAGGUGCUAUGGUCACAGUUCAUGAUGCAAAACUUGGAGAAACAGUAGGGAAAGUCACCAUAUGUGGAACCCCUGAUCAGACCAAGAUGGCACAAAGUCUUCUCCAUGCUUUUAUCUUGUGUGGGCUUUUCCCUUCUUGAUGCUAUGCUGCAUGUGGUCUUCUCAUUAAGCUAGAAGCUACUUCUCUCAGUAGGUUCUUUCUUCUCCUCUCCCCGGCAACCCCCAUCCCAGCACCCCCCCCAGCCACACACACACAAAAGAACAACACACUUCCUUUUUCAAUUGAAAUAGCUGUAGGAUUUUUCUCAAUGCUAGCCCAAAUUUUAGCACAGCUUCGCCUUUCUUCAUGCGGAAUCACAAGGAGAGGAGCUGUGAUGUAAAUUUUUCUGGCAAACUGCCUUUCUGUUUGCAUGCCGUCUCUAUGUAGACACUCUUAAUUGCUCAAUCUAUAUUAUCUACUGAGAAAGCAUGUUGUUUUCCUGGAAAUGUUUUCUCAAUCAUUUGAAUUCUUAGAUGAUUACUAGUCAAGUCCUUGUGCAAAAUUUGUAGAACCUGAACUUCUAGUUAGCUUGGGAUUUUAAUUUGGUUAACAGCAUUAUUAAAUUGGGUUUUAACAAUGACUAAAGAAAAUGAGACUUGAAGCCAUGCUUAAGUAGUAUGAAUGAACAAGGGGUGGCAAUAGUUGACACCGCACAAAAGCACAACUCAAACCCAACAUGAGAUAAGUGGGUGUGGAUUUACCUUCAACAGGUUGGGGUCACAGUCAUGUUAACUCAAUUAUGAUACAAACCGAUGGUGCCAUGUUACAGGUUGACACGUUAACCGAAAAAUGACGUGAUAAUAACCCGAUUAGUUGGUCUGGUCACAGGUCAUGUUGACAUAUAACACAAGCAUGGCAUGUAUUCCCAGUGUUUGAACUAGUUUUACAUAACUAAUCAGGUAUAUCCAGAAGGUAUCUCUUUUAUUUAGUCGUUGGAAUUGGGGUGCGAUGGUUUAAUGAUCUCUAUUUGUUAAAAAAUAAUAAUAUUUCGUUAUUCAUUUUGUGUUUUUGUUGACAGAUUACUUGUGUCCUAUUCUGUCUUGCCGUUUUUGUCAUAUUAUAUUCAUAUUAGCUGGUAAUCAUGCCAUUUUGUGUUACCUGUGUAAAUUGGUCAUGUUCGUGUUUGGGCCUUUUUACACGAUUAAUCUCGUGUUGUGUCUGUGUUAAGCUAUAUAACUAUUAUACCUAGACCCUGACACAACAUGAACAUGACAUGCCAACAGGAAUUUUUGCUCAUACUAAGUAUGAUAGUGUUAGUCAGCACAAAUGAGGAUUGGCUUUCCAAUCUUCCUCUUGACAGCUUUAUGGUUCUCGAAAAAGUGAGUACAUUUGUAUCACAAUAAAGAAAAGAACACAAAAUGUUUGAAGAGCGUUUUCCAUUAUAAUUAUCUGUUGCGGGAUCUUCGACUAUAUUGUUCUGGUAAUUGCUUCUUAAAAAUAUUGAAAGCAUGAAAAAUAAGUUGUAAUUACUUCUGUUCGUCUUAAGCCUCUGACAUGUACUUACUACAUUUCUUUUUACCUUUUUGAGGGUGAGAGUGGUAUAUUCUCUUAAUAUAAAUGUCUAGACUUUUCUGACUGUUUUACGAAUUGGCCUGUGGUUGAUGCUUAUAUUAAAAGAUGUUAAAUAAUCUUUUGUUCUGGUUGAUGCAUGCUUGUCUUUGAUUCUUACACCUUGGCUGUUGUGAUUUCGUAAUAUAAGCCUUACCUGAACAAUAGUGCAAUUUGAAAUAAUAUCCAGAAAUUUACUUGUGAUUUUGCUCUCUAACGUUACUGUAUUUAUUUUUAUUUUUUUUAAGUGUAGUUACAAUAGUGCAAUUUGAAAUAAAAUCCUGAAAUUUAGCAUGAUUUUGUUAUCUAGCAUUACUGUAUUUUUUUUAUAUAUCUACCUUUGGUUUGACAAGGUUUGAUUCUACUACCCGAUCCUACAUUUUUUUGUAACAUUUUUGACGGAAUGUUCUGUCAGCUAACUAAAAAUUCCAUUAGAUUGCUAGAAUGUUCUGUCAACUAAGGUUUAGUGGGAGAAUCAGAACUUCCAAGGUUUAGUGAUUUGUUCUUGUGUUCUUACAGUGCCUUUGUCUAAACCGGUGAUGUAAAUGCUUUAUUUCUUAGUCAUUGUCAACAGAAUCAUCACUGUUAUGCUGUUAAAGUUAAAGGUAUAUCUGUAAUUACAAAAGUUGGUGCUUUUGAGUAUUGUGGUUUGGUAUGGUUGACUAGUGGAAAGCUCUAUAAGAUUAAUGAGCAGGUUCUCUGGCUUAGUGUAAAGAAACAGAUGUGCUACCUUCAUGUCAAUGCAAUGCUUGAAAAAAAAAUGUUGCGUGUACACUCUUUAUGUAGGUGUAAUUCUUAUUCCUCUCCUUUCUGAGACUUUACAAAAUCUUUUUAGAGUUUUUAUUAUCAGAAAAAGAAAGUCGAUAAGGCUUGCAGGGAAAAAAUAGUCCUUGGUUAAGUGGAGUGUAGAUCUUAUACCUAAGAGUCGAGGUUUCAGGUGGUAUUACUCAUGUUUGAAAUUGCUCAUUGCAUGCUAGGAUACUUGUUUGCAAUAGUGACAUGUAAAGUGAAUAUCUUCGGAAUGUUUUAUUAUCUCUCUCUGGUUAUCAUGAUUGCCACUCUACCAGUUGAGUUAUACUGCUUGUAAAUCACUCUAAUCGAAACAUUCCUUAUCUGCAUGUAAGUAAAUACAGGUAGAAUGUAUGAGUAUAGUACUGCUCAACAUAUGCUGAGGUACCUGCUGAGCUGAUGUUCUGCAAUUUUGGUGGAACAGAAGAUCAUUGCAAGUUCCCAAAAUGUGAAAAUGUAGGAACUUUCUCAAAUUGACUAAUAACUGAUAUCUAUUUAAGUUAUUUUAGCGAAUCUAAUUAUAGGGUUUUGUUAAUUGAGUGAUAAAGCGUCAAAUUUCGAUGUCUUUGAUUAUUCUUUUGAGAGAAACGUAGUACAUUAUCCAUGUCGUUUACUUUUUAAAAAUGAACUUAGUUAGAAAUAUAAAGCAAUUAGGCUUCGAACUUGUGAUCUCUUAUAUCAAUUACUUAACUCUUUUUAUUGUAGGAAAGAAGUAAAUUUUCUGAAUUGAAUAAAUAAGAAAUGUAAAAGUAAGUAACGUUGCAUCUUGUGCAAUAGUAAAAGUUGAUAUUUUUACUAAAAAAUGGACAAUAAGCGUCAAUAAUUUACAGAAACUUUGAUAAUUUAAAUGAGAAAAUAAUGAAGUCAUUAACAUAAGAUAAUAAAAGCUAGAACUAGCUGAGCUCACAGUUUUCUCUCUAUUGAUGGAUUCUCCUUGCAUUUUUAGGUAUAGUUCUCAUUCUAGAUUAAAAAACGAAUACGUGCAUAUUAUUAAUUAAAAUGUAAAAAAGUAAUAGUUGAAAUGCAGCUAUUGAUUAAGUAACGGUUUUCUACAUCCUAUCAUGCUAUGGCGCCUAUCUUUUGACCCUUUGCUUCUUCCACCAUGGUUUUCUACAUCCUAUCAUGCUAUGGCGCCUAUCUUUUGACCCUUUGCUUCUUCCACCAUAUGCUCCAUAGUUGCUGUGCCCCGUCCCGAUGUGCUCUUUCUUCUUGCCAUCAUCAGAUCUUGUGAUAUUCUUGCUGCCGUUGCUAUCAUUGUUUGAUGCCCUCCACCACGGUCUCCCCCGCCGAACUCUUCAUCCAAAACGGACUUGUCGCUCUGUCUACGGGGGACAAGGUAGGCGGAUAAAAGCGUGGUGGUGGAAAUGUGAUUGAGGUAGCGGGGAGAAGCGCGGUGAUAAUGCGAGAUCGGUGGAGGAGGAGAAGGAGGGAGAGGAAGCAGGAGGAAAAAGAGUAGAGGAGGAGAAGAAGGGAGAGGAAGCGGAGGAGAAAGAGACAUCAUAGAGAGAGAAAGGAAAGAGAGUGUGGGUGUUUGGUCUAGCCUUUGGAAAGUGAUUUUGGGUUCAAAAGUAAUUUUCGACUUAAUGUGUAGUUUGGUUUAGGGUCCGAAAAAAUAAUUUGUUCAGAAUUGAUUUUGAAUUGAAAAAUUAAAUUUAUUUAAAAUUUGUAGAGAGAAGGAAAGUGAUUUUUCAGAAAUGAUUUUAUAAAACUAGUUGGCAAAAUUUUUUUGCUAUUUGCAAAUAAUAUUUUUAUUUGCUAAAUUAUAUUUUAAGAUGUGAAUUUAAAAAUUUAAAUUUGACUCUAAAAGUUUAAAAUUUUGAAUAUAAAAUCUAAACCAGAAUUUAAAAUUUGACAUUUGAAUUUAAAACCUAAAUUUUAAAAUUAAAAAUAAAAAAUUAAAAUUUAGCAUUUAAAAUUUAGGAUUUAAAAUUUAAAAUUUAAAAUUUUAAUAUAUAUUUAAAAUUUAAAAUUUCAAACUUAAAACAAAAAUAUUAGAAUUUAAAAUUUUUAUUUUUAAAAUUUGAAAUUAAAAGUUGGAAUUUGAAAUAUAAAUUUAAAAUUUAAAAUUUGAAAAUUUAAUAUAGAAUUUAAAAUUUGCAAUUAAAAAUUUGAAACUAAAAAUUUGUAAUUUAAAAUUAAAAAUUACAAAUUUUAAAAUUUAUAAAUUUUACAAUUNUUAAAUUUCAAAAUUUAAAAUUAAAAUUUAAUAAGUAAACUUAAAACAAAACUAUAAAAUUGAAAAUUGAAAAUUGAAAAUUUAAAUUUUAAAUUUUAAAUUUUAAAUUUUAAAUUUUAAAUUUCAAAUUUCAAAUUUCAAUUUUAUAGUUUUGUUUUAAGUUACUUAUUAAAUUUUAAUUUUAAAUUUGAAAUUUAAAGUUUUAAAUAUAAAAUUUAUAACUUGAAAUUUAAACUGAAAUUUAAGUCUUAAAAUUUAAAGAAAUUUGGAAUCUAAAAUUUGAAAUUAUAAAUUUAAUCAGCGGCAGGAUUAAUCCUAGCCGUCCAAUAUCGAACCGGAAGCAUUUUCCGAAAUUAUUAUUAUUAUUAAUAAUUAUUCAUGCACGUUGUAAAGCGCGACCAGGUACGAUACGGCAAUCCCGUGAACGGCGCCCGUGGUCCUCUGAUGACAAUCCGACGGCUCUGAUUCGAUCAGAGGCACCCGCACCGUAUCACGCUGACGUCACCAUCUAUGUACCCCUUGUCACUCGCUACUCUCUCUCUCUCUCUCUCUCUCAUCCUUUUCGCUCCUCUCGCCCAUCUCCGUGUUCGUUCCCUAAAUUUUAGGGUUUGAUCGAAAUCCUAGGGUUUCUCCGAUCGAAUGGUAUCCCUCUCGAUUUCGACCGUUCGAUCGCCAAAAUUUAAAUUCGGAGCCCUCUUAUUCCAAAUUUAGUCGGGAAUUUGGCGAUUUCGUGAUGGGCGAAAACCCCGCCCAUGGCCCUUCCGACGCGAAGCCCUACCCGCCCCGCCGCGCGCCCGAGCCGCGCGCGGCGGUGCCCCUCCUGCCGCCGCAGAUCGACGACGUGCGCGGCGGCGGGGACGCGCACAUGGUCGCGGGCGGCGCCGCGGCCGAGGCCCACCCGAUGCAGCGGUACGAGCACCACAAUGGCGGGGGAGAUGGGGGCGGGAUGGAGGAGGACGAGGAGGAGGACCACGACGGGGCCAUGGAGGCCGUGGCGAUGGACGCCGACGCGGUGCACGACUCGCAUGUGAUGGUGGCGCCUACCAUGGGCAACAACCAGCUGACCCUCUCCUUCCAGGGCGAGGCCUACGUUUUCGACUCCGUUUCCCCCGAAAAGGUGCAAUUUUUCCUUCUCUUCCACUCUUCUUUUGAUAUUGCUCUAUACUAGUCUAGAAUCAGUAAUCGACUCACUUGUAGCCGAAUUUGGUAGGUGCAAGCAGUGCUUUUGUUGCUUGGAGGGCGGGAGAUUACUCCGGGAAUGGGUUCGGUUCCAUCCUCUUCGAACCCUUAUAACAGGGUAUGAUAAAAUUUAACUAUGUUUUUGAUGGGUUUGUUGGUAAUGUUUUGUAAGGUGUUUGGUUAAAGGUUCGAUUUUGCAGCGUGUUAAUUUUCCACACAGAGUGGCUUCACUGAUGAGAUUCCGUGAGAAGAGGAAAGAAAGGAACUUUGACAAGAAGAUAAGAUACACUGUAAGGAAGGAGGUUGCUCUCAGGUAGCUCCUAAAUACUCGUAUUUUAGUUUUGUCUUCAUUGUGAAAUAACAUCUUAGUUCUUCAGUUGCAUACUUUACUGUAUAUGAAGUGGUGUUAAAAUCGCAACAUAACAAAUGAUAAAGCAUAGGUGCAUAUACCGGAUAUAUAUGAGAAGAUGCAUAUGAAUGGACGUGACAAAUAUGAAAAAAAUGGAGAUACGUAUUAUAGAGAUAUCUCAGAGAACAAGUUAAAUGUAUAAAUUUUUUUGGGUGAAGUAAUGUUCUGUCUCUUUUAAUCAACUAUAACAUAGCACAUAUACUAACACAUUACGAGCAGAAAUUUAUUUUGCUAAAAUACAUAGUUGUUUUCUUUUGUAUAAGCUAUUACAGCUACAGAGUUAUUUCUCAGCAGGCAUACCUUAUGACAACUUGCUUUCCAUAAACACUUCAAUUUCAAAAUUAAAUAAGAUAAGAAGCGCCAUAACCUAUUACUGUUUAUUCGAGACAUUAGAGCACUUUUAACCUGUCGGGACAAUAAGAAGCUUCAUGAUGUAUAACAGGCUAUUCUCAAGAUUUUGCGUGAAGCUGUUUCCAUUUUGAUUCGAUUUCCUGUGAGCUUACUUGAUACCUUUAAAAUGAUACUUUGUACGGUGCAUGAAAUUUAUCAAUUAUAUUUGUUUGAUAAGAUUGAGGCAAGAAAAUUUAUGGCUUAUGCAUAGUUGCAAUGAAGGAGACAAGUUUUAGACUCUAGACAUUUUUGAUAACAAGGAGCAAGCGGACUUUAUGGAAAACAUAUUUAACAAAAUUCAGAGAAGGGAUGGAGGUUCAAUAAGGGUUGAUAAGCAUGACAAAUAGCACGCAAACCGUUCUACUAUUUAUCAUUCGUUUAUGGAGAUGAUGGGGAAACCUAAGAAGGAUGUUAGACACUCAGGGUUGAAUGAGUCGAGUGGAGUAGUUCAGUUGGCAUUUUGAGUGAUAGACAGAACCUUUUAUCCUUUCUGAGCAUCUAAUUGGAUAUGUCAUUGCUAUGCUUUAAGAGAUUGAAUGCUAUGCUAUUAAGAAAUAGCAUGGAAAAAAAAUAGCAUAGAACAAACAGAAAUGCUGAGUAGAAUGUAUUUAAAAUCGGCUGUUACCUAGUUAUGGUCCUGCCAAAGUGAGAUCUUGACCUUGAGAAAGAAUAGUUGAAGAUAGUCCUGACUUUUUCUAAUUUUGUAUGGCUGUAAAGACUUGAACCUAAAACUUUUGGUUGCAUGAAAGACUUUUAUCACUAUACUCGAGUUGAGGUGGAUGCACUAUGAUGUAAAAAGACAAGAUUACAGAUGGUGAUAUUCAAUCUAAGGUUGAGUAGGCUUAAUUAAGGGAAAGGAAGGGCAAUUUUAUAUUCUUGACACAAAAAACAUAGCAAUGCUUAUACAACAUAUAGAAAGAAAGAACCUUUAGUAGAUGAUAUGAGAUAAAGUAAUAGAAUGUCAAAAACCAUGGUAGAAGAAGAGGUCACACUAAGAUAAGAUGAGGUGCAAAAGCUUCAUAUGAUUUUUUUUUUUCUUGUGUUUUUGGGGUUGCUUGGGAGUUUGAAUGAGUGGAAGAAUGGUUUAAAUGAUUUGGCAUGCAACCGCUUAUAUUUAUAAACCAAAAUGUCGCAAGAGGUUGUAUAAUCAAGCUAAAAUGUCGCAAGAGGUUGUAUAAUCAACAGUUUAUGCAAUGUGCUUUAAUCAAGGAUUCUCAUGUCGACCAACGGGCAUGCCUUGCUAGUUGCUUGCAGGCGUAGAGUCAGAGUUGUAUUCAAAUACAUUCCAAUAUGGUCUUAAGUCCCCUAUUUUUCCUUAUUUUCUUCUAUUUAACAAGAUUGGGCUGCUUGCAUACCUCCUAUAUAUAGUUUUUAAAGUGAUCUCGGAGGAGAAAUGGUUUUGAGGUAAAAAGAGAAUUAAGUACUUACAAUUGUGCCCGUGGUACAUGUGUGUAUUGGUGGUUCAUUGCCUGUGUUGUUCCAUAGAUUUUGUUGCUGCCGGAAUUGCUUCACCUCCUUCCCUAUUCCCCUUCAUGUCAUGAUUGUCCAAUCUUUUGUUUACAAUUAACUUCUUUUAUGUUGGUAUUGCAUCAUAUUUCUUGGGUUGGUAUUGUUGCUUAUUGCUUGGGCUUGGUAUUGAAAGUAAGUUUUUGAGGCUUGUUGUGUGACACCCCACCAUGGACCCUAGUAAUAAUAACUGGGCUUGAGCAUUUUGGGCCAGUGGUUAGGGCCCAACAAGUUAUUAUUGCUAGCGGGUCGAGUCGUUACAUGUUGACACAUGUUUGUUAGGAAAGUGUGGCAAUUAUAGAGUAUGUUAUGACUUUGCUUUUGCUGCAAAGCAUGCUUUCCGUGCUUUUAUGAUUGUUUUAGGAACAUCAAAGCUUGAUAAUGAUUUGAGACUUUGGCAAGUCUUAUCAUUGUUGGUUUUAGUUUUCUAGUUCCUUUUUCCAUUUUUUUUUGGCAUUUCUAUUUAUAUGGCUUCUCAUGAUCGUUAAGUGUUUUCGUCGCAUAGUAACUCUACUUAUUUGUUGUUGAAUCCUUUUUCUGUACUUCAUCUUGGAUAUUUCUUGUAGUACCAAAUUUUUAUAGUCUUAGAUUGCUUAAGUGAUUGCACAAAUUUUGAUAGUUCUUGUUGCCAAUCCUUCUUUUUCUAUGUUGAAGUUAACUUCUUCACUAUUAUUAUAGAAUGCAGCGUAAUAGAGGUCAGUUUACAUCAUCUAAAUCCAAGCCUGAAGAUUCAACAUCCAUUGCUAGUUCGGAUAGUUCGAUGCGGUGGGGUUUAGUGGAAGGUCGACCGCCGUCUGCUUCUGAGUAAGUCUGUGAAGUAUUUAUCUUGUUUUUUUGUUUUGGCUAUAUAUCGUUCAACGGUGAAUGUUAAUGCAAUUGAUAUUCUUCAUGAUUUAUUGUGAGACAUAAGAAAACUGCAACCAUCAUUCGAAAUCUCGGUUUUGUUUUUAGUUUCCCUUGUUAAUUAGAAAACAAAAUGUUUCGACGGUUUUUGAUGGUGUCGAAUUGAGCUUUAGUAGUUUUGACUAGAAAUCAUAAAAAAUAGAGUAUUAAAGAAAAAGGGACUAAUAGGAUGAAGUAAGGGGACAAUUGGAAAAGCUCAGAAGGCUAGAGUUUAAUAGUUGAUUGAAGUUAGAAGAUGGGUUGUUGAUUAAUGCUAUAUCAGGGAUUUUUUUUUUUGGGGUCAAAACAUGAUUCUUAUAGAGUAUUUGUUCACAUUGAUGAAGGAAUAAGAAAAGUGCUUAAUCCAAUCCUGGUUAAAUGCAUUCUAAGUAUCAACAAUUCAAGGGAUAAUAUUGCAAACCAUUAUGUAAUCUUUAAACUAUGAUAAAUUAUUAAAACUAAAAUGAUAACUUUAGUGAGGUGCCUGCCCUUUGCAGUCGAACGACUCUUUUGUCAUUCGGUACUUGGAUUUCAUAAAUACUGUCAAGAAAAUCAAUGGUCUUCUAUCUUUUUAAAUAGGAAAAACUUAAAAAGCAACCCAAUAGUAUAGCGCAUUUGAAGUUUAGCAUUCUGUGCUUCAAAGUGUAAUACCUUGCCUCCCUGCAGUUACUGAUUUGUUUUUUAGUAAGGGGCAAUCAUUAUAUCGUCUUUAAAGUGAGCACAUGACAAUUACACAUCUUAUUUGAACAUUGCAAGUGAAAGAAAAAUUUCAGGCAAUCCUUCUAUUUUAUAGCCAAAUUUGAUUUUUACAACCCUAUGGUUCAAAUGCAGCAUUUACUAUUCGUUAUUGAUGGCAUUAUAUUGUCAAGUCCUCCCAAACACAAUCAGAAUGAACCACAUGGGACCAAAGUGCUACAUCUUGAACUAUAAGGUAGUAAAAUAGGAUUGCGCUUUCAAUGAAGUUUUUUUCUCUUAAAUGUUCUCAAAAUGCUGUCGAAUUAAUACAAGCCCAUCAUAUGCCAAUUAUCCAUUUAUUGGGAUGAAUGAAAUAUCUUGAAGAAUGUUAGGAUUUUUCCUUUUCUUUUUCUUUAGUUUGUUCUCUAACAUUGUCUAUGAUGUGGGAAGUCGUAGAGGUGAUGAACCUUCUGGUAAAGCUAGUUGGCUAUUCAAGAUUUUGAAGAUACAGAGGUGUUGCAUUUGAUUUAACUAUGGAAAAUGUAAAACUUGCCAUAAUAGGAGGUUGGCAAUUAGAUGCAAAUACAUAUUCUAAUUCCAUACAACAGAGAGGCCCAUUACAUGGUUGUGUGGAACUAGAUAUGAUAUGUUAUGCACUACUGCCGUGUUUGGAUGCAUGAACAUCCUGUUCGGCAUAUCUCUUUGAUUUACUUGCGAAGUUUGUAGUAUUUCGCAGAUGAGGAGUGGAUAAAAUGUCUAGAAUGGCGCACUGUAUUCGACUUCAAGUCAUUUUCAUGGAAUACGAUAAAUCACCUCCUAAGUGAAAUAUGUUUUCCUACCAAAUUAUGAAUGCCAAAACCUUUCAAAAACAAAUAUCAAGUUCCUAGCUUCUAAUCACAUAAGAAAAUCUUCAUACAAAACAAAUUAUCACUCAUAAGAACUUCAUACUAAACAAAUUAUCAUUGGAUAACUUAUUUCAAUAUCCAAAUAGGGCCUAGGGCUACUAGGAUGUUUUACACUAAGUUCUCAGAAUGCAGUACAAGGGGAUAAGAUUAGUCGGGUCGUUAAUCUGGAUUGUGGUUUGUUGUGGAACAUGAAUACUCAUCAACAUAUAUAAAAAUCAAGACCUACCUUUUGUUAUUCUAGAGUGCUUUUUCUCUUUCAUUUAGUUCGGAUUAGGUAUUCCUUCUCCUAAUCAAAGGGGCUCUCUUCUUUCCUUAGGAUAUUAUUUUUGUGUGGAUUAUUCUAUAUCUUGUAAAACACAUUUUAUUUAGGCGACCCAACAAAUUAGAUUUGGAAAAUCUAAGCCCUCUUUUACUAUUCUCAGUUCAGCACUUUUCCAAUGUACAUCUUGAGCCCACCACAAGUUGAGAUGCAUGAUCGGAAUUGCGUGCUGCAGAGUGGGCGGGGAGAGGGGGAGUCUGCUUUCCUGGGAAAUAAUAUAUUUUUCUAUAUUAGAAACAAGCAUUUUAUUGCGUAUAAAAAUAUUUGGAUUUUAUUUUUUGAGUGUUGGUAUUUUGCUUGCCCUCCCAUAGAUCAAGAUUUCCUAUUUUCCCAUAGAUCAAGAUUUUCUUUGUUUUUAGAAGAACUGAGGGAAAAGAAUGGUGGAGAUAGCAUUGUUUGAUAUUGUUAGUGAAAUACACCGGGAUCCAGGCAUCUGACAGGGGCACACUAUAGCAGAUACUGAUCAAUAUAGACUACAGCAAUUAAAAAGGUCCGUGAGGAACUCAAGACCUAGUCUAAUCCAGGGAGGGCACAUCCCCUUCCUUUCCUCCUGGAUUCUCCCAUGCCUUUUUAUAGGCUUCACUUACUCUCUUAUGGUGGUGAAGAAGCUGGCAAUGGGGCCUUGUAAUCGAGAAUUGGUCCAAGACAGAGCCCAUGACAGUGAUGAAGGUUGUACCCUCUCCCUUGGCGGAUUCGUUGGAGAGAAUAAGAGGGGAGAGAAAGUUACCUUAUUACCCUGAGGAAGAGCAGGUGAGGAGAGAGAUACGGUGUCUUUUGUAUUUUAACUUUUAAACAGAAGUUGUUGCGCUUGGAACUAAUUGAAGCUUGACCAAAACUGUGAAAAGAAGCUCUACAGAAACCACCGAAACUUGGCCAAAAACUGACUGGAACCCAACUGAAACUGUUGAAACCCGACGAAGCCCAGUGAAACGUUCUUCUUGGUAAAUGGAUUGGUUACCGCUAUUUUGGCUAAAACUUGAAACUAUUGCAUUUACUAAAUCCUUUCGGCAGAUAAUUUAAAGACGAAGAAAACUGCUUCCUGUCUGUGCCAGAGUGAUUGUUUGUUAGCAAUUUGUGCUUAUCUGGUGACUGAUUGACGAUCUUCCUUGUGGCUUGAUAAGAAAAUCAUUUAGUUUUAUGCUUCUAAUAUUUUUUGUUUGUUUUCUCAAUUGAAUUUUUAUCAGAGUUGUGCUACUUAUUAGUUUCUUUCUUAUUCACAUGAAUAUUUUUAGCGGCUACAUAUGUAAAGCAAAUACUAAGGCUUUAAUAGCUUGAAAUUGUUUUCUUUUAAAUUUGUAUAGAUGCCAUCAUUGCCAUAUUAGUGCAAAGGCUACUCCAAUGAUGCGUCGAGGACCUGAUGGACCAAGGACCUUGUGCAAUGCUUGUGGAUUAAUGUGGGCAAAUAAGGUAGACUCUUUAUGGUAAUAGUUACUUCAUCACACAAAGCACUAUAUAUUUUCUUCAAGUUAUUAAUUAAUGGAAACCUUCAGAAAGCUAUAUGGCUUUUCUUAAUGAGUGUUAGUCUAUGGUUUUUAUGGCCAAUAGUUGGUACUGUUAAAAAGCAGGGCAAACUAGCGUGCUUUUAAUCUAUAGUUUUGUUUGUUAUGCUUUAAAUACCAGAGAACUCGAGGCUGCAAGUUGGACUCAGUUAAUUCAGUCAUUACAAUUUGAACUAAUUCAUACUAAAUUUGAAUUAUCUGCAACAACAAAAUCAUAUGCUGUUUAAAUUUCCUGAAAGGAAAGAGCAAGAUGGUGGUUUUUAUUGUUAAAUGCACAUUGCUUCUGCUAAUUUGAAUAACAGAUUACUAUUUUCUGUCCAUAUGUUGAAAAUCAACAUUUUCCUACUCCUGAUAAAAAAGUUAAGCACAUUGCUUCUGCUGAUUUGAAUAAUAGAUUACUGUUCUUAGACUCUUUAAUCAGCUAUACCCUCUUUAACGAUCAGCUAAACCCUGUUUAAUGAUGGCAAUAUUAUCCUACAAUUUUAGAAUUGAUUUGCAAAUUGCAACCGUUUAUUCCCAUUUUAGGAGAUUUCAAAGUCAAGGCCUUGAUUAAAAAGGUAGGCGAUGAAAGUGGACAAACGUUGUCAACGGUGUGAUAAUCUCUAUCUAUAUUAGGGCCUGUUUGGCCUAGCUUUUGGAAAAUUGAUUUCUACAGAAGUGAUUUUAGUUUGGAAAAUUGAUUUUGGUGAAAAGCUGUAGAGCGUUUGGCUGAGUUUAGGUAAAAGUGAUUUUUUUGAAAUGAUUUUCUAAAGCUGUUUGGCAAAAAAAUUUGAUGUUUGCAUAUAUUAAUAUUUUUACUAAAUUUUAUUUUAAAAUAAUUUAAAAUUUGAAUUUAAAUUAAAAAUUUAAAUUUGAAUUAAAACUAUAAUUUUUAAAUUUCAAAUUUGUACAAAAAAUAAAUUUGAAAUUUCAAAAUUUUAAAUUUGAGUUUUUGAAUCUAAAUCUAAAUUUUCAAUUUUCCAAUCUAAAUUUAAAUUUUGAAUUUGAAAUUUAAAAUUUAAGAUUUGAAAUUUGAAAUUCAAAAUUUAAAAUUUAAAAUUUAAUUUCAAAAUUCAAAAUUUAAAAUUUAAAAUUUAAAAAUUAAAAUUUAAAAAUUAAAAUUUAAAAUUUAAAAUUUAAAAUUUAAAAUUUGAGAUUUGAAACUUAAAUUUAAAAUUUAAAAUCUAAAUUGUAAAUUUUAAAUUUGAAAAGUUGAGAUUUACAAAUUCAAAUAUGAAUUUAAAAUUUCAAAAUAUAAAUUUAAUGUUAAAUUUAUACUUUGAAUCUAAAAUAAAAAUAAAAAUUUGAAGUUUUGAGUCCAAAAUCAGAAUCAGUUUUGGAGAAGCAGUUUUUUUUUCUGCUUCUGAUUUUGAAGCCUUCAAAAUCAGUUUUCUGAUUCUGAGAAGCAGAAUCAAAUUUUACAUCCGUCGUUCCCAAACACUCUACUGAGCUCAAAAGUAAUUUUGGGCUUAGAAUCACCUCUGAGAAGCUAGGCCAAACACCCCCUUAGAUCAUUAACAUUCCCAAAGAAAGAAUUUCCUAAGUCAGACCCUAAACAACCUUUGACUGUUCUCAUGUAAGGAAGGGAAGUGCUUCUAACAAUUAUUUAGUGAUAGUCAUGUAGGGAGUGUAAGGGAUUUUUAUUAUAUCUUGUCCGAUAAUAGAGCUGUAGAUUUGUAUGAAUGGACACGCAAGUGGAUGGGAUUUUUCUUGAGGUUUGGAAAUGCUUAGAAAGCAAGGAGUUAAGUGAUUUCUUAAAUGAAGAUCCAUAUUCAUCUGCCAAACUAACAAAAUGCCUAAAUGAAGAUCCAUAUUAGUUUUGAUAUUUAAUGAAUAAAAGUUGUACCCAAAUUGUUAGAUAUGCUUAUUGCUCACUAGUUACCAAAUGAAGUUGUGCGAGCAAGUGAUUGAGCAUUCACGAUAUUAGUUUGACAGUAUUCGUGAACCAGUUUCGUCUGCCUUUGGGAGCAUCUAUGAAAGCUGUAGGAUUGGAUGGAUUAUGAGGUAUGGAGAAAGUAAGAUGGAUUUCAAUAUCAUUUUAUUGAACAUAACAACUUUUGGUGGUGUUCUGAAGUAACAUGACUGGUGGAAAAUACCUGAUUCCUGCAUCAUUUCCAAAAUUAGUCAAUCCUGCAGAUAGAAGGUGCAAGGAAAGUACUGAAUUAUUUAUUAGUUCUUUCAGGCGGGGCUUGGAUUUUCGUGUGCUUCAUUAACGUGUUUCACAUUCGGGUGUUAAUUGCAAGUUUAUUAUAUGCUUUUGCUUUCUUCCUGCAAAAAUCUUUAUUUCUCAAGCUACAGAAUUCUUAAGGGCUGUUAGUGUGAACAUACUGGUGACUGAUUAUGCUAAUAUAAGAGAUAGUAUUGCCGCUAGAUUUUAUUGUUUUAUAUAGUUAUAUAAUUUAGUGUAGACUACCGAACCUAGCAAAGUGACAAAUUUCACUAGCAAAGUUGUUUACAAAUGAGUGUUCCUAGGCUUCUGUUAAGCUGUUCAAUCUAUGAAACUUGAAAUAACAAAUGUCGAUUGAGUAGAAAUAAUACUUGUACAUUUUUCUCUUUAUUGGUGGUGGAGUGCAUGUAUUUGGCUUUGCUUUCUACGUUCCUUGCUGGAGCACCUUGCUUUUUUGUUCAAUCCAAACAAUUUUUUUUGCAGUGGCUGAUGAACAUGUGGUCAAUGAGCACUUUCUUUCUAAGACUUUUGGGUUUGCAAUUUACACCUUAAUCAACCAAGCUAAUACUCUUUCUACUUAAUUUGAAGGUCUCCUUACGCUUGACUACAUUACUGUAUGGUUUUUGAUAUUGGGGCAUUUGGUGACAGUAUAUACAUAUUGCGUACCUUUAUAUUUUUUUUGCAUAUAUGUUAUAUCUCCUCUUGUUGGUGUUCUGGCAGGGUACAAUGAGGGAUCUCUCAAAAAGCCCGCCUGUUCCACUCCAGACUUUGCCGCCAGAACCAGUGGAUGGGGUAAGUCUUCUUCUCUCAACUUGCAUACAAUUCACCUGCUCUUGUUAUUUCCAAGUAUCUUCAGUCUACUUUUUUUUUAUUUAUGGGAAAUAAAGCAGUUCCUGAAUGCCCUGAACUUACUUGCUUGACAUCCCUGAAUAUCCAUCUGCUUCUAAGAUCUCUAACGUCUACUGGAAGCUGUGCACACCAGCUAUAACAAUUGUUAACAGCUAAUAAACCUGGGGAUGUUACUAAAAGAUAUUAGGUAAGUCUAGGGAUUAAUCUUUUCAAGCGUAAAGUAGUGGCCGUGUCACAAUUCAUAUAAGUACAGGAACUACCAACACAAUUUAGCCUUUUGAUUUUAUAGAUUCAUCUCUUCUGUUAGGAGUUGAUGUUCAUUUUCUCCCCAUACAGACUGGAACUGCUGCUGCAGCAGCUGUGGGUGAGCAACAAUCAGCUGCCAUCACUGCUAACGGUCAUGAUUCAUCGUCGUGAGCGGAAGUACUGCGUGGCGAUAGAUAUUAGUUAGAGCAAUCGCGGCCUCAAGGAGAACUGAAGAUCUAUUCUAUACAUGCCUACAUGCCUGUACUAUUGUUAGUUGGUAGAGAAUUUGAUACAAGAUAUUUAUAGGUACUUUCUUCUUUCUCCUGGUGAGAUGAUGGGCUAAGGUGAUGCUAAUUAUGCUAUAUUGAUUACAUCCGCGGUGUGUGGUUUUCUUGGUUGUAUCAAUCUUUGUUCACAAGAUUUGGUAGCGUCGAUGUGUGCGCAGGAGUAGCCUAACUACUUGAUCAGACUUGGUAAUAUCGUAAUCUCUAGUUGAGAAACUAUUUUCUUUUUUGGGUUAUUAGUGCACAUGGUGAUUAUGUAAAUAAUAAUUGCUUAAAUGUUUCUUGUAACUCUGCUCUUUGUUUGCAUUUUUGUUUUAACUCUUGGAAGAAUCUGGAAUUGUACCUGUGCUUCUUGGGGGACUUCUUAAUACUACUUGCUUUGAUUUCUUUGGGGCCUGUGCUUUUGCAGAUAUUAGAGGGGAUUUAAAACUUGUUUUCCAAAUUGAUGGUAGUAAUCUUGUCAUUAGCAAGGUAAAAUCCUUUGCCAUCUUCAGAAUUUUAGAUGCACUAGAUAUUGCUGUCAACCAUACUAAUUUAGCAUGUUUAUGAUUUAGAAUUUUUAAGUUGUUACCAUAAGAUGCAGUGAACAUAAUAGAAUGAUGAUGAACAGUAGUACUUGUAGACUUACUGUGGGAGUUGUCUCUGGUUUGAAUCUAGAGAUGUCAGUGGGUCGUAUUCGGGACAGGUUUUCAAAAAUUCGACCUCAAAUUCAAAUUCGAAUUGGGUGAAUUUUAAAAAUCCAUCUCUAAACUUGAAUCCUGUAAAAACUUUGAGAUCUGAAGUCCAAUUCAAAAAUCCGAAUUCGAAUAAUUAUUUCUCUUUACCGUAUUUCAAAAUAUAUUAUAUUAAAUUUAAAUUUUUUAAAAUAUAAAUUUAAAUAUAAUAUCAAAAAAUAAUAUAUAUUAUUAUAUAGUGUAAAAUUUGGGUUUGGAUUGGGUUCGGAUUUGGAUUGGGUAUAAAUAAAAUUCAUAUUCAAGUUUAAAUUCGUCAAUUUUUUUUUAUAUUUGUAUUUAAAGUUAUAUCAAGGGCUUUUUUUGCAUUUAACCCCCUGACAAAUUUUUAUUUUAAAAAUAGCUCUGUCAAAAUUUAAUUUGCAAAAAUGGCCCUGGGCCUUCCACGCAGGCGCCACGCGGGUGGGGCCAGGGGCAAUGUGUUAAGUUAAACACGGUGAACCAUUCACUGUGUUUAGACACGGUAAAUGGUUCACCGUGUUUAGUAUGUAUAUUUUGUAUGUUGAAAAGAGGAAUAGGAAGUAGGGAUGUCAAUAGAUAUGGAUAUCCGAAAGAUAUUAUCCGACGCAAACAUGACAAUUAAAUUAGUAUAUUAAUAUAUAAUAUAUAUAGUAAUAUAUACUAUAUAAAUUAAAAUUUAUUUUCAUAUCUCUAAUUUGAUCCAAUAUAAAUAAAUAUUUAAUAUUUUUAUUUCUUUAGAUCUUCAUUCAGUCGGUUAAAUAUAUUAUUAUAAUUGCUAUAAAUUACAAUAAAAUAAAUUAAUAUACGUACUCAUUAUCUAUAAAAAUUUAUUUGGGUUUGGGUUCGGAUAAUAUUUCGGAUAUCCAUACCUAUUGACAUCCAUAUUUCCUAUUCCUCUUUUCAAUAUAUAAAAUAUACGUAAGAAAUACGGUGAAUCAUUCACCGUAUUUAGACACGGUGAAUGGUUCACCGUGUUUUACUUAACACAUUGACCCUGGCCCCGUCCGCGUGGCGCUGACGUGGCGCCUGCGUGGCAGGCAUAGGGUCAUUUUUACAAAUUAAAUUUUAAGAGGGUUAUUUUUAAAAUAAAAAUUUGCCAGGAGGCUCUAUGCAAAAAAAGCCCUUAUAUCAAUUUAGCAUCGAAUAAAAAUUAAAUCAUUUGAGUUUGAAUUUGAAUAAAAUUUUGAGUAUCCCAAUUCGUUGAUAUCCCAAACUGGAUCUAUUGUUAAUUAGCUCCACUAUAAAAACAAGCAUCGCUCGAGUUCAAAUGUUUUUUUUUUUUUGGAAAAACUUUAAAAAAACCCCUGUGGUUUCACACUUUUUCAUUUUAGUAGUCUAUGGUUUAAACUGUAUCAAGUUAGUACCCUGUGGUUUCUCCUUUUAUCACCUUAGUACCCUAUGGUUUAAAAUGUAUCAAGUUAGUACCCUGUGGUUUUGCACUUUAUCACUUUUGUACCGUGUGGUUUCACACUUUAUCCCUUUAGUAUCCUAUAGUUUAAAAAACCACAAGAUACUAACUUGAUACAAAAUUAAAACCACAGGAUACUAAAGUGAUAAAGUGCAAAACCAUAAGGUACUACUUGAUACACUUUAAACCACAUGGUACUAAAGUUAUAAAGUGAGAAACCACAGAGUAUUAAUUUGAUAUAUUUUAAACCAUAGGAUAUUAAAGUGAAAAAAAUUAAAACCAGAGGGGGUUUUUUAAACUUUUCCCUUUUUUUUUUUUUUUUUUUUUUUUUUCUAUUUUGAAGCUUCAACGGCUAGCGAGUAGCGCAUACGAAGGAGAGAUGGGGGCGAUAACGAUGAGCGAUGAGGCGAUGGAGUCUCUGCUUCGAUCCUUUGAUCAAAUCUCACAAGUUAGUGCUACUUCUCAGAUUUAUUAUUAUUACGAUAGAAUUUUAGGGUUGUGUUUUUUCCCCCCUUUUUUUUUUCUCUUUUUUAUUUUUGUGGGGAUCUACUUGUAGUUUUCACCGUAACAAUGAAGAUAUCAGAGAUUGAGGAGGGUUUUUUUUUUUUUUUUUUUUUUUUUUUUUUUUUUUGUAGAUCUAUUUUAUUGUGAUAGAGUUUUUGGGUUAUUUUAUUUUAUUUUUCUCGCUCGUUUUUACUUUUCGUGGGGAUCUACGUAUAGGUUUGCACCUCUAACAAUCAAAAUAUUAGAGAUUGAGGAGAUGUUAAUUUUUCUCGAUAAUUUUUCUCAGAAAUUAUGAGUUGGAAACUUUGUAGUUCAUGGAGCCAAAAUAUUAGUGAAAAUACAGUGAAGGAAGAUGAAGAUUAAUUUUAGGGGCAAAUGUUGUAUAUUUUAUUUAAUAUUUGGAAUGAAAAAUUUGUUAUUAACUAAUCAAGCCACUUGAGUUGGUAGCAUAUUCUUAUUAAUAGACCGCUAAUAAUUCCCAUCGAGUAUGAUAAUGAUAAUACCUCUUACCCGAUGACAAUCUAGUAUUUCUACUAUCUAGUAAUUUACAAUGAUUUCGCUACUUUAGUAAUACCUUUUACAACAAUUCAACUUGAGGUGUAUAUCAAUGGUUUGAAUAUUUUCAAUAGAAAAUAUGGAGGAUUACCGAAAUCUUAUAAAUCUUGAACCAAACGGCCCCAUAAGGUAUCUAUUCUUCUUUUUAAAGCCUUUGUUUAGUUUUUUUUUUUUGAAAUUUGGUAAAAAUGUAUAAAACUUAUCUGAACUAUAGACCAUUUUGAUUCGACAACCCAACUUUUCAAAAUUUUAAUUAGUACACAAUCUGUCGAUUUGUUUAACUUGAGCGAUUUGAUAGUUUUUUGGAUACAAAAUUUAACCUAAUUGCUUGCUUUAAUAAAUUUAUAUUUACGCAAGUUGUAUAAAAUAUACUAAUUAAAUCCGUAAAGAUAAACGACGCCUUCAUAUUUUAAAGUUAAAAAUUCACUAAUUGGCUCAAAUCAAAUAAAUUCAUAGGUCAAAUAAUAAAAUCAAAAUUUUUAAAGGUUAGGUAGUCAAAUCCAAAUUGGUGAUAGUUGAGGUAAGUUUUAUAUAGUUUCACCUUGAAAUUUUAAUCCGUAAAGGUAAGCAUGUAAAAAUUUUUAUUUGUAAAAAUAGAUCUAAACUAGCCAUGUUUCCAUCAUGUCAGUGGAGUCUAAAAAAGAAUAGUGACCACCUUCUAUGUUGUAAUACAUAAAAAACUUAAUAAGUAUUGCACCAUCGGAUGAGGUGAACCGUUUGCCGUAUUUAGAAUGCAUCUGAUGGUUUGCUGCAUUCUUCAGCUCUCAAAACUAACUGCUUAGAUGGUGCAUAGGUGGCAGGGUAUAAGUCUAUUUUUGUGAGUAAAAUUAGACAAGUCUAUUUUUGUAAAUAUAAAUCCCAACAAGGCUAAUUUGAAAAAAAAAAGUACUUAUUUUUUAUUUGUUACAAUGAUUUCUCUUGUUUUUGUAGUUUGAUGAGAUUUUGUUAAAACCUAGGUUAUCUUGGAUGAAAUUUUUGAGAAAUUACAGUAUUAGAGUCAGAUAGUUGUUAUUAGCCUAGGCGCCACAAACACGGGACACACUACGGCUAGAACACGGUGACUUGGCAGGUUCAAAGAAAUUAGGAUAGGAAUAAGGCAGGGAUACGACUAAUAAAAUAUAAUAUUUUUAAUAUAACGAUGUAUAUUUAUUAUGUAUAAAACAAUAUUAAUUUAGCAAAAAUAUUGCUAUAUUUUUCAUACUAAUGAAAGUUUUUUUUUUUUUUUUUUUUUUUUGAGAGAUAGGUAGGUUUGGCCACUUAUGUAUUUGCACCCUUUCGUGGAAGUUUUGGAGAGCAUUGGGUGUAUUUGCGGGUAGGUUUCUCUGAGAGAAAUGCAUUUUUCAAGAUUUCACUUUUCGUUAUAAUGAAACCUUUACUUCGCCUGCUUUACUUUGUCCUUUUCCUUUUUAUUAUUUGGGGUUUCGUGCUCGACAAACUAGGGUUUUUAUUUAUCAUUACAAAUCACCAUUUGGAUCAUUUAAUAGGUUAAUUCUUCGUCUAACUCCUUUCUUGUCUGCGCAUAUAGCAUGAUACACUUUAUUUCAAGCGUGCAAGUGAGGAGUGUUAACACUACUCUUACGUUGUUUACUGUCAUCCAUUUUUUAAAUAACAUGAAAGAACGAACAUUUGGCCGUAUUUCUUUUUAAUAAACCAAAAGACUGUUGUCUUUGUUGGAAACUUUAUUGAUCGUCCUUCAUGCACUGCCAACAAAAUACGCACGAAAGUAUAAAAAUAUCAAAUGGUAAAAAAAAUAAAUGCAGACUAAAUAGACUCAGAUUUAGUUGGUUCGGCAAUUACUUACGUCCACAAGGAGAGCGAGAGAGACAUAUUCUACUAUAUAAAGAAAUAAAAGUACAACUUACUCUUUAUGUUUUCUCCAAAUCAAAAACUAAGAGCUUUAUGGUGAAACCCACUUUUCUCUUGUUCCAAUAAAAAACUCCAAAGAAAAACUUGGAAAGAGAUUUUCGUAAAUCCUUAAUUAGAAAAGACCAAUUAGAGAAGAAUAGAAUCUCUGGCCAAAAUUCUUUAUGCUGUUGCUGUGAAAGAUCCAAAUUGGCAAACUGCUUAGACAACUGGUCAAGAAUCUCUGCUUCGCUGCCGACUCCGAGCUUGAUGCCGCAUGCAAGCUCUUCAUACACCUUUUCUUUGUCUUGCCGUACACGCCUCAAGAUGGGGCCAAUCCUCACCCUAAUUUGGCCACUCGGCGACGUAUGCUAAUUAAUUAGCCAUGCACACAGCUUAAACCUCAACGCGCACGCAUAUAUAUAGGUUUAGAGUCCUCGAAACCGCACCAAGUCAAACUUGACUUGUAAUAAGACUCAGCUUGGAAACCGAGUCCUGUUGUAACAUGUUACGAGAAUUUCAACCAAUAGGAAUCAACUUUGACUUUUGUAAUAGAUUCCUAUAAACUUGAUGCAUUGUCCCCUUUUGUGAACCAAGAUGUUUUAUGGACUAAUUAAAUAACAAUGAUCAUAAAACCUUUAAUUUAAUCACAAAAGAAGGCACAUCUUAGCAUUCUCCACCUUUACUUUUUUUGUGCGUUUCUACUCUCUCUCUUCUUAUCAACUCCUUUCCCUAAGGCUUCCAGUCACUAUCAAUUCUGACUUUCUGAGAAUGUUACUACAGUAUUUCUAACUAACUUGCCAAUUAGCUUCUACAGAUUUUCUUUUUUUUUCUCGUUUCAUAACGACCAUGACACUUCUUUUCAUGUUAAUAACUCCACCUGAAAUGCUACAAGAACAACCAGUAGAGUCAAAAGUACCUAGCAAUAUAAGAUUCAACUUAAGACUUGAAAUUUGUCUCAUAUCCGUUAACUUCUCACCAUACCAUUAAUCAUCUUUAUUUUUAGUGAUUACCCAUCAUAACACUACCAUCUUCACAAGACUUGUAAGUAUCAAAUAAAGACCUGUCUAGAGACGUGAUAAAGAUAAUUCGAAUCUAAUAUUUAAUCACUGAAAAUUUCUAAAUUUGUUGUAACAGUCAAAAACGUCGUGACCAAAAUUGCUGACUACUCUCGUCAUAUCUAGAGAGGAAUUUUAUUUUUGCAGUAAUGUCUUUUUCUUCUUGCAUUUUUUUCUUUACGUAGUCCUCUUCUUGCAGAAAUAACACUUCAUAUUUUUCAUUGACUUAGAAUGAAAUUUUUUCUUUAUCCACAUCACGUUUUCUAGAUCUUCCCCUUCCUCCACCUGUAUCAUUCACGACCUAACUUGUGCUUUUUUCCUCGAAACUCUAAUGCAACCUGAUAUCUUGCAAUAAAAGGUCAACAUAAUAUCUUUUAUCUUCAGAAUUUGCUUCUCAUACACUAUAGUUGUCACCAGGUGAUUGUAGAACGGCAAAAUUGACGUGAGGAAACUCAGUGCCUUAUCAUCCUCGUCAAUCUUGACAUUAUGCUGAGCAAAUAUGCAAUCUAUAACAUACUAUGAAUUCUCAUGGAAUUCAAGCUCUCCCCGUAUUUUAGGAAAAAAGUGGGACAUGUCUCUUCUCUAAAUAUUAGGAAUAAGUUUUUUAGUGGGGCCCACUUUCCCUCUCUCUCUUUAAUUAAGGGGGUUCAUUUAAUUAAAACUUUUGGGUUCCUUUUCUCCUCCCAGACGCCCCUCCGUCUCCUCCCUCUCAAUCUGCGUUUUAGAAAAAAAGUGGGACCCGCCUCUCCUCUAAAUAUUAGGAAUAAUUUUUUUAGUGGGCCCACUUUCCCUCUCUCUCUUUAAUUGGGAGAGGCCCAUUUAAUUAAAAUUUUUGGGUUCCUUCUCUCCUCCCAUAUGCCCCUCCGUCUCCUCCCUCUCAAUCCUGCGUUUUAGGAAAAAAGUGGGACCCGUCUCUCCUCUAAAUAUUAGGAAUAAUUUUUUUAGUGGGACCCACUUUCUUUCUCUCUUUAAUUAGGAGGGGCACAUUUAAUUAAAAUUUUUGGGUUCCUUCCCUCCUCCUAAACACCUCUCCGUCUCCUCCCUCUCAAAUUUUUUGAGUCCAUUCCAUACGCCCCUUCCACUCCUCUCUCUCAAACUCUCUUUUUUUUUUUUUCCCACCCGCCCCUCCGCCUUCUCUUCUCUGUCUCAUCCUUCUCGAUCCAGAAAUAACGCAUAGCGUGUAACGACCCAGUCCACUAGCAACAAUAACUCGUUGGGCCCAACAACCGGCCCAAAAUGCUUAAGCCCAGUUAUUAUUACUAGUGUCUAAGUCUCUUAUAAACCCAAUGACAACCCCAACUCGUUGGGCCCAACCACCGGCCCAAAAUGCUUAAGCCCAGUUAUUAUUACUAGUGUCUAAGUCUCUUAUAAACCCAAUGAUAAUCCCUUUCCCAUUCAAUGUGGGACUAUUGGGGUGUCACAGACUCCCCCCGUUAAGGCCCUGACGUCCUCGUCAGUCCAAUCACACACAGAGCCCAAGAUCACCAGGCGAUGUGAGACUCGUCUCGCUAGCCCGUCAUCCAGACCCUGGCUCAGUCGAGACUCGCCACACAUGUCCAGCUGGUGAACCGGCUCUGAUACCAAAUGUAACGACCCAGCCCACUAGCAACAAUAACUCGUUGGGCCCAACAACCGGCCCAAAAUACUUAAGCCUAAUUAUUAUUACUAGUGUCUAAGUCUCUUAUAAACCCAAUGACAAUCCCUUUCCCAUCUGAUGUGGGACUAUUGGGGUGUCACAUAGCGUUCAGUGGUGGUGGUAGUAGCGGGUUAGAGAACGAGGUGGCGAUGGAAGUGAGCAGCAGCGGCGUGCAGUUCGACUACCGCAGAUAUCAAAGAAGAGCUUACGGUCUCCGUGGCGGGGAUGUGGUUCCUUCUCAAUGGUAUAGUACCUUCUUCUUCUUCUUUUUUUUGUCUUAGUGUUGCUUGAUUUUAUGCCGUGAGUAAUUUAUUUAGUAUUAAUAUUUUAUUUUUUAAGAGAGUUUUUUCUGAACUAUUUUGGAUUCAAUUCGUACCCUUUUUUACCUUUGUUUUUUGCCUUUUUCUUGUUUUCUGUUAGAUUUAAUUUUGUAGAGUAAAUUAUAUGGAUAAGUCCCUACAUUAUUUGGAAAUUACAACAAAUGUGCCAUUACCAACAAGAUCAACUGCCUUCUGAUAAGGUUUUAGAAACUUCAUCGAAAUCUAAAAAUUCAAUAAUGUAUCCAAAAUUUUGAAAAAAUAAUUAUCAAAACGUAGUUAUAUAUUGAUGUUUCUUCUUUAUAUUUUUAUUUGUUUAUUUAAUUCGCAAAUUUUAAUAUGAUAAUUUCGUCUUUGUUUCUUUAUGUAAUUUACAAAUUUUUGGUAUGAUAAUUUCUAUCCGCCGCAUCACGCGGGUCUCUACACUAGUAAUUUUAUUAAGGGUGUUCAAAUAUUCUGUUAUUGUCAUACCUUUUUUCAUGUAAACCCAUAUAGCUUUUGCUUUAGGUACAACACAUUCAAGAGGCUUUUUGUCAAGUACAGUUUCUUUAUUUUGUUGUACAUGCCGACAGUAGUUUCUUCGUCCAUUACGUUGUACUCACCGCGUCUACCAAGCACAAUAUUAUUGUAUUCAUAGCCCGCAGAUUAAUAUCCUCUCGAUUUUUGUUGCUUAUCGAUGAUGUCUUAUUCAAUAUUCCAUUAACGCUUUUAUGAAGGCCCUAUUGAAUCAGAAUGGCUUUCACUCUUUUUUGCAGGAGACCGAACUUUCCUUUUCCGUUAAAUUUCUCAACCUCGAACUUGAAAGAUGAGACCUUGAACAUCUUUGCUGUAGCGUGAACAUUAGGCUCUAAUACCACUUGUUAGAAAUUUGAUGGAUCGUCCGUCAUGUGGUACCAAUAUAGAUGCACGAAAAUAGAGUAAACUAAAUGGUAAAAGAAAUAAAUAAAGAAAGAAGAGACCGAGAUUUACGUAGUUCGACAAUUGCCAAUGUCCAUGGAAAAAUCGAGCUCUAUGUGAAGAAAAAAAAGUAGACUUACACCUGAUAUCUUCUUUAAACUAAAAACUAAGAGCUUUAUGAUGAAACCCACUCUUCUCUUAUUUCAAUAAAAAAUUCCAAAGAAAUAACUAGAAAGAGCUUUUUGCAAAACCUUAAUUAGCGAAGACCGAUUAGAGAAGAAUAGAAUCUUUGCCCAAAGUCCUUUAUUUUGUUGUUUCGAAAGAUAUGGUUGAGAAUCCCUGCUCCGCUGCCAACUUCAAACUUGGUGCUGCAUGCGAUCUAUCCGUACACUUUUUCUCCGUCCCGUUAUAUAGGCCUCGAGACCGAGCCAAUCCUCACCUUAAUUUUGCCAUUUCGGCGACGUAUGCUAAUUGAAUUAGCCCCGCGCAUAGUUAAGCCUCAAUGCAUGCACAAUAUAUAUAUAUAUAUAUAUAUAUAUAUAUAUAUAAUAUAUAUAUAUAUAUAUAUAUAUAUAUAUAUAUAUAAUAUAUAUAUAUAUAUAUAUAUAUAUAGAUUGAGAUAGAAUACUUCUAAAAGCAUCAAGAGAAGGUGGCUUGUGAGUUUUUAACCCUUGGAUAGAGAAAUGUAGGGUUGGGAUGAUGGUGGUAGGUGGUGGUAGGUGGAAUAGUGUCUGAUACAAGGACUAUUAGUAAUCAAGGAGUAGAUCCAAGGGCUAAAAACUUAAUAGCACCAAAGGGGUGAUACUUGUAAAAAUAUUCUAACUCAAUUUUAUAUAUAUAUAUAUAUAGGUUUAGAGCCGUGGGACCUGCACCAAGUCAAACUUGACCUGUAAUAAAUUGCACCAAGUCAAACUUGACCUGUAAUAAAUGGCUUGGAAACCAAGUCAUGUCCAAUAGGAAUCAACUUUAACUUUUUUUUGUAGAUUCCUAUAAACCCGAUGCGAUGCAUGCUCCCCUUUUGUGAACCAAGACACUUUUUGAACUAAGUAAAUAAUAAUUUUCAUCCAAUCUUUAAUUUAAUCACGAAAGACGGCUCAUCUUAAGAGUCUUAUUAAAACAAAAAGAUGUAUUUCCAUAAAACGUAAAGUUGGAGAUUUCAAACUAGUCAAGGAUUUUGAAUGAAUUUUUUAGUGAGAGUUAACAAGAAUUGAAAAAACUAAUUUUAUGGUGUGGAAAAUUAUUUAACAAUGCCUUCUAGAAUUCUUAAAUCUAUGGAUGUACUGAAGAAUAUCAUGAUAGUAUAAUUAAAGAAAGAAGAGUUUCGAAAAAUAAAAAAGACAAAAAAAGAGAAAGAAAAAGUUAAGGAAUGUUUAUCAUGCAUUACUUAGCGGUUUAUGCAAUAUUGUCUAUGUAGCAUUGUCUAUUGUAAGUUCCAAGAGUGAAGACAACAAAAGCUUGGAGGACUUAAAAAAGGCUAGAGGACAAGUCUUUCAGGAAGAACUUGUACUCUGAGUGGCACCAACGAAGGUAAUAUCAUAAAAUUCAUAUUGCGAAGCCAAACUUUGAGGCACUGCAUGAAGCUGGUGUAUAAAGACUUUGUAGACCCGCCAUGACCUAGUCAGAAGCUAGGAAGAUAUGAGGUAAUGAACUGAUAUUUUGUGCCUUCAGAUUCAACCAGUGAAUUGAGCUCAAAUUUUUAGCUUAUUCAAGGAAGAAUGAUUGUGUGGAAAUGCCUCUGAUUUCUGUGACUGGCUACUUGAUUUGAGUUCUCAUGGAAUGAAGAUCUCAUGGUUACAAUAUAUCAACACAGUCUCCACCCUAAUAUUAUAGCAGGGUUGGUAUUGAGUCACCUGUUUGUUUGGUACCCACCAACUUGAGGAGAACGAGAAUGCACAACAAUCAUGUCAAUCUACAGAACCGUACUGAACUCUUGAAACCCUAUCUAACCAUAAAUUUGUUAGAUUAGACUUGAGCUUAGUGAUCUGCUGUGAGCAUGCGUCUUCCUGCAAAGCCUCAAGCACCAAAGUCACAAAUGGCAGAAAAAUGCAAAAAGAGUACAACAUCUAGCCAUUCUUCUAUGGAGAUCUCCUUCAAUACAUUAACUGCAGUCACUUCACUAUUAUUAAGAGAGUCUGGAUGUUGGAGAUAACAUAUCUUCCUUCCUCUUUGCUUCCACCACAUUUUAUUCAAUCUGAAUCCUGAUCUCUUGCCUCUAGCUUGCAUCAGAUAACUAUUAUUAUCACUCUCUGCAAAUUCACCAAACUUCUCCUAUCAUUAUAAUUUCAUCGCAAACUAAAGGCUUAACAACCUUAAAGAAACCCAGUGAAAUAGAUUCUUACAUCAAGUAAAAAAUAUUUCUUUUAUGUAUAACUGCAUGCUUUUAAUUGUUCAUUUUUAUUGAAAGAGAUUGGUAUGAAUCAUGGCAUGCUUCGUUUGCUCUAGUAAACAAGAAGUAAUGUGCUUAGUUGUUUACAAUGUUUUUGAAAAUUGUGCUCUUGACAACAAAAUAGAGGCAGAGAAUCUGUCUGAAGAGAAACAACAGACAGGAGGGUUGUAGUAGGAAAUUUAAAGAAAUGUAAGAUGAUUUGCAUGAAUUUGAUGAUGCAUAUAUUAGUUCUAGAUGUGUGAAUAAUAUACUUAAAUUUAUUUAUUCUUCACUAGCGUAAUGCUUAAAUGGUUUUUCUCAAAUUCUGUUCUUCUAGUAGCGUAAAGCAAGAAAAAACUGUAUUUACCCCAUACUCCUUGGCUUGUAUUACUUUUGGCUACUUGAUUUUGUUCAGGGAUACAAAGAUGCACUUGCAGAAAUCUAGUCACUAAGAUUGAGCUACAGUUCGGAAAAUAGGAGAUGUGAAGUUCUUGAAACCACAUAUAAUGGUCUUAAAAUAGGUCAGCAAUUGUACAGAUUCGGUUAAAAUGUCUGUAUAUUCUUUACUUCCCUACCUUGUAGAAAAUUCAAGGCUUUUCUGGAACUAGGGUAUAAAUUUUUUGCACUUGUUCCUUUCUUAGCACAAAGCGGAUGGUCCUUGCAGUUUUUACUUUGUACCCAAAAUUUUGUCCAAACACAAUCUUGGAGGGUUCAUGAUAGAACUAAAAAUUGGCAAUUAUCUAUGCUUCAAUAUUCAUAAGACAGGCUUGUCAAUUUUCAGAAAGUCUAUAGAUGAUCUUACUCUGGCAGAUUGUCUCACCCUUCACUUCUUUUGAAACAGUCUGCUUAAAAUAAUUGCUUCUAUCUUCUCUUUUAGGGCUAAGAAGGGGAUUUUUUUUUUUUUUUUUUUUUUUUCUAUUCCAAUGCAGACAAUGAGCGCUUGCGAAAGUUGUAUGCUGAAACCUUGUUAAAAUUUGCUAACCAGGUAAUAUUUCUUUCUUCAAAUUACAAAUGAUUGAAAGAUUAUCAACUUUUCUCCAUUGCAAGACCACUUUUGGUUGUUUAGACGAAAAAAAUUAAAGCUAAUUGUUAUUUUACCCUCUGUUACUAUUAGCUUCCUGGAUUCUUUUAGUGAUCGAAAUCCAUUAUGACGACCAAUUUGCACUUCAGAUCAACAUUUGCAAUGGAACAUCAGUUAAUCUUAUUUACAUUUCUCUUCAGAGACUACAGCUAGAUAAAAGGACAAUUUUGCUAAGUAGCAUAAAGGAUGCUGGUAAAUUUCAUAGACUAAUUGUACGUAUCAUAUCAAAAACUGUUACUAGAAGUGCACUUCGAAGUUUACUUAGAUUAGUGAAUUCAUGAACUACGAUGUUAGUAUGUUAUAGAUUUCAUAAACUAGAUUUAGUACUUACAUAAGUGAGUGAAUGAUUAAGGUAUUCAGUCUAUUUUUAAGCCAGGGAAAGAAUAAUGUGUCAAUUCUAUUGCUUCAUUAUGCCUGCACUCCUAUGAUGCAAUUUUAUGCCUCUAUUUUGAAUCAUGGUUAGAGGGUUUCUUUUUAUUGUUAACUACCAAUCUAGUCUGCUUCCUUUGUACAGAUGAAAUGUCACAUAGAAUCUCAAAGUUUAAAAGGUGAACUUGAAAAGGCAAACUGCAGAUUGCUCAAUUUGGAAGAAGUAACUUUCUUCCUCACUUCCUAUAGUUUAACUUAACCUAAAAAUUCAAGGAUGCCAAGGUGACUGUGUGCUUACAUUAUACAGGAGCAUAAGAGGACUAUAGCAAUUCUUAAGCAAGAGAAUGAAUAGAAGAUCCAUGAUAUAGCAAACCAGCUCAGGUAAUUUUUCUUUUGUUCUAGUGAGCUUGAUCAUUUUUGCUUGUCGAGUAGCUUGUUUUGAGUUUGAUGUUCUUCAAAAUCAGCUGCUCUCUUCUUCAACGAGAAGCAGAUGAAGCUACAAUAAAGCAACUCCAGCUUGAUUUAGCUGCUCGUGAAAGUCAUAUUAGCACCCUAAGUGAGAAGCUAGGCCAGGUUACUGCUGAUGUGGAUACGAAAUGUAAGGGUUUUGCUUCCUAGUUGGGAAAAUGAUAUAUUUUUUCUGAACCUUUUUAUGAUAUUAUCACAGUAAUAGAACAACAUUCUUUUUCUUAGACCAUCAAGAGAUACAGGAUUUGAAGGACUGGAUUGUGGUGGAACAGGAAGAAAAAAAUGAGUUGCACAAUAUUCAAGAGAACUAGGCUUUAAGUGCCUAUCGACAUUGGCCGUGCCUGACGUGCUGCUCCGUGCCAACAAGAUGCCGGCACAAUACGAUCUCCGUAGUAAUGACAUGGCUCAAAGCCCUAUUUUCAACCUCAAUAAAGUGCAAAAGAUUACAUAAAGAUAUAUAUUAAGAAAUUAGAAUAUAUUUAUGUCAAGGAAAAUAAAUAAUUUAUGCCAUUAUGUGUUGGCGCACAUAUUUUUUUUCUGACUGGCAUGCACCGGGACGGCAUGGCAUGCACCGUUCUUAGUGGUAAACCUACAUAUUCAGUGGGAUCAAUUGACUAAAAAAAAUAACACAUCUUCAAAAGUAGGGCCCAUCUUAUAUUUUACCCUACUUUAUUUGACUAAUUGACCUCACUUUGUUUUAACAAGUGAGUAAAGUCCAAUUCUUUGCUCUCAUGUGGCACCAACUAUAUAGUUUGCAAUGUCAUAAACUUAGAUCCAAAUAAAAAAGAAAAAUGCACCAUUAAAUUAUAAAGAAAAUAUUUUACAAUUCUUUUAAAAUAAUAGUCGGUUGAUUGAAAAAAAAAACCCUAAUCUUUCAAAAAAUUGGUUGAGACAAAGAAGUAUAUUGUAUAUCUAUAAAUUUAUUUGCUUAUGAAGUUACCAUUGAUUCUAUUAGUUGCCACAGUCUAUGGAGGAAAAAAAAAAUGCAUUUAACACUAUCACUAUUAAUGCCAUCAUGUAUCGUUUCUCAAAUAUGAAAACACGUUGGGCACAAUCUAUAACUAUACACUGAAGUCCUUCCGAGCAGCUAAGGAUGCCACGAUAGCCAUUAAGAUGUGAGCGAGUCAGAUGAUGCUACAUGUCCAAUAGAAACUUUGGAUGCGCUCAGUGCACCUUAGACCGAUCAUAAAAAAAAAUACAUAAAAGAUAAAUUUUCAUUUGUUUUCGGCCACAACCUAAGUGGAAGAUCGUUAGGGUAGUUCAAUAUAAUUAUGCAAUCCAAUCGGCUUGCAUUAGAUAGGAUGUGUAUUGGAUAUUUAGAUUGAAAGCUAUUUUUGUUUUCACCAUCAUUUGCAAAAUAAAUAGUUAACUAGUAGUUGCUUUCCUGUCAUAGAAGACUUUAUACGAGUACUUCAAGAUCUGAUUCAGUCAUAGCAUCUUCUCUGCUAAUCUGUUCUUCAUGUGGUGGACUGCUUCAUUACUAGGCCAUCAUUCUUGGAGAGUUUUCUCCUCUCUUUAAUUUCCUUUAAAUUGCUUUGAUGUUUUAAUCCUAUCAAAGGCUGUUGCAUUCUUUCUCAACAUGUCAAUAAUUCUUCAUUUGAGUAUAUCAACCCAUUGAUGCAGGCCUUUUGCUGUCUUUUUUGUGUCAUGGCAUUAGAUUAAGAUUUUCUGAAAUUUUGCUCUUGGAUUUUACUAAAUAAGACCGCCAAGAAUAAACACUCCAUUAGUUUGUUAGAAACAAGCUGCCGCUUUAGUUGUGUAUUCUUAUUAUCGGUCACGUGUUUUUUAAUUCUUUCUCAGUUUUUGUUGCGUUAUAUUCAAAUGAUACUCUUUGUAAAGUGCGUGUUUGCUUAAUCACCAUAUUUUUAUGUGAGAAGAUGGUUAUGUAGUAUAGAACCAAACAACUGUUAAUGAAAGUAUGAAAUUUUGAGUAUUUACGGAUUAUGUUUGAAUAGUUGUAGGGCAAUAUGCUUGUGACAGUGUGGAUUCAUAUAAGAGUUCAUGAUUUCGAUCCAGAAAAUUGAUGUUUUAUGUGGCAUCUCAAUCCCUCGUAGAAAGUGCAUACUAUAAAUUUUCAAUUAGUUUAGCGAUGUCUUUGUAACGACCCAGUCCACUAGCAACAAUAACUCGUUGGGCUCAAUCACUGACCCAAAAUGCUUAAGCCCAGUUAUUAUUACUAGUGUCUAAAUCUCCAUUCCUAUCAAAUGUGGGAUUAUUGGGGUGUGACAGACUCCCCCCAUUAAGGCCCUGACGUCCUCGUUAGUCCAAUCACACACACAGCCAAAGAUCACCAGGCGAUGUGAGACUUGUCUCACUAGCUUUGUCAUUAAGACAGACCUUGACAUAACCGGUUACCUUGUCAUACAGACUUCGCAUAGCCUAUCACCUUGCCUUUCAAACACUGGCUCAGCCGAGACUCGCCACACAUUUCCGGCUGGUGAUUGGCUCUGAUACCAAAUAUAACGACUCAGCCCAUUAGCAACAAUAACUCGUUGGGCCCAACCACUGGCCCAAAAUGUUUAAGCCCAGUUAUUAUUACUAGUGUCUAAGUCUCCAUUCCUAUUCGAUGUGGGAUUAUUGGGGUGUGACAGUCUUAGUCAUGCAUUAAGUGGAACUGAUCAUUCCAUAAUAAACAAAACAAAUUACUUGUCUCAGCCUACUUUUUCUCCAGACCUUUGAAAUCACUUCGAUUCCGGUAUGGAAAUGCUUUUACAUUAAUUUUGGCAUUAUAGAUGGGAUAAGAACUUACAUCAAAGUUUUUGUAAUGUGAUCGUUUUUUGGGUACAGUUUGAAUUAUCCUCAGCUUGGUUCCUUGUGAUUGACUUGCCCUAAUUUUACUGCAAAUGUCUCUUUUUUUUUUGCAGUGAAACUCAUGAAAAUUAGGCAGGCAGAGCAACUGAAAGAUUCUGUUUCUAUUCAUCAUGUCGAGACACUGAAGCAGAAGAUCAUGAAACUUCGGAAAGGGAAUGAGUCUUUGAAGAGGCGGCUACUUGCCUCUGAAUUCAGUGGUGUAGGAAACUGAUCCUGGCUCAUCAAAUUCUCUGGCGAAAUAUUUCAUUAGUCCUGAUCUUAAACUGUGCAGAGAUUCUAUAUGUGAAUAUGUAACUUGAAUGUGGAUAUUUUUCAUUGAGAGAGAGAGUGCGAGGUGAUGAAUCAUUUGCAUCUUUAGCUUCUAACUAAGAAAAUAUUGCAACUGAUAGAAAUUUCUGUGUUAUUUGAUACUUCAUGGACAUAAAUAGAAAAUCCUAGAUUUCAAGGUUAAUUGUAAUGAAAUUCUUGUACUUGCAUGGCUUGUAGUUUUUGUUCGUUCAUUUUCCUUGGUGAAACACACAUAGAAAAUAUGCUAUCAUAGUAUAACAUCAAUUGUAACACACAAACUUUAUAUCUAUUUAAUUUGGUUUUACAGUAGUAUUUUAUAUAGUCAUGCUGAUGUUACUGGUUCAACCAGUUGUUGACUUACUGGUGGAACCAGUGAACCCUUAACCCAAUAAUAUUUUUGGAUCACUAUUUAAUCCGAUUUUUAAAAUAUUAUUGCUAGGUUUACGAUCCCAUCUAAAGACUAUCCCUUUUUUUUUUUACGAAAACCCAAAAAGAAUUAUUGAUUAGAUUAGGAGUUGUAAAGAUUACAACUCUGGAUUGUAGUCUUGUAGACUUAGUAUUUCUUUACAAAUAAAAGUUAAAGAUCAAAGUAAAAAUAGGUAAGAGUUAGUGAGCAAUGAGCAAUUAAUAUUUUCUUGACUGACAGCUACUUGGUCGUAGGGUUGGUAAUUCAACUCGCUGUUCACGAGCCAGCUCGUGUUCGGCUCAAAAUGAGCUCAAAAUUGACUUGAUCGUAUAGUAAAUGAGUCGAACGCAAAUUAAAUUUUCCAACUCAUUUAAUAAAGAGUCGAACACGAGCUAGGAUCAACUCACUUUUGUUGGGCUUAGCAACAUCCCGAUAACAUUUAUUUUAUAUUAAUAUAUAUAUAUAUAUAUAAUAUUUAUAUAAUAUUUAAAUAUAUAAUAAUUAUUUUUGUAUAUAAAUAUAUAAUACAGAUUAUUAUUUUUAAAUUUUUUAGCCCAACUUAAAAACAAAGCCGCCUCUCUCUCUCUCUCUCUCUCUCNAUAAAGGUAUUUUGGUCAGGCGGACGAAAAAGCGGACCGAACCUGCAAAAACGAAAAAUGUGGCCCGGUUUUGCAAAAGCCUGAAAUAAGUAGAUUUUUUAUGCAAAUUGGCCAUUAUUAUUCUACGCCCGAUCGAAGACCCCCCGGCAGCAGCGUUCUUCAGUCUUCCACCGUUCGCACUCUUCGCCGGCAGCAUAUCCCCAUGUAACUCCGGCAGUGGUGCUUUCAACAGGUUCGUUUUCGUCUUCCAUUGAUCUUCUUCAUCUUUUUUUUUUUAAUUUUUCUUAUGAUUUUUUGUGCAGAAUCCCAUGAAUUUUCUUUCUUGAACUUCUAAUUAGAGUUUGAUGUGAUUUUUGUAAUGCCCCGAUACGGAUCCGUAGAUAUUUGUUGAUAAGGUAAGAAGGAGAGGUGGAGUAGGAGUAGACAUAGGUGGGAGAGAGAGAGAGAGAGAGAGAGAGAGAGAGUUGGGGAUAGAGAUUAGAAGCGGUGAUUAGAGAUAGAGGGGAAUUGGGAGAAGAAGGAUUUAGAGGAGAAGAGAUUUGGGAAAGAAAGAAGAUGCUAAUUCAUUUCAUUCAUUGAUCAUCUGUUUGCAUGAUAAUAUGGUAUUUAUACAACUUAGUAAAUUGAACGGGAAUGAAAAACAUCUGGUCUACGAGGGCUAAACUGUAAUUUGUCAAAAUGGGGAAUGAGGCGUGACAGGUUGAAUUCUGAUACCUUGUGGGCCUCGAGUGGGCCUUCCCGGUCCAGGAUGCUGGUUAUCGAGCAGGCGGGCGUCGGUUCCGCCCUUCUCCGCACUAUCUGCAACCCGGCGGGUACUGGGCUCGCCAUUUUCCCCCGAUCCGGUAAUCUGACCGCCCGAUCCGCCUACUACUUCUCCUUCGCCCCCAAUCGCCUUCGCAUUCCUCCUAUCUUCCCUCUGUACUGCGACGAUGCCCUAAUCCUCGUCGCCCGCCGGAAUUUCGCCUGAACCAGAACCCGGAGAAGAGCCGCAUCGCAGGCAUCACGAAGCACCUGGAGAAGAACCAGAACCCUAGCUGGCACCAGGUGUUCGCCUUCUCCAAGGACCGCCCGCAUCCAGGCGAACUUCGUGGGCCGCAUCGUCUUCGACCUCACCGCAGUGGUACAAGCUCCAGGACAAGAAGGCCGACAAGCUCUCCUCCGGCGGCGGCGAGUGUCGAUCGGCACCCAAGCCGACGAGGCCUUCCCCGACGCCCUCGACGUCCUUGCCGUCGGUUCACCCCGCCGAGCUCGCUCCCUCCUCACCAACCUGCUGCUGCCACUUAUUUCAUCCCUACCUCGUAAAGUUUCUAUCUUUAGUACUUUACUACUUUAUUCUUCAGGUUGUUACAAUUAAUUAAUUAUUAUUAUUAUUAUUAUUAUUAUUAUUAUUUGUUUUAUACAGAGAUUUAGGUAGAUCGCGUUGGAUCCGUGUGAAAUCCGUAACUUGCGAGCCGGGCUUUUCGAGCUCGAGUCGAACACGAGCCGACUUUGAGCACUAACGAGCCGAUCUCGAGCUUGUUCGGCUCGUUGACAGCGCUACGUGAGUCGCGUCUCGGGCGGCACCGACUUAUUUUCCUGCCCUAAUUUUUAUUUUUAUUUUUUAUUUUUUAUUUUUAUAUUUAUAUAUAUAUAUGAAUUUUUUUUGGUGCGAUAGAGUUGAACGGGUUGACCCUCUAUCCAUCCCUUCUAGGGUUUUCCCUUUCCCUUUCCCUUGCUCCUUCCCCUUCUCCUCUCCUCCAUCAAUGGCGCAUCGCUUGCUCAGGGACGCGCAAGCCGAUGGGUGGGAGCGCUCCGAUUUCCCCAUCAUCUGCGAGUCGUGCCUCGGCGACAACCCCUACGUUCGCAUGGUGAGGGAUCCCCGCUCUUCAUCUUUGAUUCCUUUUUCCGUUUAACUGUAGGAAUUUCCAAAACGCUAAUCUUGGUUUUGGUUUUGCACCGUCGAUUUUGUAGAUUUGGUUUGAAACAGCUAGUUUUACGUAUGAUUGUGUGAUUAGGGGAUGCAGUGGAGGAACACUAGCCGUGGGAAGCCUAAUCUUGAUGUAGUUUACUGUGUGUAGAUCUGAAUGUUGUGUAUUGUGUUAACUACAUCGCUGGUUGUUGUAAUUACAUACUGGUUUUUAGAUUUUGGAUUGGAAACCAGAUAUUGCUAAAAACCAAUUAGAAAUUUCCUUACUUUGUGUUUGCAAAGCCAAAUCGAUAAUAGUGAGUUAAUUAGUGGAUGAGGCGAGCCAUGCACGGUGUAGUGUUAAUGUGUUAUCAGAAAAUGGAGCUAUAUUUUUCUUUUUUAAUUUAUUCGGCCCUUGAAGGUUUAUGUUUUUUCUUUUUUUUUUUCAGCUUAAGAGUUUUUUCUUAGAAGACUAAGAUUAUUCUGAUAAAAAACACUAUUUUGUGCUACUGUGACAUUACUAGGCAAUUUUUCUCAUGUCGAAUCAAUCAUCAAACAUGAAGUUCCCAAAAAGAUGGCCUCACCGUCAGAAAAGAAAAAAGUCAAGAUAUUUAAUUGAGACUCGAGUCUGUGCACUGAUUAAGUUGGCUAUGUAAUGAUGUGGAUCUUCUUUUGCAUAGGAUGUAGAAGAACACUCACACACUUUUGACCAAUUAUGCAUUGUACGGUAUCCCUUAAGAGCCCAUUCAAAUUUUUAGAUCUAGGAGCCUUUAAUCGAAUUAUCUGUGGCUUGCAAACCAAAUAUGGGGGGAAAAGAGUUAUUUGGACAAGAAAAAGCGGAUAUUUUGAUGCUCAUAAAAUAUUAUAUCUUAGGGCACUAUUAUUUGUUUUACCACAGCAACUUGGGCAUGUUUUUUGAAGAACUAGACUGCAAUGAGCCAAUGAACUUCACUGGCAGACCCUGUUAUAUUAUUCAAGAUCAAACUUAUUUACAUAGUGUAUAUCACAGAAACUGUGCUUAUAAUGUCUUACGAGUUCUUUUGGUGUUCAAUUCAAUAGUCAAAAUAAUUUCAUCCCAUAGGAUCCAAAGGAGGGUCAACAUAAAGUUCUUCAGUAAUAAAGCUCUCUUUAAGAAUGUUCGGACAUGCCACGUCUGGCAUAUCUCAAUGCCAUUCAACUUGUGGAUUUUUUUUGUCUCUUCCAUGGGUACUAUUCAGGUCAUAACUUUUCUAUUUUGUAGUUCAUAGGUUGUUAUAGGUUGUUUUCUUGUCAGUCAAGGAUUAAUGACCUCUUCAUAUUUUCUGUGCCUUGAUCACUCAGCUAAGAGCAGAUUAUGACAAGGAAUGCAAAAUCUGCUCCCGACCAUUUACAGUCUUUCGCUGGAGACCUGGGCGUGAUGCAAGGUACAAAAAGACGGAGAUCUGCCAGACAUGCUGUAAGCUGAAGAAUGUGUGCCAGGUCUGCCUCUUGGAUCUCGAAUACGGGUUACCGGUUCAGGUCCGUGAUACUGCUCUUGCUAUCAAUUCCAAUGAUGCUAUCCCGAGGAGUGAUGUGAAUCGUGAAUACUUUGCAGAAGAACAUGAUCGCAAGGUACGAGAUCUGCUCUACUUUUAUUCUCUUAUCUUGUAUCACCUUAAUAUGGAAUGUGCUUUGCUGGAUCUCAGUUUUAUCUUUAGCUAAAAGGAUAUAACUAAUUUGUUUUAAGUAGUUGAUUUAUGAUAUCAUAUGAAUUUUAUCUUACUUGCAAAGAGGUAAAAUAUAUAUAUUUUUUCCCUGUUUCUGCAUGUAUAGCUAGAAUCUUUCUUUUAGUAUAAUGCCUAAUGUUUGCAUAUUAUCUAAUUGAUUAGGUAUGUUUCUGUUAUGAUGCCAUAUCUUAUCCUUCUUUUUUGGAGCUUAAGUACAUAUUUAUUUAUUUCGGAUCUUUUUUUUUUUUCAAUUUAGUUUAGAUUGAUUUAUUUUGCAGGAGUUUAGUCAAGAUUUCACAAACAGUUUAUUAAUGUGUUGCCUUUCUAAUUGUACCUUACUUUCUAUUUCUUCAUCCUCUUCUGAAAAUCGGGAGUGUUCUUCGAGAUUUCUAUUCUGGCAAAAAAGUUUGAGUUCAUUGAGUUUUCUUAAUUGCUAAAGUAAUGUUUUCAUCAAGGUUAAAUGUAUUUGAUAGUUUUAAAAGAGGCUUCGUUCUAUAGACAUGGAAUUUUGUAUGUUAUUACUUGUAUCUGAAGGCAGGCAUGUAAAUAUAUAAUGUUUUAAGCAUCAAUUUAUUAGUGUGCAGUCUUUAAGGUGUUGUGUAGUUAUUGUUGACAAAUCUUUUGUUGCCAAUUAUCUUUGCGCAGGCGAGAGCUGGCAUAGAUUAUGAGUCUUCAUAUGGCAAGGUACGGGCAAAUGAUACUAUCUUAAAACUUCAGAGGACAACACCAUAUUAUAAGAGGAACAGAGCACAUGUUUGUAGUUUCUAUGUCCGCGGCGAGUGUACGCGUGGUGCUGAAUGUCCAUAUCGGCACGAGAUGCCUGAAACUGGGGAAUUAUCUCAGCAGAACAUAAAAGAUCGUUACUAUGGGUAUGUAUCAGAAAUCAGUAUCUCCCUGUGUGACUAUUUUUUCCUUUAUCUACAAAGAGGAUUGUUUGUUUGCUUAUUGUGUUGCUACUUGUCAUUAGAAUCAUUAUCGACUGAAUAUCCAUUUCGACUUGUUGGAAUGAUGCUUGUUAUGAAGUUCCCUUCUAUUUCCAACAUAUGUUGUGUUUUUUGAUCAGCUAGAAAUUAUUGCAGAAUUGUGUCUUGUUUGUUAUAUGUGUGUUGCUUUAUUUUAAUUUGCCAAUUAAUCGGACCUGCUAGAAACAUCACCAAGCUAUUAAGAAUAGUUCGCGUAUUGCUUUGAAGUUUCAUUUAAUCUAAUUCAUAUAUUUUGUAUUCCUAUAAAUAUGCAUAACCCCUUUGGGUUGAUUAGGUUGGUUAGUAAGUGUUGGUCCUGUUGGCAAGGCAGUGCCAACAUGUUGAGAAAGAGCUUGGUUGAGAUCAACUGGGUAAUAAAAGGAUCUUGCCAGUGAAUAGUAAAUUUUGAAUGUUGGGUUAGGGUUUAUUUGGUUGCUCAUAAAAGUAUGGAAAAACUAUUUUCGAGAAAAGAGUCUUCCAUGGAAAACCCUUUUCCAGUUUUCCGACUGUUUGGUUUCAAGGAAAACUUGCUCUUUUGAAAGAGUUUCUUUCUAAAGUUCAUGGAAAACUAGCCUUUUUCCUUUUACUAAAAGAAAAUCUAGAAAACAAAAGGAGUAAUUUUUUAUAAAAUUUGGCAAAAAGCUUUCCACAAAGCUAAUUUUUCCUUGGAAGCAAACAGACUGAAAACUGAAAAAUAGCUUUUCCAUAGAAAGCAUUUUUCCUGGAAAAUUCUUUUCCACAUUUUUUCGAGGAGCCAAACACCCCUUUAAAGGGUUGGACUUUUUAGUGGUUUAGGAAUUAUAUCACUACAAUGCUUUCCUCAGCAGUUGAAAUUUCAUUUGUAACCAAGAGGGUCUUGUUGAAUUUUUGAUUGGCAAGAUCUAUUAGACCAGAUCUCGGUAAGUAAUAUUAUCUUUGUGAGAGAACUUGGGUCUAAGGAAGUAACAUUAUCUCCUUGGGAGAACUUGUAUUCAAUUGUAGUCAAUUUUUAAACUAUCAUGCGGUGAGGUAAAGUAAGGUUUAUACUUUCUAUUUUCUCCAGCACUUACCAUUUUCUUUGUUUUUCAGGAUUGAAAAGAUUUGUCUUCUUCAAGUAUCAAAAACUUAUCUUCUUCCCUUUCUUUCUAUUUUUGUGCAGAGUGAACGAUCCCGUUGCCCUGAAGCUGCUGAGCAAGGCUGGGGAGAUGCCAUCUUUGACCCCGCCAGACGACGAGAGCAUCCGCACACUGUACGUCGGCGGCCUUGAUGCACGGAUCACGGAGCAAGACCUCAGGGACCAGUUCUACGCCCACGGCGAGAUCGAGUCCAUCCGCAUGGUCCUCCAGCGCGCCUGCGCCUUUGUCACCUACACAACCCGAGAAGGCGCUGAAAGGGCCGCCGAAGAGCUGGCCAACAAGCUGGUCAUCAAGGGUGUCCGCCUCAAGCUCAUGUGGGGGCGGCCGCAGGCGCAGGCCCCUUCAAAGCCCGAGGACGGGAGUGAAGAUGGGGCCGCAGGGCAACAGCAAGGCGGGCUUAUUGCCCACGGCGGGAUGCUUCCUAGGGCUGUUAUCUCCCAGCAGCAGAGUGGCGAGCAGCUCCGCCCGCCCGGCACAGAGCAGCAGCUUCCUCCCGGGCAUUACUUUAACAUUCCGGCCCCACCCCCCAUGGAGCGGGCCUUGUACCCAUCGAUGGACCCGCAGAGGAUGGGCGCGCUGGUGCCCUCCCAUGAGGGCGAUGGUAACAAAGCAGGGCCGGAGAGAGGGUCCGCGGGCAGUUCUGGGCAUGCUUACCCGCCACCGCCAGCACCGCAGGCUCCACAUUUCCAAGGCCAGUAUCCUCCGUACUAUACCAACCCUUACGGGUACACGCCGUACCCGCAACAUUAUCGACCUCCGUAUCAGCCAAUGAUGGCCCCGCCGCCACCGCCGCAACCUUCCCAGCAGCAGCCUGCAGCACAACAGCACAAUCCGGGAGCAGCCAGGUUGCCAUCCCAGAACUAAAAUCCUUCUAAAUGUACUUCUUUUUUUUUUCCUUUUCUUUUCUCCUCCUGUUCUAUCAUAGAUUCCUCCAUGCCUUUUGUUUGUAAUAACUGUAUGAUUGGAUAUGAAUCUGUUGCCAUUGGAGGCUAACUAGUAUUUUGCUGUGUAUUUUAAAUUAGCAGUACUGGAUCCUAUUUUACAAAACAGGCAUGUCUUAACUCUUAGCAUCUGUGUGAUUCUAUAUCUUGUUGGGGGUAGUAUCUGUUUCAUUCAAUUAUUUCCUUUUAUCAUUAUCAACUGUGAGCUGCUCUUUACUGUUCAAAAUCAUGAGUUCUGUAAUUGUUUUUUGUUUUUUGGUUUUUUCUUUUGGUUGCUCCUCCUUUCCAUACUUGUAAGAAAUUAGAGUACAUUUUGUUCAAAAUAGUUUUUGAAUGGAAAAAUAUAUCGGAAUCGAAAAGGGAAUGAUAAGAACCUUUCAAUUCCUUUGGCUCGUAAGAGAAAUUUUGACUAUAAUUUACAUUUACUUCUUAAAUUUGUAAUCAAAAUUUGAAUUGAAAAUUUUAAUUUAAAUUCAAAUUCAAGUUCAUAAUCAAAAUUUAAAUUUAAAACUGAACUCAAUAAUUUAGACUCGAACUUAAGAAAUUAAAAAUUAAAAUUUGAAUCCAUAAUUCAAAUUCAAAUAAAAAAAAUAUAAUCUAAAUUUAAAUAUGAUAUAUUUGAAUUUAAAUAAUUGUUAGUGAAAAAAAAGAAUGUUGCCUCAGUAGCCUCCAAAAUUAAAGUUAAUUCCCACCUUCAUAAGAAAAACCAUUUUGGGGAUUCAAUUUCCUUCAAAAUGAAAAUCGAAGUAUUAAUACUUUAAACUAAACACCGAUAAUAAAAAUAAGUUAUUCUGAUUUCUAUUCCAAAUCUCAAAUUUCUCCAACUAAACAUGCGCUUACAUUAAUACCAUAGAAAAGAAGAGUGAGAAAUGCGUGCUUUUAUUUUAAUCCUUUUUGUUUUAGUGCCUAUUUAUUUUUCAAACGAUUUCUGUAAAGGAAACUAACGAGAGACAAAUCUAUAAUAGAUUUAUUUAAAGGAUAAUAAAGAACAUGUAUCAGUUUUUUGGGAUACAAUGAUCGUAUUUGGUAAGAACUUGUUUAGUAAUCUUUAAUAUUUUAUAGUUUACAUUUCUGAAGAUGUUCGUCGGUAUUCGCUCAUUUUCCCGCGCUAAAUAGAAUUUGAACGGGUAAUUUAUGCCGCCAGUUCAUGAGGUAUCAAUUGCGCGACUAAAGAACGAAUCAAAUUUUCUGUUUUAAAAUAAAACUCGAACCGAAAAUCUAUGUUCAGAUUAUAAAAUACCAAUCAACUAAACUUACUCAAUAGUAGUAACUAUAUCCAAAUGAUUGUUUGCCAAUUUUUUUUUUUUUUUUUCUUUCGUGUAAAAUAUCUAAUUGGCAUUGAACGUGUUUUCCUUAACACAACAUUAAAGUUUGAUUUGAUUUGAGUACGAGGUUGUACCAUCAAAGUUUCAAAGCCUAACACUCCCUUCUUUUCCCUUCUAAUAAAGCUAAUACAAAAUGUCCUCUCUUUUUUUUUAGAUCUCCAAACAAAAUCUAAUAAAUGUUCUCUCUUUUAUUCUUUCUUAAUUAUAUAGUUUUUUGUUUUGUUUUGUUUUGUUUUUUUUUUGUUUUGUUUUUUUUUUUCCAAUGCUUUGCUGUAUAUCUUUUCUCAAUAUGCUUCCCCGCAACUAUCUAGAUAUUAGCUUUAUUUUAUUCUCAUCUUAUUGUGCUAAGAUUUUCUUUUCCUCCUAUCCCAUUGGAUUUUAUUAGGUGCAUUCACAUCCUGAUGAUGUGUAGCAGAUGUGAAGGCGGCAAAUGCUUCACACAACAGUUUGAGAUCGACAUCAGAUCGAACGUUAAAUCUUGAUGGUUGCUUUUAUCUAGAGAGAGAGAGAGCCGGGUCGGUGUGCUUUUAAGAACACGGAUGAUUUGUAUUCGUAGGUCGUUUUUGAUGAUGAGACUUUUGAAUCGACUAUCGACUCUGUUACAUUUGAUCUAACUUGUUUGAAAUGUCUUGAAAAUUAAUUUACGAUUUUUAGAUAUUAUUUACUUACUGAUCAAAAGAGCUCAAAAUUAACAAAUUUUAAUAAUUGAUAUAUUUCGUUUGCAAGUUUAAUAUUAUAAAAAUAUCUAAAUCGAAUAAAAUUUUGGUAGAUUUUUUUUUUUUUUUUUACUAUCUACAGCAAUAUCAAUACUUCUGAUCUAAAUUUUUUGUGCUAUAACUGACCGUUCUUGGCGCAAGUGGCAAAGAGCUUGGUGGUUGGUCUUCGUGGUACCAAGUUCGAAUUCUAGUUGAUUCACAUUUCCCGCUAAAUUUAUUUCUAAAAUAAAUAAAUGAAACAGGUAGCAUGUUACAUUUCUCUCAAAUUUUUUUUUUGUGCUAUAUUAUCACUUAUUGCGAGAUUAUUAUUUUAAAGAUAAAAUAAUGUCAAAAAAAUAAUAAAAUUUAUUUUUUAAAUACUUCAAAUACUUUAGAUUAAGUCUAACUGAGUCAAUUAUUGAUUUGAAAGUUUUAUCACCAAAAACAUCGAUAUCUUAAUAAGAGCACAGAGGCCUCCGUACUUCUAAGAGCACACUAUGCAAUCUGUAUGUACACCCUAUCAAUAGUAUAUAAAUAGUAUUUUCUACAUAUUUUUAAUUAAUUUUUGGAUCAAAUACUAUUCCACCGUCCUACUAAAUUAACAUAACGGAUCCAAGAGCUAAAAACUGGAUAUCAAAUACUAUUCCGCUAAGCUAUAGAUGGUGCAUAAUUUUUCCACGAAAUCCGACAAGGAUUUUUUCAAGAAAACUACUCUUCUUGAAAACUAAAGAAAAGGGAAAAUAAAAAAAAAAAUAGUCAGAAAUUUAGUUUGUGAUAAAUGUAAUAAUUAUUAUUAUAAUGCAUGGAAGUAACAUAUAUACCCUAGCAUUCUAAAUAUGCAGUUAAUAAUGUGUAUAGCAUUGAUUAGGAAGGUACGUACUACGUAGUGCUUACAACAGCCUAUUACGUGUCUAAUUAAUUAGGAAAAAGAAAUUAACAAACCGGAUGAGGAAAACAGCGGGCGGAGAAACCAGAGCCGCAGAAAAGCGCUGUUGGAAUUAAUAAGCUAUUCCCACACUAAUCACAAGUGCUUACUUCUGAGUUGACCAAUAAUAAUAAUCAGAAUAAGAUAAGAAUAAAUUGGGAUAAAACACAUUAUCCACGUAUUAUGCAUCUCUUAUCCAUUAUAAAUUCGGAUAUAUAUAUAUAUAGGCUGGGGUUAUUAUACUCUUAUGAGUAUAGACCCCCUUGUACUCAUAAAUUUUUAACCGUUGAUUGAUGGGAUGUGUGGUUAAGAUGAUGAUGGUCCCCACUUAAAAUGAUAGUGGUCCCCUAGAAUUGCGUGGGUAGUUGGUUGAAUAGUAUGAUCUAACGGGUGGAAAUGAUCAAUGAAAUAAAUUUAAGGGUUGAAAACUUAUGAGUAUAAAAGAGCCAAUACUCAUAAAAGUAUAGUAGCCAGACUCUCUCUCUCUCUCUCUCUAUAUAUAUAUAUAUGAGUCAAGUUGCUAUACUAUCAGUAGCACGGAGGACGGAGGCUAUCGUGCUACCAAAUUGUUUUCAAUUAUGUGUCUUCUAAAUCAACAAUCAGCUGCGUUAGGCUUAAUUUACAGAAUUGAAAGUAUUUAAAAACUAAAUUUAUAAUUUUUUGAUAUUAUUUACCUAUAAAACGAAUAGUCUAAAAAUGAAUAGUUGAAAAUAAAAAUCUCAUAAAAAAUGAUAAAAAACUUAAAUUUAAGAUUAGAGGUACUGAUCUAACUUUAAAUAGUAAAAAAAAAUUCUAUAAAAAUUUCAUCAGAUUUGAAUUAUUUUACGCAACUAAAUUUACAGAUACAUCACAUUGACUAUUAAAAUUGUUAAUUUUGAGACCGUUUAAUCACUAACCAAAUAAUAUUGAAAAAUUAUGAAAUCUAACUUUCAAAUACUUUAAAUACUGUCGAUCAAGUUUAAGAAGCCGAUCGUCGAUUUGAAAGCCGCAUCAUUGAAAACAACUUGGUAGUACGAAAACAUCUGUGCUACCGAUAGUAUAGCUGUCUAGCUCUAUAUAUAUUCUGAUUUCUGAAUACGAUGGUUUUCGCUUUAUUUGCUUGCUUAAGACAUCAUGCAAAAUGCAAAAAAGCAAAAUGCAAAAUGCAAAAUUAGUUGGAGGGGUCCGAAGCAAGAAAAUGGAGAAGCAGCGACGUCGCUGUAGCUUAACAUAAUUGCUUCCUCUGCUUUUUAAGACCUUUACCUUUCGCUUAUUAGACUUUUUCUUAUUCUUUUUUAUAUCUGGGGUUGGAACUUGGAAAGGAGAUUCUUGUUUAGCAAAAUAACGGACGGUGGAGAUUGAUUCUUCUUUUUUUUGACCCACCAAGCAACAACCUUCUAGAAGCAACUGGAAAGUAGAGGGGCUCUGUUUGGAUGCGCGAAUAUUUUAUUCAGUUCUAUAUUUUUUUAAGAUAAAAAUAUAUAUUAUUUUAUGAAAAACUUCAAAUAUCAUUCGUGUGAUUUUACACUUUCUCACUUUAGUACCUGUGGUUUAAACUGUAUCAUUUUCGUAUUCUGUGGUCUUAUUUUUCUCUUUUUGUUAUCCCCUCCACUAAUUUUUUUUUUUGUUAAAUCAGUGACAAAGUUAAAACUAAGAGAUAGUAAAGUGAAUAUUUAAUAAACUAUAGCUGAGAUAUUUUAAGUUUUUUAUAUAUGAUUUAAUAAAAAGUUAACGAAGAGGUUGACGAAAAGAGAAAAAUGAAACCACGGGGUACUAAAUUGAUACACACCAUCCUCACUCUAGAUAACUAGGUUAGAAUACUAUUAAUAGCACUAAGUCAUUGGUGCUAUUAAGUUUUCGGCCUUCGGAUGAAACAAAGUAAGGUUUGGUUGAUAGUGGUCCUGUAGUUGGUUGAAUGAUAUGAUCUAAAUAGAUGAAAAUGAUUAAAAGAAUAAAUCUAACAUUAGAAAAUUUGGUAGCACUAAGUACUUGAGGCUAUGGGUGGCAUUAUAGCUGUAUACACACACAUACUCUCUCUCUCUCUCUCUUUCUCUCUCUCUCUCUCUCUCUCUCUAUAUAUAUAUAUAUAUAUAUAUAUAUAUAAAAUUAGGCUAGAAUACUAUUAAUAGCACCAAAUUAUUAGUAUUAUUAAGUUUUCGGUCCUUCGAUGAAGCGAUCUAUGAUUAGGAUGAUAGCGCUUUCUUAGGGUUGAGUGGAAGUGCUUCCUUAGGGUUGACUGGAUGGUUAGCUGAAUAGAAUGAUCUAACGAGUGAAAAUUGUCAAAGAGAUUGAUCUAACGGCAGAAAACUUGGUAACAUCAAGUGUUUGAUGCUAUCGAUAGUAUUGUAGCCGGACUCUCUCUCUAUAUAGAAUUAGGCUAUUAUAUUAUUAAUAAUAGCACCAAGUCAUUGGUGCUAUUAGGUUUUCGGCCUUUAAUGAAGGGAUGUGUAGUUAGGAUGGUAGUGGUCCUCUGGAGUUGAGUGGGUGGUUGGUUGAAUUGUAUAUAAUCUAACGGGUGGAAAUUGUUAACGAGGUACUAAUCUAACGGUAGAAAACUUGAUAGCACUAAGUGCUUGGUAUUAUUAAUAGAAUAGUAGCCGGGUUUUAAAUUUGGGAUCUCGAAUACCAACUAUUAUAUGAGAUAUGCAUCGGUGAUCAAACCUGAACGAAUUUGCAAAUCCAAAAUCAAAACUAAAGCCGCGAGAAAACUCGAAAUCAUUAUCUGAAAUAAAAAAUCUUAGAUUAUUGGUAUUAAUUUGACCUAAAAGCUAAUUAACGGACUUUGAUCGUUGAACUAAAAGUAUGAGAUGAAAUAAAUAGAAGAGGGUGCCGUGUGCAGCACCCUCAAAUGGUGAACACGAGAACAGCAUGGGAGACUCCAUGUUACUGUACGAAACCCUAGAUAUGGUCAUAUGGGUACAAGUUAAUUCUUUCCAUCAUAAUAAUUGUAUAUAUAUGACAUACAAAAUAAGAUAAAAACUAAUAAAAUUCAUGUGAACUAUACACUAUUUUAAAAUAGUUAUCAAACCUUUCAAAAUUUUAAUGUAAUUAUCUAACUUUUUAAUUUAUUUGAUUUGGUUCAGUGAAUGAUACUUUGACUUUAAAAUUUAAGCAAAUUAUUUAUUUUAAUAAAUUUAGAAUUUAAUUUUAAAGUCAAAGUAUUGUUGACCGGCUUAAAUCGAAAAAAAAAUGAAAGGUUUAGUAUGAGAAACAAUAACUUAUAACUUAU
RNAcentral lists this long non-coding RNA (92025 nucleotides) under Ananas comosus (pineapple). RNAcentral describes it as "long non-coding RNA (ACOM_LNC009781)". The record is from RNAcentral. Lineage: Eukaryota; Viridiplantae; Streptophyta; Magnoliopsida; Poales; Bromeliaceae.